CUAUUGCGUCCUUGACGGCUGAGAUGUGGCGCUGGAGGUAGUCUAGCCUUUUCCAGUAAUCCAAUGGAUCAGGCAUGCUUUCGUCGCCUUCCACGUCAGCGAUUCCUAAGUGCAUCCAGGAAAUCCAUUUCUCUCCAAAUCCCUUUUCUCUGAGUAUAUCAAUAAUUGUCUGAUGUUCAAUAGUGUCAAAAGCUUUCUCAAAAUCCAGUUUAAUCACCAUCAUCUCUUCUUUUGAUUUAUGACAUUGAUGGAUAUAUUCAUAUGCCCAACCAAGGUAGUCCUGGAUCAUUCUAGCUUUGAGGAACCCAUGUUGAUUGAUAUGUACCAUGUAGAGAAUAAUUCGUCAUAAUCUAUUGGCCAGUAGUUUGGUAAUUAUCUUAAGUACUGCAUUGAGCAGUGAGAUUGGUCUGAAAUCAUUGGGUUAGACUGGCACUUCCUUUUUUGGAAUCGAUGUAAUGAAGGAUGUAUUGAUGCUUUCAAGAUUUAUAUUACCAGCAUGAAAAUCCAUGAUGAGCUCAGUGAUAUCCACUUUAAUGAUGUCCCAACAAGCUUUGAUGAACUCAUUAUUAAAUCCAUCAGGACCUGGAGAUUUAUUUGUAGGAAGGUUUUUUUACCACUUCAUCAAUUUCCUCCUGUGUAAACGGCUUCUCAAGAUCUUGGAAGAUCUCAGACUCAACACUAUGUUCAUAUAGAUCAUUCAAAUCAAAGUGCAUUGUGUGACCAUUAGAUUGUCCAAAUGUUUUUUUAAAGCCUCCCAAAGAAUAGUUGUUUUCCUUCAUGGUCAGUAAUUUCCACUUGAUCAUCAUUCAGAAGCAUAACAAUUUUAUUAUGUCUAUGAUUAAUAGUGGAUUUGGUAUGAAAGAAUUUGGUGUUCUCAUCACCAAAGUUAACACGUUUUAUUUUUCCUCUUUGCUUCCAAUAAAUCUUGUGAUUAUUAAGUACCGUCAAUAGGAAUGCCUUCAGCAUAGACCUACAAUUCCCUUCAAAUACUAAGAGAUAUUUAUAUUCCUCAAUCAAGUCCCAGAGGAAAAUACAAGCAUUUAAAUCCUCAAACUGCUUUUUAAGAAAUGACAAAUUCUUGGCCCACAAUUUUAAAGAUCUUCACAAAUUCUUAAACUUUGCAUUGAUUAUUUUGGCAGGCUCAGUGUAACCCACAGGAAUAUUCCAGGCUGCUUGAACAAUGUCUUUGAAAGAGUUCUGUUUCAACCAAUAAUUUUCAAACCUGAAUACCUUGGACUUGGGAAUGCAGACCAAACCAAUAUUCCACAAUACACAAUGUUUAUUUGCAGACCAAUUUCAGAAGUGUCGCUUCUAUUCAUUUCCGUUCUCUAAUCUACUAGUAAAUUAAGUCUGAACCGAGAACUGAACCUAAAUUUCGGUCCACCGAAUCUUUGGUUAGGAAUUUUCCCAAUGACCAAUCGGCCAUCCUUUUUUGAAAACCGAAUUUCUUCAAAAGCUGAAGAACCGAACCGAACGGUUCAGUUACACAGAAUGCCCAGCUCUCCAAACGCCUCCACUUUCUCCCAGUUGAACAUGUGAUAUUUCUUACACCGAGUCUUCUUGCCAAAGCAAUCUUCUCCCAAAACAAUCAAAUAUUUUCUUUACUCCUUUUGGCAAGCCAUAAAAGGAAAGCAUGCACAACGGUUUAUAUUUUCUAGACUACGUACUCUGGAGCAAAGCCCCGGUCCUUUAUUCAAAACCAAAUAGUAUGUACAGGGGUCAAGUAGUCAGCUACAUAUACAAAACUUACCUACUUAUUACCUAACAAAAAGGAAAACUAAAGGAGGCUGGCAAUCUAAGCCAGAAGAUUCGGUCUAUCACAAGCCCUCGUUCUACAAGAAAGAAGGGUUAUAUCAUGUACUCCCUCCGUUCCGAUUUACUCGUCAUGGUUUUAGUUCAAAUUCCAUGACGAGUAAAUCGGAACGGAGGGAGUACAAAUUUACAACACCAUGAGCCAAAAGUGGCAUAGCUCUGAAUGUCCUUCCAUUUAUGACAAUCCAGAUAUUCCAUUUCCAAGCAGAGUCAGCAUAACUUCAAAGAAGAAAGGAUGAGCAAACCUCAUGUUUGCCCCGACAAUGCAUGGUCUGAUCUCAGACCCAUGUGCCGGAUCUAGCUAUCUGCAAGUAAUUGCAGAUCCUAAGGCUGAACUAGCGGGAGAAGAAGAGAUGAAGUCUGUAACACAUUACACAUGGGUUUAUUGCUCAAAGAAGCAGUGAGCAAAGAGAUCAUGCCUCCAAUACUAAUUCCCUUGCCAAUAUUCUGAUCUUAAAAACAUUAGAAAACAAGCACAAGGUCUCACUUUAUAUAAAUAAAUCGACGAGUUCCACAAGAACAUGAUUAUUGAACACAAACGUUCAGCAAGCAAAAGGGAAAUAGUUCGGGCUGGGGCGGCAGCACAGAUAAGCCCGACAUAAAGAAAAAGAACACAACCUACAGAGCCCGCCGGAACCGGAAGCUGGCGAGCCACACCCUCCGGAGGCCAAGAAGGAGCCCAUCCAAUCCGCCGUGAUCCCGACGCAAAGCGAGCAUUCGCCAUUACAGAAUCGAUCGAGGCUACUAAUUCAACAUCCCCGGCAGUGAACUGAAACGGCCACAUCCUCCCUUCAUUUUAUUGCACCCAUCCGAUUAUUAAUUUUUUCAAACUAACUGCAUGCCAUGCAUCCAGCCUUGGAUUAUUUGUUCGAACAUAGCACCACUUCGUUCUCCAUCAUACAGAAACGGAAGCAGCUGUCAUGGUUGCGUUGUUAUUGGUAGUCUUAAGCAAGGGUUUUGGGACGGAGUUGAACUUGGAGAACCACUUGGCCGACUUCUUGAGCUUGCGCUUGUUGCCGUCAUUCUUGUCGAUGUAGACAAGGCCGAACCGUGAGCUGUAGCCGAGGCUCCAUUCGAAGUUGUCGAUCAGACCCCACGUGAAGUGGCCCCGCACGUCCGCGCCCUGGCUGAAAGCACACAUACAUUUGAGUAAUCAGUGUGCUAUAUUAGGGUAUGUAUGUAGGUAGGUAGGUAAGAGUACAAAAUAAAUGAAAAAAAGAGGUAGGGUUUUAGCGUGGGUAGUUACUCUAUUGCGUCCUUGACGGCUGAGAUGUGGCGCUGGAGGUAGUCUAGCCUCUUCCAGUCAUCCAAUGGAUCCGGCAUGCUUUCGUCACCUUCCACGUCAGCGAUUCCUACACACACACAAGUUAGACGUAAUCCAUCACACUUCCUUUAAAAAAAAACCUCCCAUGAACCAUUACAUCAUAUCUCCAUGGAUUAGGUCCUUGUCUGAUUUGAGGGAACUAGUGCCACUCGAACACAAAGAUUGUUUACAGAUUAGUGUGUGUCAAUCUUCAUGAGAAUUAGGGUAAUGAGGAUCAUGGAAAUUUGACUAGUUACUUUUGAUGUCAGAUUUUCAACCUUUUUAUUAACGGCAAGUCAACUAAAGUUUGAUAUGAACCGAUGAGUGGUCAUUCGAUUACUACAAAAUCCAAUGCUAUAUACACACACACAUAUCACUACUUACCGUUCUCAGUGAUGAAGACGGGUGGGUUUCCGUAUUUCUCCUUCAUGAUCAGAAGGAGGUCUGUUAGGCCUUUUGGGUACAUGUAGAUCCAAUAAGUCCCGGUCUGCAAAUGGAUGUCCAAACUUUUAAUUAGUAACGAGAAAAAACUUCAGAUUUGUUUAAGCUUUAUUGCAGAAACAAAGCAUUAUCAUGUCUAUGCCACUUAACCAUUUUGUUCAAAAGUUUAACUAAAGUCCUGGCUGACUAGUUCUACCAUAAGAUUUUGGUGAAAAUAAUCUACAUUAUCACUAUCAUCAUAUAUGUCGUAUGCAAAAUUAACCAGGUAGUAGGAAGAUACAUACUAUAGGACCGAUGUCAUUCCCAUCACUUCCUGUAGCUGCUCGAACAGAAGGAAAAAAGUCCAGGAUUAGUAUGAGAACAUCAAAUUUCUCAAAGGAUCUGUAAAGUAUACUAACUAAGGUUUGUCCUCAACCAUAUUUUCUUACUUUCUGAACUGGCGUAAGCGUCGUCGGUGUUCAGCGUUGGCGUAAAGUCUGGUGACAUGUCAACAUGCUUGGAGAAUCUGGAGGUGUAAUAGUUGAGCCCCAUGAUGUCACAUGACGACGCUAGUUUCUCUUGCUCCUCCUUGGUGAACAUGGGUAGACGAUCUCCGAUCAGUGAUCUCAUGGAGAAGGGGUAGUCACCACGAACCACUGGCUCCAGGAACCAUCCCAUGUUGUAGUCAAUGGAUCUUUCCCGGGCCUGGUCGUCGAGGAAGGAGUCUUGGUAUGGCUCGUAACCCAUUACGUCAAAAGCCAUUCCUAUUUUGGAAUCUCCAUGCUGCAGUUGGUUCGUCAAUAUAAAUAAAUUAAAUAUACAAGUAGAUACCACUAGUUGUUACUUGUUUACUAGAUAAUGUAUAUCUCUCUCUUUGUGUAUGUACCAUGUUGUAACGAGCUUUGAACAGCUGAACAGCCUCAGCAUGAGCUAGGAGGAUGUGGUGACCAGCAGUGUAUGGCUCUCUGAGCGAGUCUCCUUCUGGGACGGCACAAUCCAUCCCCGGCGAGCACCUCCCAGGAGCAUGAAUCCCCUCUCCAUAGGAGAAACAACAAUAUGUAUGUGGCUCGUUAAAGGUGAACCAGUUCUUCACCCUGUCACCGAAGUUCUUAAAGCACACCUCGGCGAAUUGUUUGUAAUCAUCUCUGGAAAAAAAAUCAAACCCGAAGGAUGUUCAACAAAAUUGUUUCUUAGCUUAACAAUAAGUAGUUAUGUUAGUUUACUGAUGCAUCAUUGAAUGACAGUACAACAUUGUUUGUGAUCUGAAAAGAAACGUUUUUCUACUCAUGGUCCACUAAUGGCCUUCAUCCAAACCAAAUAGUGUAUAAGCAAAAUCAUAUAUAAAGUAAUCUUGUUCAAAUCGAAUUUAACAAUAUUAUAGUUCGUAGUUUUUGUACAUAUCGUGAUUGCAAUUACUGAUCUUUCUUCAGAACCAUUUUCUUACAAAUCAAUGUACUGUUGUUUGCCGCAUACUUACACAAUCUGCCUAUUUAAGAAGCCGCCGUACUUGUCUUCCAGUGCUUGAGGGGUGUCCCAGUGCCAAAUUGUAACAUAUGGCACUAUGUCUGAGUUUCAAAAAACAAAUAAUUAUUUGUGCGAGCUCUUAUGAGUCUGACUCAUUAAGCACUAAUCAAACAAAGAAAAAAAGGGUUUUCACCGUUAUCUAUCAGCGAGUUGAUCAGCUUAUUGUAGUAGUCGAUGCCUGCCUGGUUUACUUUUCCCGUCCCAUCUGAAAGCCAUAGUAAACAUGUGCUGAAAUUAGGACCCAAAUAUUACAACAAGUCUUAUCGGCUGCGUCUAAUUUGUAGAGGACAUCUUUAUUGUUCCUAACUUAUUCACCAUACAAAAUAUACAUGGUUAUUUUGUAUUUACCUGGCAGUAUUCUCGACCAAGAGAUGGAGAACCUAUACACUUUCAUGCCCAUGUCCUUGAGCGCUUUGACAUCCUCCUGUCAGUCAUAAAUGAUGACAUGAAUAAUGAUGACAACAUAUUAUCAUGCAUAUUUCUAUUUUUAUUAGAAGUGCAUAUUCCAAAUGGUUUUUCAAAAAAAAAAUGCAACGACAUAAAAACAGUCCUGUCAUAAUUGAGAUUUGUUAGAUUUUUGUUUGGAAAAACCAUUGGUCCCGUCAGAGUACUUACUUCAUAUAGAUGGUAGGAGUUUGCUGCAACAUCCCCAUUGGUCAUGUCGGAUAUGCGCUCUGUUCGUAUAUAUACACAUGAAAUUAAGGAGAAGGACGCACGAUAGACUAAUAUGAGUAUGUUUGUAAUAACACUGAAAAGGUAUAUGUUACCAGGAUAUGUGUGGCAGAAGUGGUCCCAAGUGCUUGGCCCCUUGCCAUCUUCAUUCCAAGCACCUUCAAUCUACACGGAUGACGACAUAUAUAACAUUUUGUGCAAUCGAACAAACCACUAAACAUGCAUUUUGACAUCAUGUUUUCCCUUAGGUAUUUGUUAUCAUUGAAACAGUUGACACCAUUAUUUUAUUUUAAAUUAACAGAUAUAAGGUUGUGCAAGAAAAUAAUUAGUACCUGGUACGCUGAAGUGGAGGCACCAAAUAGGAAGUCCUUGUCGAACCAGUCCCUUUUAGGGAUUUGCCACGGCUUGAGCUUAGUGAACACAGGCCCAAUGGGCUCUGCUGGCUUUGACGGUGUGCCUGCCCUGAUGGUGAGGUUACAGAACCUUCCCUUGCUCUUCUGUGAUGAAGCAGUAGACCGGAGCCAUAGGUUCUCACUGUUGCGUCCUGCACGGCUUCUAAGGCUAAGGUGGGUGGUGGGAUUCAGGGUAGCAGCAGCAAGUAGAGCCAUCUCUUGCUAGCAGCUGGCUGGAGUGUUGUGAGCAGCUUGAGGAGUGAGUUCCCUUGCAGGCUUAUGCAUCUAUUUAUAGAUGAGGAUGGAGAAUCUGUCAAGUGGGCGUGGUGGUGGGAUGAUAAUGAAGCUGCGGCUGGAACCCUAGCUAAGACACAAGGCAGUUGGCUAACCUGGUGGGAGCUCUUUGUAACUUACCACUGGGCAUUCCUGCAGCCCACCCCCAAAAAAUAUGGCAGAGGAACAUAUCCUUCUGCUGGGUCAAAUGCAACAAAAAAAAUGUGUUUUGUACAUUAACUAAAGAGAACAGUGAAAAGUUGUGCCUGUAGACAUUCGAAUGGCACACAUAUAAACUUGAACACACAAAGUUAAAGAGAAAUUGCCAAACUGUUUUCUUUAAAUAUCAAUCUCUCUACCCCAAUAGACAUGUUGAAACUCUUCUUAUCUUAAGCUAAUUAACAGUAGUGUCAAAUCUUUACCCCCACGUAGUGCCUGUAAAAUUUUUUUCUUCGAAAAGGGACACUUUAUUACUUAAAAGGUUUAUAAGCAUUACACCCAGCCUCUGCAUAACUAAGAUGCACACAGCCAACAAAGUCCUCACGACAAGCCAAAAUAAAAGAAGAAGGUGAAAUAGAAAGAAGAAUAUUUGUAUAACACCUAAAUCGUAGGUGGCCCAAUUCUAAGAUCAUGCUGCCACCCAUGUUGGGUGAAUGUAUCCCUCGCCGUAGCCCCCAAUCGUGUACACACCACCGUAAACAGGUCUCGAUUCUCCACUCGCUAUAGAGAGGACCAUAAACGAAGCAUCUCGGUACAUCUGUAGGUAACUUGCAUAAGAGAAGUACUUUUAUCGUUAAAAACCUUAUCAUUUCUACAUAACCAAAGCGACCAAAUCACAGGAAGCGCUCCCACCCUAAGAAGAAUUCUAAACUUGUGAUCAAUACCAUGCAACCAGUUGCCAAAUAUAUUAGCAACACUACAAGGAGGAUACAAGCUAGAAGCUAUUUGGAUGACUGACCAUAUAGAACGAUCCAAUUUACAUUGAAAGAAUAAAUGCUUUAUUGUCUAAUCAUGCGAACAAAUGUUUUCUUGUAGUGCCUCUAAUAUGUCCGGAAACAAUUUUCUACACACAUUCUUGUGGGGCGGCUGCCUUAUGUUAGGCAUUGUUGCCCACUAGGAAUGAUGUGGUUCUUAACAAUAAUUGUGUUUUGUUUCAUACCUUAUGAAGGUUAUUCAUGCAUGUACGCGAUGACCCCAUACUUGGUCUAUCCUGCACAGCCCGGAGGACUGAGACCUUUCUAUGAUGGUGUCUACCCGACUGGAGCAUACGGUCAAGGAGGUUUUCUCCCUUCAUGAUGGCGGUGUAAUCUCCAGAUAUGAUCCACCCCACCUUAGGUUGGACUCUUUAUUAUUUUCGUAAAAAGGCAUUUUAUUUUUGGUUGUGUUGGACGUGUUGGCUGCGUGCAUCGUGCUAUGUAGAGGACGCUUUUUAAUGUGGUUGUAUCACCUUGAUAUAUCAAUUAAAUGAAAUGUCCUUUAUAGAAAAAUAACAGUAGACAAAAAGCAUGACUUGACUCUACUUCCUAUAGAAAGUACAAAAUAUAUAUGUUCACCUAGAGGACCUCGACACUAUAUGUUGCAAGUAUUUCAGAAACUUGUUGUUCACAACUUUUAUUGCAUCACUCCAGUUAGCUUAACUUAGCGGCGUGGCCCGAUGCUAGCUCUGCCCCUGAUCAGAUCUAUUGUCUUUCCUAAAGAAAUACCCACCCUUUUCACUUCAAAAUCUUACAUUCUUAAGAAAUUGCUCCCCACUUCUACCAAUUCUCUCAACAUGCACGCUGUCCAUGUCAGCUUCAUGCCAUGUCACCAAUUUCCACAACGGCAUGCAUUUUGUUUGCAGCCGUUAAGACAUGCAACCUUCCAGCUCAGCUUCCUUUACUUCGGUCUAUGGUCUGGGCCGCAAUAUCUUCCACGCAAAUGAUGCAAAAAGAAACGGAUGGUUCUUAAUAUCCCCACUAUCUCACGGCCCUUCAACUUUUCCAUGUACGUUUAAGAAAGAAAAAAACUUCUCCAUGUAAAGAGCAACCCAAGAGGCGUUGAGAAAUUAUUUUCACCUUUAAAUACCUCAUUAGACCACAGAUGUUGCAUGCCCGUCGUCCCCAUUCUUCUCACACAACGUCUUCCUAGAUAGCAACGAUUCAUUGUUGAGGUCGGUUUCUCCAUAAAAGACUGGAGAUGAUGGAGACGGAGACACCAACGAGGGAGUGAGGCAUUGCAUGCAUGUCUUCCACCAUACCGGCCAAGUUGGAUGGCCGGACGCGGAGACGCGGCUGCCACUACUGAUUAUGUUGCCGAUGCCAUGAAGCGUGGGGUGAAACCAUGAAGCGCUCAAUCUAGGCCAUCCGCCCCGCCUUCUACCGAAGCGUCAUAUGCAACACAACAGGUCGCUCACACAUGACUCCCUCAUCACUUAAUUUCUUUCCUUCAAGUACCUGUCUGAUUUCUAUCCCCUACACGAGCAGGUCACCAUGCUGCCACAGACCGUUACGAUGCCAGUUGGCCUUCACAUCCGCUGCGUGGGCUGCACAUCCAGUUGCUGUGGGGAGAAAGAGCCUACAAGUCUUUAUACUAUUUUCAACACAAACGUCAGAAUUUUGUUUGCAACCUGGAUGCUAGAUAGUAGAUGUACUUGCAGCACUAUAUAGAAGUUGAGUGUAGUCACGUUCCAAGAAAUAUUAAAGCAAGGAAUUCAUUCAAGGUGCGGGCAGAGCAAAUUCAUGCCGUGAUGGUCAUGUUGUUUCCUUUAUUUCCCUUCUCUGAUUAGUAAUACAUUUUAUUUACAUAAAUUAUGUGCUAAUAUUUUUACAUUAGCAGAACAUCAGUUUGAAUUGCUUUCGUUGCCAUUGAGAUGAACAAAAUACUUUUGAUGAUCCAAUGAAUACGAAGAUCAUGUACAAGUUUGGUCACAAGCUUAUCAUACAGAGAAAGAUGGUUUCAGAGUUAGAUUAUAUAUGCACCAUCUUCUCCAGUUGUCUUUAUCAAUGAAUAUAAAGAUCAUGUACAAGUUUGGUCACAAGCUUAUCAUACAGAGAAAGAUGGUUUCAGAGUUAGAUUAUAUAUGCACCAUCUUCUCCAGNNNNNNNNNNNNNNNNNNNNNNNNNNNNNNNNNNNNNNNNNNNNNNNNNNNNNNNNNNNNNNNNNNNNNNNNNNNNNNNNNNNNNNNUGUCUUUAUCAAUGAAUACAAAGAUCAUGUACAAGUUUGGUCACAAGCUUAUCAUACAGAGAAAGAUGGUUUCAGAGUUAGAUUAUAUAUGCACCAUCUUCUCCAGUUGUCUUUAUCAAUGAAUACAAAGAUCAUGUACAAGUUUAGUCACAAGCUUAUCAUACAGAGAAAGAUGGUUUCAGAGGUUGAUUAUAUAUGCACCAUCUUCUCCAGUUGUCUUUAUUUUUUUUCUUUUCUUAUUAAAGUGCCCUUCUACUUUGACCUCUUUGUCACACUAGCAUCCCGCUGCAACGCGCGGGGUAUUGUCUAGUUAUCUAAACUAAGUCACCCUUAAGCAUAUACAUAUAUCCCACCAUAACACCCUAUAGAAGAAAGAAACCCCCUAAAUCCUCAUCUAAAUCACCUACCUACUACAUGAUCAGAAUAGUCUAGCCCCCUAAAUUUGCAUCUAAAUCACGUACCCAUCUCUGUGAGGAAUAUGCCGACGAUGCUAACGAAUCAAGGAUUUACCGUGUUCUGUGGUGACAUGCAUGGAUCCGAACACAGUGGCCCUUUUAACCUUCUUGCUACUCACAGUUCGUGGUUCUUGCAUUUGUCAGUACAGUCCACACAUCCAGUGUGUGGUUGUCUGUCAUCACAUGCAUGUGGGGGAUGUAGGAUUCUCGCCGCGUUUCUCAGCGGCGUCAGUUGAGAUCAAGACAAGGCGAUCUUACACUGUCCCUAUAAAAAAGUUUAUCUUGCACAUCAGUUGGUACCAUAUCUCUAUAAGUUAAACGUACCUUGCUUGAUUGAUUGUACGUAAUAUAUUGCAUCGCAUAGCGUACAGCUAGCGUAUCGCAUAUUGAUGUCACCGGCAAGUUCUUGAAUCUAAGGGUAUUAAUCUACAUAUUGAUGUCACCGGCAUGUUGUCAGUCCAGCUAGCGUAUCGCAUCGCAUCGCUAAACGAACCUUGCUUGAUUGAUUGUACGUAAUAUAUUGCUGCUUGAUUCACAAUAACACAUACAGUAGUACGAACACCGUCCUGAUUUAUUACCCCUCUUCGUAUUUAGAGUCAUAUUUUGACCAUACUUAUAACCAAUAAAAUAUAAGUUAUAUAUAGCAAAAAUAAUAUUAUCAAAAAAUAUCUUAAAAUGCGAAUCCAACGGUAUUAUUUUUAGUGACAUGCAUUAAUAUUUAUAAGUUAAAUUUAUGCUUAAAAUUUGACACAAAAUAUGAAGAGGCUAAUAAAUCAAGACCAAGAUAGUGCUACUACUCCCUCCGUUUUUAUUUACUUCGCAUAUUAGCUUUGGUCAAAGUCAAACUUUGUAAACUUUGACAAAGUUUAUACACAAAAGUAUUAAUAUAAACAAUAACAAAUCAAUACCCUUAGAUUCAUUAUUGAAUAUACUUUCACAUCAUAUAGAUUUGUUAUUAUAAAUGUUCAUAUUCUUUUAUAUAAACUUGGUCACACUUUGUGAAGUUUGAUUUUAGUCAAAUCUAAUAUGCAGAGUAAAAAACGGAGGGAGUAUGUCUUUGUUAGUGGUGAGGAUCAAUGCGCCACGUCAGUAUCACAUGGCUAGGAAAGAAGAAUCUGCCAUGUCACUAAUAUUGUUUGGCCUGAUCACAGCAGGGCAGAUGUGCUAUAUUAAUUGUGCUACUAAUGAAUUUGUUCGCUCUAGUGGGAGUCUCCGCAAAUUACGCUGUGGUUAGGCUAGUUGUCAUGGAGAGUAUCGUAGUAUCAUACAUAUAAUACUAGUGUAUAAUAGUACCUUCCUAAUGUAUAGUAUCAUAUAUUAGUAUCAUGUAGUACUUUAUUUAUUGCCAUGCAUGAUACGUAGUAGCAUAGCAUUUAUUAUGAUAUGGUAUCAUGAUAUGAUACUCAACCGUCUCUUUCUUCAUUUAAUUUCAUGACACCUCAUCAAAAUUGCCUAGUUGGCAUGCAUGAUACUUCCAUUACGACCAGCCUUAGCUCGGUUUUUACAGCGGAAGCGAUUACUCCCUACUGUAGACACCACAUUUUGCCACGACAAAAACUUCUAUAAGAUGAACUCAAAUGGGAAAGUGUACAAUAUCAAAAAUCAUCAUGUGUUUGAGAUGAACAAUUUUGAUGUUUGGUUCAUGGCCCUCCGGUCUCAUCUCAAGGGCCAAAGUUGUGAUCAAAGUAAUAAUAUUUGGUAUUCAGAGUACUGUUCGGUCAAAUAUGCCUCCAAGCUAGCUCAUAUGAAAAAAGUGCUCUAUACAGAUUGUUUUUGCCUCAUCAAGUCGAUCGAUUUUGAUAUUUGGAUCAUCUUAAUCCGAGAUCAUACGCAAAAGUUAGAGCCAGCGCAGUGCGCCCCUACCAUGAGCAUUAAGUGACGUCCAGCACCCGACACUCAUAUGACUAUGUCUGAUCGAUAGUACGAGUUAUUGCCUGUUUUGCACUAGUUAUUCGGUGCUCAAUAUGAUCUCGAAUAAAAAAUGUCCAAGACAAAAGUUGCCUCAAAAGUGGCCCGCAAGAUGCAGCCAGGUUUUAAACCGAACAAUUUUGAAAAGUUUGAACCAUACAUCGCAGGAAACAUGUAAGUGCUAAGAUACAUUUGGUUCCAAUGCGGUUAAUCCGGGACCAUCUGCAUUGGGCACGCAGGAACACAUGUCAAGUGCUAAUAUACAAGUACGGUGGGCACACGAAAGUGCGGUGCAUUGUCGCCACUGAUACAGAGACGUGCUAGCGUGGAUCACGCAGCAAUAAUGUACUCCUCCCAUCCAGCCAACUACCGUCGUUAGCGAUGAAGAUAAGGAGGGUACCUGCAGUGGAAGAUCCUUUAUGUCAACGGUCAUGUGAUGUGAUGUGUGUUCUGCCUGCCUGGCAAAAUUAUAGUAAACGAGAGACAUUAAUGUUUAUUUGCUAAUUAAUAGUAUUGCAUGCAAUGAACUAACCACUGUAUGUCGUGUUUGAUAGUCUCAAGUCAUUAAAAGCAUGCACACCCUCAUCUUUUAUUGGUUGAUAUGUCAAGAAACAAGAACGAGGUAGAAGUUAAUGCACCGCGCCUAAGUGUUUUGUGAUUAUUUGGUUUUUGUAAGAUGAUUUACACACCUAGACGGAGGGAGUAUCUGUUCAAGCCUACUACCGUCAAUGGAAGAUCCUUUAUGUUUCCCAUGCAUGCAGAUCCAGAACAACCCGACUGCAUGCCCAAUCCGCUGCACCUUGUUGACCCCCAAAUCCUCGCCGCAUUCUGUAAAUAUCGCAGGAACUCCACUGCAUGCCCUCAUCACCCAUAGAAUCUCGAUAGACUAUUUUUUCCUCCUUCGAAUAAUGGAUGUGAUUUCCUUUUCGGGUUAGAAAGAGGGUGCGAUUAUUGCACACGUCCUUUUAUUAUUGCAAAGUUUAUUAAAACCCAACAUCUCACACGGUGGUACAGAUGGCCACAAGGCUACGGUCGACAAGGCUAAAACAGCCAAAACGAAAUAAGAUCGUAUGGUGACGAGUGGCCACUGAUGCAGACCUGCUAGUGUGUGGAUCAGGCAGCAAUAUAUCACCAUCAGCCAAGCUUACGUCCAUGACCAAAGUUUUCAAUCAGUCAAAUAUAUUGUCUUAUGAGAGCAUCUAGGACCGGACCUCUCAAACCCGCCACAUACAUUCAGGCGGGCUGCCCGGUCACUGCUCGGUCACGGUUUUUUGUCCAGACGGGUCUCUCAAACGCCCGGACUGACCGGCACUUCCCAUAUCCAACCCAAAUAUGGGGCGGAUAUAUGGGAGCCCGCGCACACCCGGACACGCCCGUCACGGCGGUCUGACGGCAUGGCCCCACAUGGAAACGUCCGGCAGCCCGGCGGUCCGACAGGUGCUGCCUCCGUCGCCGCGGUGUGAACGUCGCAUGAUUCCGCUCCGGCUUGCCGCCCAAGACGAAAUCGGGUUAUUUUCGCCGACCGGCGUCCCACAGCCCUAACCCACCCCCACCCCCCUCUCUGCGCCGCCGGUCUGAACCCAUCCACCUCCUCCCUCUCUGGCUCCGGCGCUCUGCCCACACUCCCGCACUCUGCCAUGGCGAGAGCAAGAUCACCUAUUAUGUCAUGCUGACGUCGGAGCGCCGCUACGAGAUCCAGUAGCGGAUCCGGAGUCGGACGCACUCUUUGUCGAGCUCGACAUGAACAUAGAGGCGGAGGAAGCCGGAGCGGAGCAGCUGGAGGCGCAGGAGGAGUCGGAGCUGCAGCUGCCGCCCAUGCUUCCGGAGCCGAGAACGGAGAUCGCCGUGAUCUCUGACGAGGAGUAGGUAGGAUCAACGUAGUGCAUAGGUUUAUUUUAGUUUGCAUGUCUUUGUAUGGAUUUAAGAAUCUGGUAGAAGAUGUCCGGAUGUAACAAGUGAAAUUUAGGGUGUGUCUGGUCACUGAGAAUGACGCGUCCGUGGGCAUUUAAGGGGCUGGAUGUGCCAUAUGUGUCUCUAGAUGCUCUGAUCAAAUGUUGAUUUAAAAUACGAGGGGCACAAUAAACCAAGAUGGAGGAAGUAUGUGUCAGUGUGGAGUAGCAUACAGCCAUAUAUGUUUAUGGAUGUGAAACACUAGCUGGACCGACUACAUACCGGUGUCAUCAAUGCAUGUGACUGACAACCACUCGGUGCCAUCAUUCACUUUGGUACUUGUUGUGAUUAAUUAGCAUAUAUUAAUUAGAGGAAAAUCUCCUCUUGUCUAAUAGUGCGUGCGGUUCUCUAUAGCAACCGACGCGUCUCCUUUUCUCAACCGUCAUGACUUCUAACCUAUGACGGUUCAUGUAAAGACGUCUCCUACUUGCGUCCCUUGUACGCAUAUAAAUAGCUACUCUAUCAAUACAAAGAUCAGUCGAUCAUUUUUCAUUCAAACAGUACUGUUAUCGACAUGGUCAUGCCAGCACCUGUAUAGGAGUGGUGACCGCGGCACAUCGCACGACUCGUUCACACAGAGUUUAUUUUUUUUUAGCCUGUUUCAAGUGCUUUGUAUUCUUUGGUGAACUUUUGGAAUUUACUUGAUUCUUUUUCAGAAGAACAAAAGAAAAAGGAACACGCAGUUUGAAUCCAUUGGGCCUGGAGGGAACGUGGCGAAUGUCUCCUGGCCAAGAUACAAGCGCCGUGGGCACGGUGCAAGGGCGACGUGGCAGUUUGGACGCCGAUGCGGCGCAUUGUCGCCACCAAUACGGACGGCCUGGCGUGGAUCACGCACCAAUUUAGAUGCCAUCCAGAUCGAGGACAGCUACGUCGAGCGAUGCGAUUGGCCAGCUCGACGAUAUGCCGGCGCAAGGAAAUAUGCCGAUCCACACAAGAAACACGACGGCGAGAAUCGCGCGUACGCCCCACAUGCAUAUGCAUGCGACUUCGGACAGCCCCGCUCACCGAGUACCACUAUUAUUGGGGUCCAUGCACGCACGGCACCACACACCACACGUAAAUGCCAUGUGAUGCCUGGCACCACAGCAGGCCACAGACCAUCCAUGGACCGCGAUCACUGAGUACGUUUACUCUCUUUGGUAUUAUGCUUAAUAUGCCAUGUGAUGUGUACGUGUUUAGCCUUAAUUAGGGGGGCAGAUCCUUCAUGCUCCCCCAUAUGCAGAUCCAGAUCGAGCCGACCGCCCAAUCAGUAGCCACGGCUGACCACCAUAUCCUCAGCGGCUGGUUCUCUCUAGGACUCGGUCGACUUAGACAUCGCGAAGUGUAAGUCGGCUGAUGUCACCUGUUCAUAUUUUUUCGUUCCUGUCCAAACUAUAUCCCCGUCGUUGCAUCUUGUGGCUUUUUGGGCUGGCCCCCCUUUUUUGUCUUUGGUCUGUGCGUUUAUCAAGUUGUGUUGAGCCAGAUAUUUUGGGCAGUUAUUUCUUGUUUGGUGCUGCUGCUCGUUGAUUAUGUAAUCUUUAGCUAUUGUUUGAGCAUUUUUUCUGAAACCUUUAGCUAUUGUUCGAGUAUAUUAGCUUUGUGGUACACCGGCCAGCUAUAUUAGUUGUUGUUCCUACAGUUUUCUUAACAUGCUAUUUCUUUCGUUUUGUUUGGAUUUCUUUUUCAUUUUUAUUUACAUUUUCACAUUUUGUUUCUAAAAAUUGUAAACAUUAGUCAAAUUUUUUUCGUGCAUUUUCAUAAAUACUCAUCGUGUAUUUGAAAAAUAUCUAACGUGUCACUAGAAAAUGUUUAAUAUUAUUUAAAAAUAUUCUUCAUGCCAUUACAAAAAUAUUCAAUGUUAGUUAACGCUCGUUUUUAGCUUGCAUUUUCUUUGUUUGAUUGGGUUGAGUCGGGCAUUGUUUUACUCGUCUGUUUGUAAUUUCUCUAUCAUCCACAAAUUGAAAAAGGUACUAACAAAAAUAAAGAGAGCUCAUCAUAUGUUGUUUCACAUGCGAUGCGGGCAUGCAACUAGGUUUGUGUGGCAUGCUUUUAAAAAAUUCCAAAUGUCUCUUUUUAGAUAAAAAACAAAUAUAAUAUAAUAUAAAAUAUAAAAUUCAUUUAAUAAUAGGAUGUGGAUACGGCUCGGUCGACUAAGACUUAGAAAGAAGUCUCAGGCAGCUGGCAUCAUGGCGGGGUGCUGUAGUAGCCCGAGGCAACACUUUCAGAUGCAGGUCUAGUUGCAUGCAUGCAAUUGUCCAUCUUCCGAGAAAAACACCAGGAGUUGCAGUCCUGGGCGACACAUGUAGUUGCAUGCCAAGUGUCGGACUUGCAACUUCUCCCUCCCAGACAAAAUACCACAGAGAUGCAGUCUGGUUUAAGACAUGCAGUUACAGUUGUCGGAUACCGGGUUCCGGCAAAACCCUUAAGGUUCGAACAUUGGGGUGCGCACGAAGAUUUCUCCCUAUCGAAUCUUGCUCUCUCUGCCUCAUCGCGAUCACUAGGCUUAGCUAAACGAAAUCACAGAACAAGAGACACAAGGUUUAUACUGGUUCAGGCCACCAUUGUGCUGUAAUUCCCUACUCCAGUGUGUGGUGUGGUGGAUUGCCUCUUGGGCUGAUGAUGAACAGUACAAGGGGAAGAACAGCCUCCUGAGGCGAGGUGUUCUUGUGAUCUAUGGGUGGUUCUGGUCCGAAUGGAUCUCUUCCUUUUUAUGGUGGUGGCUAGCCCUAUUUAUAUAGGCCCUGGUCCUCUUCUCAAAUAUUGAGCGGGAAGGGAUUCCACAACGGCGGGAUUUGAAAGGGGAAAACCAGUACAGGCUAUCCUGACUAAAGGUGGUCUUCGCCUGCCAAAGGCUCUGGUGAUGACGACGUCUUGGGCUUCACCGUGACCUCCAUCUUGCCGUCCUGCUAGUCCUGGUCUUGUUGCACCGAUAUGGAAACCUUUGCGUGAUGCCUCGGUACUCCGCGCCUGCGCUUGCCCCCUUAGCACCAAAGGGGAACGAGUACACUGUGCGCGCUGGAGCCCGCCUGGCGUUGGUCGUCAUGGCUUGCGUCAGGGGAACCUCGCGAGGUACCCCGUGCCUUGAUCUCUCCGCCUCCCUCGUGAGCCUGCCUGAUGAGGCCGCUCUUGAGGAGGCCUUGCGUCGUCCGCUCCACGAGGCUUGGCCCCUCGCGAGGGUCUUGAGUGCUUGGUUGAUGAAGACGGGCCGCACUGGACCGCCCGUGGAGUCACGCAGCGGGCCGCAGGCAGGCAAGUCUGGAUACCCCCAUAUCCAGAACGCCGACAACAGUCUGGGGCAACACUUGCAGUUGCAUGCGUAGUGUCGGGCAUGCAACUACCCCCGCCUCUCCCCGUUGCUCUUCGACAAAAACACAAAGGACAUUUGCAGUUGGGAGGGAUGCGUGCAAUUGCAGUCGAGGGCAGCACGUGGAGUUGCAAGCCUAGUGUUGGCCAUAGAACUGCCCCCCUCUCACGCUGCCCACCGACCAAACAAAAGGUUGGGUGCGGUUGGGUGUGUUGACAUGCAGUUGUAGUCGAAGGCGACACUUGAGUUACAAGCCUAGUGUCUGGCAUGCAGUGUUCUGCAUUAAUUGUGGCCACUGAUGCAGACCUACUAGUGUGAAUCAGGCAGCAAUAUAUUCCUGUUAGUCAAAUAUAUUGUCUUAUGAUCAAAAUUUGACUUAAAAUACAAGGGGCACAAUGAACCGUGAUGGAGGAACUGUAUGUGUCAGUGUGGAUCACGCAACAAGGUAUUAGAGCAUCCACAAUGUAGUGGUUUUCAACCUCGUUAGCUGCCUCUAAAGGCUUGGAGCCCGCCUCUACACACGGCAGACAUUGCCUCUAUGUUUUUUAAGCUUGGCGUAGGCGCUAGCCUUGGAGGCUGCCUCCAAGGAUUAAACAACAACAUGGUCCUACUAGUCAGUGGAUAACUGAGCGUAGCUUAGAUGCAAGGCGCGGGAAUUCGCAGUUAGACCAUCAAGGUUUAAGUCUCGGCUUGAGAAUUUGGAUCUCACGGGGUUUUCUUUUAUAAAAAAAUGUCAACUGGAUAGUCUAGCCCGGGUUGGUCUCUUUCAUUUUUUUCCCUACUAGUCAGUGUAUGGUUGUGGCUAGGCCAUGCAAAUUGAUCAAUACACUCUUCAUUGUUUAUUCUAUUAUGGGACCAUUCCUUAGAGUCAACAGCCGAUGCUACACACUACAUGGUUUCUAGAUCUGAUUAGAGGCUGGAGGUGGGGCCCAGGAUAGAGGCAGCCUAGUGCCCUUAUUUACACCAUCCAACCAUCUAUGUUUACCGAUGUGAAACACUCACUACUAGGGAAAACCCUAGCAGUAGCGCUGGUUUUGUGCUCACUAGUAGCGCGGGUAGGCGCGCUACUAAUAAGGCGCUACAACUAUUGCUUAGCAGUAACGCGUGCCCGCACGCGCUACUGCUAGGACAAAUAGCUGCAGCGUUUGUUCAGUACCACGCUACUGCUAAGGUAACUACUUGCAGCGUGUUUUUUGUCCAUCGCUACUAGUAUUUUUUUAUUUUUUAUUUUUAGUGUAUUUAUGCGCCAUCGUACAAAUAUUGGUACAAUACCAGUUAUGAGGUUUACAUCAUUAUGUCCAUAACAGUGUGUCAAAUGAAGGUGGAUUAGGUUCAAGUGGAGGCAAUAUGUGGUGCAUGUCAAAAGUAUACUACUAAUCCAAACUUGAUCUAGUUUGGACUAGUAGUACUUUCGAUGUGCACCACGUGUUACCUUCACUUGAAUCUAAUCCGCCAGCAGAAGCUAUUUAAUCAUCAUCAUAGUCAUUACCACCAACAUUAUUUAUUUAAUCACUACUAACACUAGCUAAUAAUAAUCAUCACAGUCAUUACCACCAACACUAGCUAUUGUAUCAUCAUAUAAUAGUGUAGCACAUCAUCAUCCUCAAACUCAUUUCUAGCUAGCUAAUCACUCCUGCUGCUCUCUCUUAGUUAAAUAAUAUAAAACAUGUAUAGCUCUCCUCCUUGAUCAAGCUAGAGCAUGCAGAUGAACCUGUCUCCUAAUCGUGGGUAGCACAUCUGUUUGCUGCCCCCUAGUACUUCUCUGUGCUCCCCUAUCACAUAUUUGGUCCAGUCUUGCACUAUUAAGCAUCCGUCGCUAAUCUUGAAUGCACUAAAGUAAUCUGUAGGAUAUCUUGGCCGUAAGCUGGUAAUACUCAUGGUACCUUUAGUCUCGAUUUCAUAAGGCACAACAUUCAUCGGGAGUCCCUGUUGAAGAACAUCGUAUGGUAACAUACUUAGCAAUGAAGUUUAGCUUCAAAAAUAAUGUAUGGAAAAGAUGCACUGAUGACAAAUAGUAAAAAUCUUAUCAUCCUUCCUAAAUGGAUGUGACCGUAGUUCAUUACAAACACUAUUGGUCGCACAUUUUCAGUACUAACAUUUCUAAAUGCAGAAAGAAAAUUUGUCUUGACAGUAUCAAGAUCCUCAAGCCAUGAAACAUAAUGACUGAGCUCCUCGCAGUUGAGUUCAGCCCCAGGACAGUAUACGGCUCUGUCUACCAAGCGCUGGACAUGUUUGUUUGCACCGAAAUAAGCUGACAAUACAAAUUAGUUGUCAACUAUUUUUGAAUAAACAAUAUCAAAGACAUAAAAUAUGGUUGAUAAACUUACAUAAUGGUAUAACUGGAGGCGUUUGCACAUCGACCCAGAUGCCGGUAUUACCUUCAAUAUCAUCUUCCGGACGAAUAUCAAUGGUGAUAACCAUAUCAGGAUCAAAUGCAUAAGUCUUGCAUAGUGCUCGCCAUGUUUUGCAUCCAAAAUAGGUGUAGUCGUCUGAAUUGUACAAUUUUGCAUGGAAAAUAUAACCAUGCUCGGUCUUCAAGUAAACUUUCUUUUCCUCCAUACUAUGACUGAAACCUAUCUAAUCCAAUACAAAAACUCUUGCAUGGCAGGGGAUAUGCUAGUAGAAUAGUAAAAAAAAAAUAUAAGUUGAAGCUAAUGAAGCAGAUGUCAUGCUUAAUUACGAAAAAAGACUUGUCGUUGUGACUUACUGUAUCAACUUCGAAGUUCUCGUCCAGCUUGAUGCUGAAGCGCCUAUCAUCAUCUAGGAAGAUUCCGUCGCACAGGCCACGCUCGUCUUCGCAGUAUUUGCAAAUACCGAAAUCCUUUUCAUCGUCAGACAUUUCCUAUGUUCAUAGUUAAAACAUUAAUUAAAAAUUGAUCAAAGACAACUACCAAGAUACUCAACACACAAAUUCGGGGCACUCGAUAUUUCCUACAUAUUCUGGCACAAGUCAUGCCAAAAUUCACGGAAAAAUCCGGCAUGACCUUUGCUAAAAUAGGACAUAUCGAGUGCCUGAAAUUUGCCGGAACGGAAAUGAAUCAACACUCCGGCAAAACAUAGGCCACUCGGAGGUGUAACCUGCAAACAUGACCGGCCACUUGGAUAUUGAGCAACACAAGAUAUACAUUUCAAAAAAUCUUAUAGGACUCAAAUUAUCAUGCAUUCAAUAAGCAAAAGUUAAUCAUCUCAUGCGUCUGUACAUCGUCGAAUAUUAUCACUAAUACAUCACGAAUAGUGUCAUACAUAUAACAUCACUAAUACAACUAAAAACCUAGCACACGACGGGUAUCGGCGCGGGCGGUGGACACCCAGAGAGAAGGAACCAUCACGGGAUCAUAGCUGCAGUGAGAUCCCCGAAGAACCUGCCAGGUAUUGGAGAAUGGCCUGUGCUCCAACGCAAACAAGUAGCGACGGACAUGCGCGUCCUCCUCACUGACACGGUGAUGCACCACCUCCGUGGAGUCCUCGAGCCUCUGGAUCAUCACUGGCCCAUGCAACCGCCACCAAAGAAGGUUCGGGUCAACGACAGGCUGGAUCCUCACCAACCUACGCCCCCCGGUAGGUAACGCCUCCUAGUACCACCCCAGCGGAGCCCAGUCCCGUACAUGGCCGAUCUGGUCAAGCAGGUGUCAUCCUCCGCCGACUCGACGACGAGGAUGCGGGAUAGGCAUCGUCCACGUCGAGGCGGGAAAAAUUGCUUUAACUAAAAAAUAGAAACAAGUUCUUACUAACUAGUUCUAUUAAUUCAACUAGUUCUUACUAAAAAUAAACUUACUAUAAAUAAAAAUAUUCUAGUACCUAAUUAGUACCUAGUUCUUACUAACUAAUUAGUACCCAGGAACUACUGCCCUAAUUACCAUCUAAUUUGAUGAACCUAUAGGGGUGGAAAGUGGUAGCGGAUAUUUCAAUUAUCCAACUAUAAAGUGAAAUAAGUGGUCAAAUUUUACUCGUUUUAUGAUUCAUCUUAGAAAUUUGAUUCGUUUUCACCCUUACAUGAACCCUAACUCAUUUGAGCCGCAUCCGCAUCCGAUUUGUUUCCGCUCUUACAUGAACCCUAACUAAUUUGAUGCAACUAAAAUAUAAAGAAACCCUAGGCAGAGGUAGGGGAGAGGGAGGAGCGGGCGUGCUCACCUCGGGUGCCUACGACGAGGGAGGGGUAGGGCGGCGUCGAGGUCGGGGUCGGGGCUCGGGCGCGCGGUGGAUGGCGCCCGGCAUCGAGGUCGGGGUCGGGGCGGCGUUGAGGUCGGGGGCGGGGGCGGCGUUGAAUCUGGGGUCGGGGCGGCGUAGAGGGUGCGGAGAGCGCGCGGCGGCCGACGGGCGACGGCGGCGGCGAGAGUGGAGAGAGUUGAAUUUGGGGGAAGUGGCCGCGUGGGGAAGGACGAACCCCGUGGUUAAGUUAGAAGUAGCAGUAGCGCGUUCCAGGAAAAGCGCUGCUGCUAACUUAGCUACAGCGCGUUCUGUGAUACACGCUACUGCUACUCCUUUCUUUUUUUCCCUUUUUUCAUUUAGUUUUCUUCACAAUUUAUUUGUUUCCUUUCACCUUAUUCUAUUUCUUUCAUUUUCAAUUACCUUUCCAUUUUCUUUCCAUUUAAUUUUAUAACCUUUAGCAGCAGCGAGUUUAUAUUAAAACGCGCUGCUACAAACAAAGUAGCGGUAGCGCGGUUCGUCAUAGAUCGCUACUACUAUGUGUAGCCUAUCCGCUAAGCCGUGGGAAUUUUAGUAGUAACGUGUGUACAGCAAGACACGCUACUGCUAGAUCUUUAUCUGCAGCGCGGUUUCCUCAGGCGCGCUACUGCUAAUUAGCACCAGCGUGCUUUUUUGACCCACGCUACUGCUAAAGUUCUGUGUAUAAGGUUUUCCCUAGUAGUGACUAGCUGGACUGACAUGUCGGUGUCAUCAAUGCCAUGUGACUGAGAACAACUCACUCAAUACCAUCAUUCACUUUCCGACUGUUAUCAACAUGGUCAUGCCGGCACCGGUAUAGGAGUGGCGAACACGGGAGUUAAUUGCAGAAAACCACCAUAAUUGUGGCUAGGUAUGUAGAGAACUAUCUAGUCCCUAUUUUUUUCCAAAAGCCACUGCGUUUCUAGUAAAAUUUCUAUAGAAAGCAAUGACCAGGUGAUUUGGUGCAUUUGAUCACUACCUGACAAGUAGGGCCAAUUGUAAGGAGCCGAUUUGGCAAAAAAUGACGUACACCCCAUGGAUUUCACAAAGACACCUUAUCCAAAACAAAAAGCAAUCACCCCCCCCCGCCGGUCGCACGUUGCGUGCCUCCUUAGAGGUGGUGGCUGGACAUUGGGAGCCGGCCUCCGGCAGGACCUUGCUCGCGGGGCAAGACGGCCUCCCUCCUCCCUGGCCGUCGUGGCUGGCCAUCGACUCACCCCUAGCUGCAAGCUCACAACCCUAGCAUGGACACGUGAUGACCCACAAGUAUAGGGAAUCAAUCGUAGUCCUUUCGAUAAGUAAGAGUGUCGAACCACAUGAGGAGCAGAAGGAAAUGACAAGCGGUUUUCAGCAAGGUAAUGUCUGCAAGCACUGAAAUUAUAAGUAACGAGUAGUUUGAUAGCAAGAUAAUUUGUAACGAGCAAGUAACAAUAAUGGUAACAGAAGUGCAGCAAGGUAGCCCAAUCUUUUUGAGGCAAAGGACAGGCCAAAACGGUCUCUUAUGAUAAGCAAAGUGUUCUUGAGGGCCCAUGGGAAUUUCAUCUAGUCACUUUCAUCAUGUUGGUUUGAUUUGUGUUUGCUACUUUGAUAAUUUGAUAUUUGGGUGGAUCGGUGCUUAGGUGUUGUUCUUACAUGAAGAAACCUCCUACUUAUGAUUAAACCCCUCGCAAGCAUCCGCAACUACGAGAAAAGUAUAAGAAUAAAUUCUAACCAUAGCAUUAAACUUUUGGAUCGAAAUCAGUCCUUUACAGAAUAACACAUAAACUAGUGUUUAAGCUUCUGUCACUCUCGCAACCCAUCAUCUAAUAACUACUCCACAAUGCAUUCCCUUAGGCCCAAAUAUGGUGAAGUGUCAUGUAUAGUCGACGUUCGCAUGACACCACUAAGGGAAUCACAACAUACAUACCAUCAAAAUAUCGAACACAUAUAAAAUUCACAUGAUUACUUGCAACAAGAUUUCUCCCGUGACCUCAAGAACAAAAGUAACUACUCAAAAAUGAUAAUCAUGCUCAAGAUUAGAGGGGUAUUAAAUAGCAUAAUGGAUCUGAACAUAUAAUCUUCCUCCAAAUAAACCAUAUAGUAAUCAACUACAAGACAUAAUCAACACUACUAGUCACCCACAAGCACCAAUCUAUAGUUCCGGUACAAAGAUUGAACACAAGAGAUGAACUAGGGUUUGAACGGAGACGGUGAUGUUGAAGAUGUUAAUGCAUAUUGCCCUCCCCAAGAUGGGAGAGUUGUUCGUGAUGAUGAUGACGAUGAUUUCCCCCUCCGGGAGAGAAGUUCCCCUGGUGGAAUCGCUCUGACGGAGGGCAAAAGUGCUCCCGCCCAAGUUCCUCCUCGAGACGGCGGCGCUCCAUCCCGAAAGUCAUCUCUAUAUUUUUUUUCUAGGUCAAAACGACUUAUAUACCGGAACAAGGGCACAAGAGGUGGGCAGGGCUGAGCAAAACCCACCAGGGCAUGCCCUGGUAUCUUGUGCUCACCAGGUGGCCCCCCUCCGGUACUUAUUUGCUGCAUUAUUUCUUAUUUAUUCUAUAAAAAAUUCUCGUGAAGUUUCAUCUCAUUUAGAGUUGUGCAGAAUAGGUAGCCUGCCGAAAUUCUCCUUCUUUGUGUGAACCUUGCAUAUUAUGAGAGAAAAGGCAUUAGAUUUACUGCAAAAGGCAUUAUUAUGCAUAAAAAUAUUAUAAAUAACAGUAGGCAAACAUGAUGCAAAAUGGACGUAUCAAGAGGCGGCCAAUCCCACAUGUUCACCCGGCCCUGUUGUUGUGCUACCAGAGCUCCACCGGCCUACGAGCGCUCCGCCCCACUGCCAACCGCCUCCUGCUCUACUCAUCUCCUCGAUCCUCUUGCCGGCGAGCUCGCCUCGCGCGUCGGACAUCCAUGACCAUGGCGCCGCCUGCCAUAAACCUAACCCCAAAUGUGGUGGUUUUCUGCUUUUAACUAAGAUCGCGGCGCAUCUCCCGGCUCGUUCAUACAGAGUCAUUGGGUGGUUCAAGGACCUCAAUGAAUUUUUUACCAUGUUUGGAGUACUUUAUACUUUUUGGUGAACUUUUGGAAUUUAUUUGAUUCUUUUUCAGAAGAACAAAAAAAAAGGAACACGCAGUUUGAAUCCAUUGGGCACGGAUGGAACGUGGCGAAAGUCUCCUGCCCAAGAUACAAGCGCCGUGGGCACGGUGCAUGGGCGACGUGGCAGUUUGGACGCCGAUGCGGCGCAUUGUCGCCACCAAUACGGACGGCCUGGCGUGGAUCACGCACCAAUUUAGAUGCCAUCCAGAUCGAGGGCAGCUACGUCGAGCGAUGCGAUUGGCCAGCUGGACGAUAUGCCGGCGCAAGGAAAUAUGCCGAUCCACACAAGAAACACGACGGCGAGAAUCGCGCGUACGCCCCACAUGCAUGCGACGUCGGACACCGCUCACCGAGUACCACUAUGAUUGGGGUCCAUGCACGCACGGCACCACAGGCCACACGUAAAUGCCAUGUGAUGCCUGGCACCACAGCAGGCCACAGACCAUCCAUGGACCGCGAUCACUGAGUACGUUUACUCUCUUUGGCGUUAUGCUUAAUAUGGCCAUGUGAUGUGUACGUGUUUAGCCUUUAUUAGGGGGGCAGAUCCUCCAUGCUCGCCCAUAUGCAGAUCCAGAUCGAGAGCCGACCGCCCAAUCAGUAGCCACGGCUGACCAUCAUAUCCUCAGGACAAAUUUGACAAAUUUGACCUAUAGACGGAAUUAAAUCAUAGAAUGAACUAUCCGUGAAACUAUUUUACGCGGCUGACCUUUUUGUGUGACGCCCGCCACGAAGGCGCCACACUACACUGUGCAACGCCUCACAGAUAGGCGCUACACAACCAGCGUCGCACACGUGUGAUCAGAAAAUUACUAAGUCGUGUGCAGCGCCUGAGAGCUAGGCGCCACAGGUCAGCCGCGUGAAAUAGUUCUAUGGACAGUUCAUUCUGUGAUUUAAUUGCGUCUAUAGAUCAAAUUUGUCAAAUUUGCCUAUCCUCAGCAGCUGGUUCUGUCUAGGACUCAGUUGACUUGGACAUCGCGAAGUGUAGGUCGCUGAUGUCACCUGUUUAUAUUUUUUGUUUAUGUCCAAACUAUAUCCCCGUCGUUGCAUCUUGUGUCUUUUUGGGCUGGCCUCCCUUUUUGUCUUUGGUUUGUGCGUUUAUCAAUUUGUGUUGGGCCAGAUAUUUUGGGCAGUUCUUUUUCUGUUUGGUGCUGCUGCUCGUUGAUUAUGUAAUCUUUAGCUAUUGUUUGAGCAUUUUUUCUGAAACCUUUAGAUAUUGUUCGAGUAUAUUAGCUUCGUGGUACACCGGCCAGCUAUAUUAGCUGUUGUUCCUAACAUGCUAUUUCUUUCGUUUUGUUUGGAUUUCUUUUUCAUUUUUAUUUACAUUUUCACAUUUUGUUUCUAAAAAUUGUAAACAUUAGUCAUUUUUUCGUGCAUUUUCAUAAAUACUCAUCGUGUAUUUGAAAAAUAUCUAACGUGUCACUAGAAAAUGUUUAAUAUUAUUUAAAAAUAUUCAGCAUGCCAUUACAAAAAUAUUCAAUGUUAGUUAACGCUUGUUUUUAGCUUGCAUUUUCUUUAUUUGAUUGGGUUGAGUCGGGCAUUGUUUUACUCGUCUGUUUGUAAUUUCUGUCAUCCACAAAUUGAAAAAUGGUACUAACAAAAAUAAAGAGAGCUCAUCAUAUGUUGUUUCACAUGCGAUGCGGGCGUGCGACUAGGUUUGUGUGGCAUGCUUUAAAAAAAUUCCAAACAUCUCUUUUUAGAUAAAAAACAAAAUAUAAUAUACUAUACGACUAAUAUAUCCACCAGUCGACUGUUCAUUUGCUUCAAAUCCGCACGACUCGACAGCCGUCCGAUCCAGAUCCAACGGACCGCGUCGCUCCUGGUGCGCGCAGCGCGGGUGGCGGUAGCCGUUACCAUCGAUGUGUGUCGCUGACUAGUGGGUCCACUGGAACCGCCCAUAUCGCCCAAUGCCACGAUCCCCACUCGUCCCCUCUCGCGUUCGCCCGCACUACUUCUUCUUCCUCUGAUUCCGGCCUCUCCAUUCGAAUCUCCUCUCGCUCCCCUCCCCCUCAUGCGCGACGGUUGCUGCUGGUGGCGCGUUCCGGUUCGCGGCGGACGGCGACUGGUGGAUACGGUGAGGAACGCAUGCCCCGCGCCCUGUUUUCCUUCUCUUUUUGCUCCGCCGCUCUGGUCCGCCAUUGAUUUAGGUUGGAGCCGUCGAAUCUGGUAGAUUGUUGUUCCUAUUAGGUUAGAUUAAGGACGGCUUCUAAUUUCUGAGUCGAAGUUGAGUAGCGCAUCCCCCAUUCCCCCACCCAUCCACCCGCCCCAUUCUGUAUUUCCUGUUGCUCCGCCUCCAUGCUUCGCCGUUAAUUUUUGGUGCUCGGACUCUUUGAUUCUGGCGGUCGUUGUUGCUAUUAGGCUAGGUUAUGUCGCCUUCUAAGUUCAGUUUGAAUAUGGUUCGGACAUCUGGUUUAAUUUUGUGGUAAUCGUGGGCGUGGAUAGGUCUUAGUGGUGGUAAGUGUGGUUGGUUCUAAUAGGGAUUUUGUUAUGGUGUUACUGUUGUGGAUGUGGUUGUUUAGUACAUCCAAUAAUGUUUGGUGUUUAUGAAUUUCAAGUUGUGCAUCAGUGGAUGAGGAUUUAAAAAGCAACCAUAAGUUUUUUCACAUAAUGUUGUUUUAUGUUGGUUUUGUUAGAUGCGGUUUGUCCAUUGAUUAGGCUUUUGUGCUGCUCCAAUUAGCUUGUUUACAUUGCUUGAUUUGCUUGUUAUGUUUUGUUCCGUUCAAUUAUCAUGAUGUCUAUAUUGAACUUACCAACUAUAUUGCACUCAAAUUAUCAGAUGCUUUAAACUCAGUUAUUUAUCAUUGUUGUCUUGUUAUGGUUGAAUUAUCAUGGUGAUGGUUUUACACUUACCUCUGUCAUCUUACCGUAGUUUCCAUAAGUUUUUGCUAGACUAACUAUAUGUAGCACAACCCUUAUUUCUCAAUCAUUUUGUUUUGGUUGGGUUAUUAAUGAGCAUGUGUGAAUGCUAUUUCUUAUCAUUGGUAAUUUGGUUGUAACUUACCAAUUGCAUUGUGCCUCAAUUAUCAGUCUCACAUGCUUUUUAUAUACCUGUGCUAUCUGUUUUACUUUUUUUUAGCAUGUGCGACCAAUUUGCGGUUUGCUUGUUUCCUUUUAUCAGCUGUAUUAUUGCUUUGUCAAACACUGGUUUUAUAAACAAUGUAUUCAUUUUUUUCUUACGUGUCAGGGAGACAAUGCCGAGGAAGCGUAAAGGAGAUGGUGAUGGAAUCGAUGAGGUUCCUUCGAAAAAGGCGAAACGCCCUCCUCCGCGGAAUAGAGCCUCACCCGGUUCGCUUCUUCUAGCGUGCAAGGACAUGAAUGAUGACAGGAAGGGUGCCAUUGAUGAUAUGGAUUUAACUAGCCUUCGAAAUAUCCAAUGUGACCAUCUAUUCAACAAUCUCAGUGUGUGGCUUGCUGAUCUCUACGACCCCAAUUCGCGUGAGGUGGUCGUACCAGGCCGAGGCAGGCUUCCGGUCAAUGAAGAAUACGUGCAUCGUGUUAUGGGUGUGCCGUGUGCAGGGAAUGAUGUCCCUUACAACCUCCCAUCUGAAACUGAUAUUGAGUUAGGGCUUGAGUUGUUUGGCGAGCUCGGAUAUGCCCCUAAAAUGACUGAUCUUGUUGAUCUCAUAAAGGGUUCUGAAAAUUCUGAUGACACUUUCAAGCGUAUGUGGUUUCUUCUUGCGGGGAAUACAGUCAUUGCCCCGACCACCUCCAACAAAGUUAGCCCCCAUUGGUAUGUUGUGCUGGUAAGUUUUUUUGUGAAUAUGUCAUUUUCUUUCUUGUGUGCCUCAUAACUUUUAUAUAUGUCAGUGUGAUAACUUUCGUUUUUUUUGUGGUGCAUUCGGUGAACUUCAGUGCUGUUUUUUAUAUUGCAGCGUGACAUCAAUGGUGUUAAGAAUCUUAAUUGGUCCAAAUUUAUUGCUGAUGAACUGCACAAGGCGAUGUUGAAACGCAAGCCUACCAGGGGUUGCCUUCUUUUCUACAAUGUAAGUGACGAUGCUUUCCUCUUACCUUCUCUUUUGUCAUUUAUCAUUUUCCUUGUCAUUUUGUGGCUGGUUUUUGUAAGUGUUUACCAUGGCGCUUCUGUUUUUCUUAUCAGCUGUUGUACAUUCAUGCGAUUGAUCUUUCUGGACUUGGCAUCGAACUGCCUGAAAGUCCUUUUCCCAUCAAUGUAUGGACAAAGAAGCUGAUAACUCUUGUCCUCAACAAGGAUGUUCAGACUGACAAAGUUUCUUUCGGGAAACUACCGGUAUUAUAUAUCUAUGUUUUUCAGUUCACAGUCUGCUUUUCAACUGCAUUUUAUUUUCAUUGUUUGUUUGUUGUUACUUAUCUGUGAUGGCUACAUUUUUUUCCAGUUGAAGCCUGAGUUUGGCAUGAAUUUCUGUCUCUUUGGUGGUGUGGAAGGUCUUGACAAGUUUAUGCGUGUUCAUACUGCCCCAAGCUGCAGUGAAGAGGUGAGCAUGUAACCUAGUUUCUUGAUCUUUUUUUUGCUAUUUUAUGUUCUUUCAUUUGCUGAUAAAUUAUUUUUUGCACCCAUUUGUGGUUACCCUGAUUUGUUGCCAACUUGUCACUCUUUUAGUAAUCUGGAUGAUUUCCAUUGUGGCAUAUCCUCUAUAUAAAAUAUAAUUAUGAUGCAACCAUGUGAUAAUUAUUAGUGCAAUGCCUUGAUAACUUUGCAGCAUUUCUGUGAUAACUUGAUAUCAUGAUAACUUUUGGUUGCAUUUAUUAUGAUGAUUGUGGCAUUCCCGUGAUAACUUGAUAUUCAUGAUAACUUUUGUUGCAUUUUUGUGAUAACUUACUAGUUAUUUCCAUUCUUUUUUCAUUUUUUUAUGUUGAACAGAAAUUUGCCAAAUCAACUGAGAUAGUUGCUCGAUUCACGUCCGCCAUGGCUGGCAUCCUAGGCAAUCUUGUGGAAUCAUUCACCGCUUUAGAUGAUGAGGGCCAUUCACAUGCAUCUCGUCAGCUAGACGCUGGAUUGAACGUUAUCUCCUCUGCCGCCCGUACGAUGUCAAGGACUACGCGGUCAUCGCAAGGCAGGCGGACAGAAAGUGCUGGAAAGAAUGUGGCUGAAGAUUCUGACAGCGAUGACGAUUAUCACGGAGGUGAUGAUUCUGAUUCUGACGCUGACUCCGAUGAUGAUGAUGAUGACUAUCGAGUUGUUCCUCGUCGCCCUAAAGAUCCUUUUGUUGCUUCAGGCAGUGGUACCGUGGAUGUAGACAUGGGCAGCGGUCCAGCUGAUGAUGAGACCACACAUCUUGAUGGUGCAACUGUCAAAGCCCAUGAUGGCACAGGACCAAAUGUUGAAGACACCCCUGUCCGCUCUGUCGGCAAUAACCUCGUUGAUUCAUAGAUCUUACUCACUGGAACAUCUCAUGCAGCAUCCGUCGAAUCAGGUGAUCGAGGGAUUAGCCAGCAAGGUCUGACAGACACGCAAGCUGAGGCGGCCACUGACUCUUCUGUCAAGCGGUGCGGUGCUGAGCUUUUGAAAAUUUUGGCUUACCAGAGGCGCAAGAAGCUGAGGCUACCAUCACCCNNNNNNNNNNNNNNNNNNNNNNNNNNNNNNNNNNNNNNNNNNNNNNNNNNNNNNNNNNNNNNNNNNNNNNNNNNNNNNNNNNNNNNNNNNNNNNNNNNNNNNNNNNNNNNNNNNNNNNNNNNNNNNNNNNNNNNNNNNNNNNNNNNNNNNNNNNNNNNNNNNNNNNNNNNNNNNNNNNNNNNNNNNNNNNCCGUCUUCACCAAUUGCACUGUCAGCAUCUGAGAUUCAUGUAGCUGUGAAGAAAGUUGUGGUCCAGGAGCUUGGUAUACGCGUGGCUGAAAAGGGAACCGGUGCCUUCGUCCCACUGUCCACUUUGCGGAAGGAGGCCCCACGCAGGUGAAUUAUUACUUUCCAAUGUCCUUCUUAUCAAUUGUGUGCCUGAAACAACAUGGUAAAUACAGUCAUUUGUUUAAGGUAGUUUGGGUAAUUUCAUGCCGGUGAUCAACUUGCUUAUUUUUCAUCUGCAGGGCCCCCGGCAAACAAUCUGUUGCUGCUAAGGAUUCAGGGAUUGCACCAGUGAAAAGGUAUUCAAAUUGUUACUUUCGUUUAUGAUCAGCAGUUAUUUUGUUCUUGUUGUCUGAUAACUCAUUUUGAUGAACAUUGGUAACUCAACUUUGCCCCCCUGGUAAUUUAGAGUUACCAAUCUUGAUAGUUGUAUGUGCUUGUAACAUUUGGUUAUUUUUUCAUUCAGUGCACCUAUGAAACAAGUUGCUGCUGCUAAGGGUUCUCCAAGUGAACCAGGAAAAAGGUGUUCACAUACCUAUCUAGUUUGCAGUUAUUCAAAAAUAAUUGUUGGUUUUUUUGUUCAUAUGAUUUGAUAACUUUAUAUUUAUAGUCCUUGAGUACUUUGUAAUUUUUUCCCUGGAUGCUACUUAUACCUGAAGUAUGUGACAUCCUUUUUUGAUUGAAGCAUGUGGUAACUCAGGUUUAACAACAUGUGUAAUCUCACUACUACCCUUGUGUAUCAAUUUUUUCAGUCGUUCAAAAGAUAAAAGUGCAGUGAAAAAGGUGAAAUUCUCCAAGACCAGAUCCUCUCCACGAUUAAGGGCAACAUUGUCGUAGACAACGUCAUCGGAGACAACAGAAGUUAUCCAUCUUGAUGAAUCUCCCACGGCGACAUCUCCGUCUGAAAAAGCAGCAGCAUCUAGCGAGGGUGCAUCUGAUGCUGUUGCGGCGACAUCGGCUGGUGUUUCUGAUGAUGCUGUUUUUCAGCUAGCUGCAGCAGCAACUGUUACUGCUGCUGUUGAAGAUAUCGCCAGUGUGGCUGUAGCUAUUGAAUGCGAAAAUGAAGUCGUCCCUAAUAUAGCGCAUGAUGGAAGUGAAGGUAGUUCUGUUCGCCAUCACAUUUGUUUUUUGUUUCUUGUGUUUUUAUGAUGUUUUUUGUUGACGAUGUGUUUAAUCUUUUUCCGCUGUAGCUGAGAAAGUUGUGGGAAAUACCAGAGAUAAUAUGCCUACUGAUACGGCUACAGCUGGAGGUGAAAAGAAUGAUGCCGAUAAUCCUGUUGUCACAGGUUGGUAACUUAAUUUUCUUAUGUUGAUAACUUGUCUGUCUAAUACAUGAUAAUUCAAGAUAUUGUUUCUGCCACUAACAAAUACAAUGUCAUCUACAUGUUUUCCUGAUGCCUUUUUUCCUUAUUUGUGUGUUACUUGUCAUGUUUUGAAGCAGUAGCUCACCAUGCAUUGGAGUUGAGCACCACUGGAGCUGGAAACUACGAUGGUAAUUUUACGCCACCCAGCUGCUCUCUUGGGCUGGAUGACAUCUUUGGUGCGAGUCCUCAAGUGCCACCAUCUGCUGAAGCAACUGCAACAGCUCAAGCUGCACCAACGUUGGCUCAAGUACCACCUGCAGCACCAGAAGCACCUGCGGCGGCGCCAUAUGCUCAAGUACCACCUGCAGCACCAGAAGCACCUGUGGCGGUGCCAUCUGCUCAAGUACCACCUGUAGAACCAGCUACUGGCCCUGACGCCGUUCUAGGGCUCGCAGCUCCUGUUGAUGCCGACUCGAAGGGCAAGGCAUUGAUGAAAGUUACCAAGGCUCAACCGGUUGCUUGGGCUCCGCCACCCAACAACUCUAGUAAGUGAAGACCUUGUGUCUUUGCUUUUAUGCCGCGAGAGUGAUGGAUUGAGAUAUGUCAGUGUUCAUCGUAUUGUUUUGUUCCUUGGUGUGCUCUUUUUAUUUAUGUGUUUGGAACUUUCUAUCAUUCCGUGUGUAUGGAUGAAUGUAAUACUACUUGUAUGCUUUGUGUGAUGUAAAUGAACAUAUGUGCUUUCAGUACCCGUAAUAUAUAUUUCUGUUGUGUCCGCUACAAUAUUUUGUACGAUGCUAGCAUAGACGAUAAGUCCAUCCUCCUCCCCCCGGUAACUUUGUCAGUUUUGAAAGCCGAUGUUAUCUGUUACUGGCUUUUAGUAAGCGCGUGAUACAUACAUCUCCUAUCAUUGCCUAUUUAUUUUCCUUAAUUCAUUGUCAUGCUUACAAAACAGUACUAUACUCGUAGUUAUUCAUCUGACCUUUUUCAUUACUCCUUCAAUUUUUUCCAAUCACCCUGAUAACUCCAUAUGACAUAUCUUGGUAACUCAAAUGUUCAAAUCCUGUCAAUUUAUGAUCCAUUGACACAAUAACUCCAGCCAUAUGCAUUCUUUGCCAAUUUUCUGGGCUAUACAAUUCUUUUUGGUCUUCUUUUUAACAUGUUAUGAUGAUUAGUUUAUAUCACAGCUGUUGCUCGUUAUGCACCAGUGUUAUCUAAUUUGUUCCUUAAAAGGCCCAUACAUGUGUGCUGGUAAUCCACAUUCACAUUGCCUGGUAUAUUUUAUAUUGUGUUCCUGAUAACUUCUUGUAUCUUGUCUCAAUUUUUAAUACCUGAUUUUUUUGCAACAAUUUAUGUUGUUUAUCACUACUGUUCAUGUCCUCAUCGCUGUUUUUUUAUUUAAGUAACACCGGAAGCUGGUCGUGUGCAAGUGUAUGAUGUUGAGAUUGACGAUGAUGAGGUUCUCAUGUGGUGGGAAGAAUUUGAACAUGGCAAUCCAGCAUUAAAAGGGAAAUCUAAUGUUCAAAUAGGUGAUUUUUUUCUGCUCCAUGAACAUUGCGACCCUUGCACAAACCACUUUCUUUGUUUUUUCAAUUAUGGACCACCACUUGAUAAUCAAAACAUGUGGCAGUUGAUAUGUUUUGACCCAUCACUUGAUAAUUCUUUCUCCCAUCUGAUGAUAAUUCAUGGUUUUCCAUUUUUUCUAUUUCUACCAGACAACCCCCAAAGUCCAACAUUUGUUACACCAGAGUUACCACCUCGCACAGAGCAUUUAGUACGCAGUUCAACACCUAAAUCCUUUAUUCGGAAAGUUAGGGUCACCCACCCGUCCAAAUACCUGCUCCCACCUUUUGCCUCCCUCACACCGAGCGAGGAGGCAGAGUACAUUUACAAUGAAGUUAUCAAGCAUACUACUGAUUCUAACUCUAAGAUUAAAGAGUAUGUUUCCAUCCUUUUUCUCAUCUUUCUUAACACAAAUCAUUAUUUUGUACGCCUUUUUUUAAAUGUAUUUUUUAAAUCUUUUUUUUGUUUUUUUGUUUUUUGUAGUCUUAGGGUCAUCAACAUUGAUGGUAGGUGGGUUACCCUUGGUGAGCUUGCCAAUUGUGUGAAGGGAGUUGGGCAACUAUCAACCAGCAUUGCCGAUCGAGUUACAUGUUCGCGUUCUCCAGUAUAAGGAAACGCCAAACAGGCUCAUCUUUCCUUGGGUGCUCUCUGUGUAUCUGUUGUGAGGAGACUUCAAAUCCAAGUGUUUACUGAAGUAUUUUUGACAGGACAAGUUUUACAUUCUUAGUCACCAGGAUCAGGUAUGUUAUGUUUGAUGGAUCUGGUAACUGUACAGUUAGUGUCUUGGUAACUUCCUGAUAAUAUCAUGUAACUUCCUGUUAUUUGCGGAUAUUGUUUGUUCUUCAUGUCAUGAUAACCUGUUUCAUGCACACUGAUAACUUUUGACCUUUCUGCCCUGAUAACUUCCUUUUCUAGUUGCCUCCCGUUGUGAAUUUCAUCACCAUUUGUUAUCUUGGUAAUUUUGUUUCUUUUCCAACUACUUUUAUGCUUACUGCCUAUUAAAUUUUUUCAGCUGCUAUUCCCUGCUUUGCAAAAGUUGGCCCGCGGUCUAGAUGACGGGCAUUGGUAUGUGUUGUCACUAAAUCUUAGGGCGAAGCGGUUUGAAGUUCUAGAUUCAUUGCGUGACCAAGAUAGUCCUUCUCUUCUCGAGCAUGUGACAAGAUACAUGAACGCAAUAAAGAAGGCCUGGUUGAUAAAUUACAAGGACUUGCAUAAGCAGAUUGAGGACUAUGAACUUGUGUACAUUGAUGUGUUGAAACACGAAAAUGGGUUAGUUGUGGAUUACUCACUCUCUUUUUAACAUCCCAACUAUAUGUUUGUCAUCCUUGUUUAUUUUGACCCGGUCUGAAACUCCAAUUAAACUGAUUUUGUGUUGUUUUUUUCAUCACAAAUGUUUCAGCAUUGAUUGUGGAUUUUUCGCCAGUGGCGCUAUCAUCUGUUUGGCAGCGGGUGAUGAGGUGAUAUUUUUUACUACAUCGUGAUAAGUUCUACCAAACUGUGAUGACAACUUUUUUAUUUGAAUCUGUCAUGACAAUGCCAUGGAGCAAAGUGUUGACAUGUUGUUUUACUAUAGUAUACACAGUCCAAAAUCACUGACUAUAUGAUAUAAUUCACUACUAUGAUUAUAAUUUGUUCAUAAGCAAUUUUUAGAAGUGCAAGGAGGACUAAUUUUUUGUCCAUAAGUAAUACAAUGCAGUGCUGGUAGCCUUCAAAAAAUGUAGAUAUAAAAACAUUGGCUUUUACAAAUCCAUGUCAAUUCCAUCAUACAUUGCUGGUAAAUGGCAUAAUAAUGUACUGAUAGCUUGGUUAAGAAAUAAAAAUUUUGGAUUUACAAAUCCAUGUCAAUCCCAUCAAACAUUUGCUGGUAACUGGCAUAACAGGGUACUGAUAGCUUGCUUAAAUUAUAGAGAUACACUUUGUUUUUGCAUUACAAAGCCAUGAUAAAAUCUAUGAUACAAUGUUGAUAACUGGAAUGUUAUGGGGCUCGUAGCUUGCACAUUAUGGUCCAUGAAAAAAAAUGCAGCCACCAUCUUCCAUUUUAAUAGCACCUUCUUCAUUUAUCUUGCUAGGGGAGAUUUGCAUGUGCGUUUGUCAUGUUCCAGACUCCUGCACACACCACAUUUCCUUUUUGUCUUUGGUUUUGCAAUCUCAAAACCUGAUUGCUUUCUUUUUAACUUUGGCCGCCCUUUCAUUACAGUCUUGGGAGGGUCUAGUAUCAACUUUGCGUUUGAGGAUGGAGCUGCAUCAGGAUGUGGGGGUUGGAUGACAAAAGCGUGAUUGUUUUUGCUAGCAUGUAUCAUCACCCGCACACUUUCUUGCUGUGUGGCAGGGUUACCCUGUCGCUGCACAUUAGUAGCACUUUCUUGUUGUGUGGCGGUGUUCUCCUGUUCAUUCACAUUGGUGGCACUUGUUUGCUGUGUGGCUGGGUUCUCCGGAUGUCUUGCAUCGGGGGUGUUUUGGUGAUAUGUGACAGGGUUGUCUUCAUUCAUCCGCCCCACAUGUAUCGAGCAGGGAUCCGGCUGUCCUUGAAACAAUCCUUUUGCUUCUUCCUUUUCCUUUCUUGCUUUUUUAAGUUGAUUGUUCUUCAGGAUUUCAAGCUCCUCCUUGAAAUUAUACAGGUGCUUUCUUGCCAAUCUGGUCUCGUCAUCUGUUAGGCAAGCAUCUUUGGCCGAUGCCUUAAAUUCUUUAAGAAUUGACGUGUAUCGCAUGACGCUUUUCCCCUCCUCUGGCAUCGACUUCUUAACUGUUGGCUGUUCGAAAUCAGGUUGAAUAAGAUCCUCCUCUGGAUCCCAGGUCCACCUCUUUAGGAUAUACUUUUCAGGUAUCUCGUAUACCCCAAUUUGGUCCAUAACUCGUAGUACGUGCGCGCACAGUAGCCCGUCACGAUCAAACUUGCAGCAACUACACGAGUAUGUCUCUUCAACCAUGUUUGCUUGCACAUGGUAGUCCCUGUCUUCAUAUUUCAGUAUUAUCCCGCGCACUGAGCUGACCUUGAAAGUACCAUCAUCCAAUGCGUCGCAUCUGUAUGCUGAUUUCACCUUCAUCUCCACCUGGAACUUGCAAAACAAGUUAUGUGUGUAUAGCCCCCGCACCUGCAUCUCCAGCGAGUUCAUCGAGUACAUUUCGGUUUCUUUGUACACUAUUUCCAACUGCUCUCUUGACACGCUAGCCAUCACCUUAUCCUGUAUCGCAGUGUACUGUUAUGCGAAUUCGACCAAUGAGUUGUUUGGGUUGACAUACUUCUUGAGCACAGUGUUAAAUCCCUCGCUUCUUGCCGUGGUCUGCAAGAACGGGAAAAAGUCGUGCAUAUAGUAUACCGGGACCCAACACUUCCUGUUCUCCCACAGCCAAUGGAAAUGCUCGUUGUCAGUCUGGCCAUACGCUUCGAUCAUCACCCACCACUUGUGCUCAAACUCAUCAACUGCAUUCAUAAUAUAAACAUGGUAACAUCAAUUAUUGGAGGAUGGUAACAUCUGUUCAAACAUAGCUGGUAACUAGGAACACCAAUGCUGUUGAUAAUUAUGUCACACACACAUGGUUACUUUAGUUGAAGGAUCAAGGUAAGUACUUUGCAGACAGGAUAAGAUUUUAUUUUUCCAAAGCGAAUACCACUCUCUGUGUGUAGUACAAGCAACAUUUUUAACUAGCAACAAAAAGAUACUCAUAUUAAUCAGACUAGCUGGUGAUUGAAAAGUUUUGUUGUAACUAGUGGGAUGAACAACUGAAAUGUGUACAUCAAACACGGACAUUAUAGGGGUAGUACAGAAAGCAACUAAUGUAGGUAAUUUUGUUAUAAUCCUCUGGUAACUUGUCACUUUGUUAGAUGGUAACUGUUGUUAUCAUGCAUCUAAACCCAUUUUCUAUGUGCCCAUUUUUUAUGUGUUUUAAGCUAGUGAGGGGUGGGAAGUAAAAUACCAGUCAGGCUGUUGUCAACACAAUCCUUGAAUGCAUUGUUUAGUGGGUCAUUGUUAGCCAUCAGCUUCCCAAGCUUCUCUUGUGCUUUUUUCAUUAUAUGCUAGCGGCAAUUCCUGUGUACUAUCCCGAUGAAGACCUCAUCAAUAGCACUCCUCAUUGCAAAAUCUUGAUCUGUUAUUAUGUUCUUUGGCGCAAUUCCACCCAUUGCAUGCAAGAAUGCAUUAAACAGCCACACAAAGUUACCAGAUAGUUCGUUUCGAACAAACCCACAACCAAAUUGGAUCGACUGCCCAUGGUUAUUAAUGCCAAUGAAGGAUGCACAGGGCAUUUUGUACAUGUUUGUCAUGUAUGUUGUGUCAAAUGAGAUGACAUCAUUGUAUCUAGCAUAUGCCCUGCGCGACGCACCAUCUAUCCAGAAUAAAUUCUCCACUCUGUCCUCAUCAUCAAGAUUUAUUCUCCAAUAGAAAUCUGGAUCUUGUGCCUUCAUAUCUUGGAAGUACGAGAUUGUGCUCCCCACAUCAGCAUGGCGGUACUCCAUUCGGAAUUUAGCUUGCUGGUUUGCGAUGUCCUUUGUUGUGUAUGGUACAUCUUUAGGAUUUCCGUAGAACCAUUCCAUUAGUUGCAUCUGUCUAGCUGUCUCUAUGUUCCAUCCGUGCAAUAUCUUCAAGAAGUCCUGCUCAUCUUUUGGAAUGUUCCUAUGUGAUGAUAGGAACUUUGUCAAGGACGGCUUUCUUAUUAGAGGGUGGUUGUGGUCGUCGUUGAAGCAUUUGACUCUCCACCACGCAUCCGUGUGGGUGAUGUAAAGGUGGGUCGGACAUCCCGACCUCACAACCUUCCCUCGUUUCGUCUUCUUCACGAUGCCUUUUGGGUCAUGCACAUCCUCUAUCUCUUCCUUGUUUGUUUUUGGCUUGCCGUAUUUCCCACAAACCAGGAGGACUCUGCUUACAGUAUUAUCUUUGAUUGUUUUUCUAUUCCAGUCUCAUUCCAAACCCAUGUCUCUAUGCAUAUUGCCUGUAGUGUUCAUAAGCUUCCUCAAAAGUAUCAAACUUCAUCGUUUCAUCAGGAGGUUUCGGUGUGGAGUAUGCCUCAGUAUUUUUGUCUCCCUGUUCAGCAUUCUCUCCCCCUGUUUCUGGACUCGCUGGCUCACUGACUGAAUGAUCAAAGAAGCUUUCUCUCCCCCCUAUGCUGCUAGUAGUCGGUUCUUUGCUUGUUUCUCGAACCAUCGGGUUGCUUCUAGAAGUAGCACCUGUAAUGUUUUUGAAAGUUGUUAUUUUGUGUUAUAUUUUUCUGCAUCCCAAAACUAGUGGUAACUUGUACUCCAGUUGCUUGGUAAAGUUUGCAUGCCAAAACAGAUGUUUUUUUUCUGUGGCUGUAAAGUGAAAGCAUGAAAUUCCAAUUGCAAUACAUAUUGCAUGAUAAUUCGUAUGCAGCAAGUGAGGUAACUAUGCCUAAAUUCAUGGUAACCAGCGAAAGCAUGUAAUACCAAUUUCAAUACAAAUUGGAUGAUAAUUUGUAUGCAGUAAGUGUGGUAAUUGUACCUAAAUUCAUGGUAACCUGUGUUCAUCAAGCUACGUCAUUUGUCAACUGUUUCAUGGUGAAUGUGAUAGUUGUAAAUAACCUAAGGUGGUAGUUGCAAUUCAAGUAUGAUGGUAACAAAUUUGUGUACAAAAUUGUGGUAGCAUGGUAAAUGUUUUACCUUCAUCUGUUUUGGCAGAACCAAAGCUUGCCGUGUGUGCAUAUUCACACUGUUGGUUUGUCCCCACACCACUCAUCAUGACAUCCACAUUACCCCCGUUGUCAUGCGCCAUUUUCUUGUGUCGUAGCACCUGCUAGUACAUAUGAUUGCACCAAUUAAUUUUCCACAAUUACUAGCAAUCUUGAUUAUUUUUUCACAACAACUAUAUUUUUUCCUUUUAAUGCCAUGAUAACUUCUGUUUUAUAACAGGUAUCGUUUUGGCAGUAACCAGCAUAUGGGAGUAUGACUGCGACAGUUUCUAUGAACCUCAUUUCAUGAACAUCAUUUUUAUCAAAAAAGAAUGGUGGCAACAAUGUAAAUCAACACAUGGUAUUCUUGUAGUGUUUUUAGCACCUUUGGUUCUGAGUUUUUCCUGGUAAUUUGUAAUGAAUUAGCACGAUAACUUGUUCUGACAUGGGUGUGUUCGAUAUAUAAAGGAUGGGUGUGUUCAAUAUAUAAAGGAAGAAAGGGAUCUUUUUUUGUGUUGAAUAAGUCUUACAGGAUGCUGAUUACUCAAUGCACAUACUCUGGUAAUCUAUUUUCAAUCGAGAUGGUAUGUCAGUUUUAAUGAGAAAAUUCAUACAUGUAUUUUCUAACUUGACUGUAAAAGAUGAAAUUUAGUCAAUCUUUUUGUUGGUAACCUGAUUGAAUUUGAGUGGUAACUCAAUUUCAACAUGGGAAUUACACACAUGUAGUAAAAAUACUACCUUUUCUUGCAUGCUUUAGUUCUUGUUGUUUUUUCCCCAUGUUUUCCCCGCUUGAUUUUAUUGGUAUGAAAUGCAAAUGCAGCAUGGGUAUAGAGGUAGCAUGGGUAUAGAGGUUGAAUCAGUUACCUCCUUUCUUUUUUGACUGAUUAUGACGAAAUAUGGACGAAUUGAUGAUAACCCCUGUGAUGUUCUUGUGGUAAACCGGGGCCCUCCCUCAAAUCCUUGUGUUUUGGUGUUGUUUUUUCAUGGUUUCCCUUUUUUUUGGUGGAUCUGAUCCGGCGUCGAUGUUGCCGGCGAUGGUGGCGCGUCGGGGAGAGAGGAGAGAACUGAUCGGGGCAGGUGGCUGUUUCUUGCGAUGGAGGUAAGAAAGUAGGGUUUGGGUGGUAAGUCACGUGCAGGAGGGGGGAGGUGGGCCAAAUUGGGCUUCGAUCCGUUGCACGGGGAAGGACGCAGUAGGGGGGAGGUGGGCCUAGUGAGAGAAGUCUGGGUCGUGGGUGGAGCUACCGAAUUGGAUCACGCGCGGGAGGGACUCAGGUUCCCGAUCGUGCGGAUCUGUCGCUAAACCACCAGUAGGCUGGUGGUUAGUCGCGUCCUAUACUAUAAUAUAUAAAAUUAAUUUAAUAAUAGGAUGUGGAUACGGCUCGGUCGAUUAAGACUUAGAAAGAAGUCUCAGUCAGCUGGCAUCAUGACGGGAUGCAGUAGUAGCCCCAGGUGACACUUUCGGAUGCAGGUCUAGUGGCAUGCAUGCAAUUGUCUAUCUUCCGACAAAAACACGAGGAGUUGCAGUCGUGGGCGACACCUGCAGUUGCAUGCCAAGUGUCGGACAUGCAACUUCCCCCUCCCAGACAAAAUACCACAGAGAUGCAGUCUGGUUUAAGACAUGCAGUUACAGUCUGGGGCAACACUUGCAGUUGCAUGCGUAGUGUCGGGCAUGCAACUAGCCCCUCCUCUCCCCGUUGCUCUUCGACAAAAAUACAAAGGACAUUUGUAGUUGGGAGGGAUGCGUGCAAUGGCAGUCGAGGGCAGCACGUGGAUUUGCAAGCCUAGUGUCGGCCACAGAACUGCCCCCUCUCACGCUACCCACCGACCAAACAAAAGGUUGGGUGCGGUUGGGUGUGUUGACAUGCAGUUGUAGUCGAAGGCGACACUUGAGUUACAAGCCUAGUGUUUGGCAUGCAACUGCCCCUCUCUCCCCCCGCCCUCAUACAAAAACACAUGGCCAAUUGCAAUUAGGGCGGAGGCGUGCAACUGCAUUCGAGGGUGGCACUUGUACUUGCAGCCAUUUUGGGAGACAUGAAGUUGAAGCCAUGGUGACACUUGCAGUUGUAUGCCUAGUGUUGGACAUGCAAUUUCCCACCUCUCUCGCCGCUUACUUGAAAAAAGGUCAGUUGUAGUCAAGUGUGUAGGCAUGCAAUUGCAGUCAAGGGCGACACUUGCAGUUGCAAGCCUAGUGUCGGAUAUCUAACUACCACCCCCUCUCUCAUUGUCCACCAUAAAAAAAGGUCUGUUGCGGUCGGAUGUAUGUACAUGCCGUUGCACUCGAGGGCGACACUUGCAGUUGCAAGCCUAUUGUCAGACAUGCAACUUCCCCCUUCUCCCACUGCCCUCCGACAAAAACAUAAGGCUAGUUGCUGUCGAGAGGGAGACAUUCAGUCGGGAGUGACACUUCUAGUUGUAUUGCUAGUAUUGGACAUGCACCCCCCUCUCCAAUAGCCCACUUACAAAACAAAGGUCAAUUGCAUUUGGGGUGUGUGGGCAUGCAGUUUCAAUCGAGGGCAACACUUGCAGCUGCAUGCCUAGUGUUACCCCGCCUCUCCCCACCGCCCACUAACACUUGCAGUUGCAAGCCUAGUGUCGGAGCUGCACCUGCCCCCUUCUCCCGAUAAAAAAAAGGAGGAAAUAUACGCAAAAGCCAGUCCUUCAUCAAUUGCAUGAGGAGUAAGACGUGUGUAGUUAUGCAUGGAUAAGCGAACUUGCUACAUACACUCAAUAUUUCUUUUGAGGCUAAAAAGUAAAGAAUAAAUAACAACAUAGUUACAUGCCGAUACGAUGUGUGCGGUCACAUGUGGAUGGAUGUACAUGUAGCUGAUAGUAUGAUUUGAGAAAUGACAAAAACAAAUGUGAACAAUUAAGAAUUAAUAAAAUAUAAAAUAAAAAUGAAAAAGCACACAAACAUACUUCAAAGAAAGAAUUAUGAGAGAAAAGAGAACAAGAAAAGAAUGAGAAGAAUGAAAUAUGUAAUAAUUUCAAAAGAAGCAACAAAAAAAUUUAGAAAGGAAAACUAUCCUUGAAAUCCAAAAUGAAUUGGCUCAAGCCAUUUUGAAAAAUAUUAUAAACAAUGUUGCGAUCGGAAAAAGGAAAUGCAACACAAAUUUGCACCAAUCUUGGCGCAUAAAGAUUGAACGGUUUUUCGUAUAACCAAAUCGUAUAUGAGCAAACCUUGACAUACAACAUGGUGGAAAAUAAAAAAACGUGGAGCAAAAUUAAGAGUGUGCAUUGAUCAUGACAUGCUAAAAGAUAUAGGGGAAGACACUGAGCGUGGAGGACACACAUGCUGGUCUAGUAGAGAAAAUGAGUAAAAACAAGACAACACACAACACCGCUCCCGCAUCCGUCCAUGGACAGGGGGACCAGUCCACGGACACGAAUGCGGGAGGCGGCCAUCCAACACUGCCAGUAUACAUUUCAACAACUUUUUAAAUCAGUCGAACGAAAUUUUUGCAAACAUGAUGUAUUUCAUUCAAGUUCGGUUAUAAUUUACAUGAAAAGAUCAAUAUUUCAAUUGUUUAACAAAACAACUAGGAAAAAACCCUAAACCCUAUACCGAACAACCACCAUGUAUGUGUGGCCGCCCUGCACUGCCGCACCGCCGUCGCUGUCCGUGCCACCGAUGUCAUUGUCGUUGUCGUCCCUCUAGCGGCGAAGCAGCGCAGGACGACCGUGACAGUCUUGUCCAACGGUUGCCUGCCGCUCGCGGAGGAGCCGCUCCGCCUCUUGUUGCGCGGUGCAGAGAGCCGCCGUGGACACUGUCUUGAUCGGCGUUGGCAGAGUAGUGGCUAAGAUACCACUCCUCACUGUCAAGGCGGCGGCGGCGCCUGGCGACCGUCUCUAUGGUGGUGAUGGAGCUGUCGUGCGUCCAUGCGGCAGAAAGGUCAGGGUCAUUGCCGGAACAUUCUGGCGCCACGUCCGACUUGGCGAACGCGGAGCGGUGACCGACAUUGCACAGGUCGUAUCUCGCGCCCUGCCUCGCUGCGAGCUCCGCCUCGGAAAUAGUUGGUUCGUCGGUCGUUUUGCCCCGUUUUACAAAUUCACUAACUUUUUUUGAUAUUUUGUAAACAAUUGUAUUGAGCCAGCAAACAUCUUUCGAAAUUUGGGAACAAUAUUUGAAAUUUAGGUACAUUUUUUUGUUUCUGACGAAUAUUUUUUUGAGUUCAUGAAUACUUUUUAAAUCAGCAAACAUUUCUAAAUCUUUUGCACAUUAUUUGAAACUCGGGAAUAAUUAUCAAAAUUCCUUCAUUUUUUUAAUAUUGUGAUAUUUUUCUAAAUUUCUAAAAAACUCAAAGAUUCAUGAACAGUUUAUGAAAUCAUGAAUUUUUUUUGAAAUAUUAAAAAUUUAAUAAAUUCACUACCAUUUUUUACCAAUUCGUGAACAUUUAUUUCAAAUGCGUUGUUUUUUUUGAAAAUUUGAACACUUCCAAAAAAUCCUCAACUUUUUAAGAAAAUUCAUGAACAUUUUUUUAAUACACGAACAUGUUUUGGAAAUCACAAACCUUUUCUGAAUCUGUGAGCAUCUCUCAUUUCCUGAACAUUUUUUUAAUCAUGAAUUUCUUUGAAUUUACAAACAAUUUUUACAGUAUGUAACUUUUUGGAAAUCGGGAAUUAGUUUUUGAAUGGAAAAUACUGAUAACAGAAAGAAGAACAAACAAAGGGACAACCCACCGCCACAUGGGUCGGCCGAUGAGGGUUUGUUGUGGAGACGGGUGGGGUAUAAGCGCGGGCGUGGGGAGCUCCAAUUGCGUGCAUCAAAAAAAAGGAAAAGAAAGGUAAAAGAAAGAAAAAGUGGAAAGUUACCAGAUCAUGCUGGUGGCGGGUUGGUUACGCUACGGUACAUGAUUAAGGUGGUUGCUCAACAUGGCAAUGAGUACCCGCGAACCCGACGGGUAAAAACUCUAUUGGGUAAGGGUUUGAGAAAGUUAAAUACCCAUGGGUUUUUAAAUGUGAUAAAAAUUUAACCUUCGGGUAAGCCGGGUAUGGGAACAGGGAGGCAAUACCCAUACCCGUGUACCCGCCUACCCAUCGCAUAUUAGUACAUCUUAUAGGUAGGUCCCCUAUGUCAUUCACUAAGAAAAGGAAAACCCUAGCCUAACCCAGCCGCAGCUUGCACACAAAAUGCCCUCCCCUCACCCACCCAUCGCUUCCUCACACUCAUAGAAUGCAAACACCGUAUCUCCAUCUCACCUCGGCUGAAAUGCUAAAUAAACAUGCUGAAAUGUUGUGUUUCAUCUACUGAAAUGCUGAAAUUAUACAUUGUACAAUUUGAAUUGAAAGGUGACCGAGAUGGGUAUUACCCGCACCCGGUCGAGAUUGGCAAUUUGAAUUGAAAGGUGACCUAGAUGGUUGUGAAAAAAGUUGAUCAUGUAUUUAAAAUAUGUUAAAGAACUAUUUGAAAAAUGUUAAUCAAGCUUUAGAAAAAUGUUGAAUGUGUAUAGGGAUAAUGUUGACCAUCUAUUAAACAAAUGAAAAAAUAUUUUAAUCAUGUGUAUGAAAAUAUGAAUCAAGCAUUUAAAAAAAUGUUGAACAAGUAUUUCAAAAAUGUUAAUCAAGCCUUCGGAAAAUGUUAAAUGUGUAGAAAAAAUGUUUACCAUGCAUUCAAAUAAAUGCUAAUCUUGCAUUUGGAAAAUGUUGGUAAAGCAUUUGAAAAAUGUUAAUUAUUCAUUCAAAAAUAUUUGACCAUGUAUAAGAAAAAUGUUGACCAUGUAUUAGGAAAAUAAUAACCAUGUAUUUGAAAAAAAUGUUAAUCAAUCAUUUGAAAAAAAUUAAAGUGUGUAUAGGAAGAAAUGUUGAUCAUGGACACCAAAAAUGUUAAUCUUAUAUUUAACAUAUGUUAACCAAGCGUGGUGGUGAUGGUGGUGCUGGAGUCGGAAUACAGGCAGGGCUGCGCUAAGCGAAAAAACCAUGGACGAGAACUAUGCCGGGAGGGAGAGACGGGGCAGCAGCUAAGGCCAAUGUAUUGGGUACCUUUGCUGCGCCCCCUCCCCCAUAUUUAUAUGCAUGUGGGGGGAGGCUUGGAGUCCAGCCCUACUCCUAAUAGGAGUUGGGGCCAAAGGGGUAGAGGACUUGGACUCCAAGUCCAAUUCUAUUCCUACUAGUAGUCCCCCUUUUCCCUUCCCUAGCCAUAUGGGCUUUUGAGAACUUGGUGCGCCUAGCCCAAUAAAGCCAGGGCUCCUCCCCUUAGCCCAUGCCAGCCCUUGGGACUUGGUGAACCCACUUGUGGACUUCCGGACCCCUCCGGAACCUUCUGCAAGCUUCCCGAUACAAUACUGAAAAAACUGCAUCAUUUUUCUAGAACCCAAAAAUAUGAAUUCUCAUAUAUAAAUCUUUACCCCUCAACCAUUUCUGGGACUCCUCGUGACGUCUGAGAUCUCAUCCGGGACUCUGAACAACAUUUGGUUACCAACAUACAUAUCCCAAUAUUACUCUAGCGUCACUAAACGUUAAGCGUGCGGACCCUACGGGUUCGAGAAUGAUGUAGACAUAACCGAGACACUUCUCCAGUCAAUAACUAAUAGCGGAACCUGGAUGCCCAUAUUGGUUCCUACAUAUUCUAUGAUGAUCUAUAUCACCUUUAUGACAAUGAUACGUCUCCAACGUAUCUAUACUUUUUAUUGUUCCAUGCUAUUAUAUUAUUUGUUUUGCAUGUUUUAUAUGCAUUAAUAUGCUAUUUUCUAUUAUUUUUGGGACUAACCUAUUAACCUAGAGCCCAGUACCAGUUUCUGUUUUCCUUGUUUUUGAGCCUCGAAGAAAAGGAAUACCAAACUGAGUCCAAACGAAAUAAAACCUUCUCAAUGAUAUUUCUUGUACCAGAAGACACCUGUUGGAUCUGGACUCCUAGUCAGAAGACCUUGGCGUAGACGACAAGCCAUUGGGGCGCGCCCUACGGCGGUGGGCGCGCCCCUACCUUAUGGCCUACUCCAACACCCCCUGACCUAAUUCUUCGUCCUAUAUAUUCACAAAUAUUCCCAAGCCACUAGAGACAUCAACAAAACACAUUUCCACUACCGCAACCUUCUGUUCCCAUAAGAUCUCAUCUAGGGGCCUUUUCCGGCAUCCUGCCGGAGGGGGAUUGGAUCACGCAGGGCUUCUACAUCAACUCUAUUGCCCUUCCGAUGAAGCGUGGGUAGUUUACCACAGACCUAUGGGUCCAUCGCUAGUAGCUAGAUGGCUUCUUCUCACUCUCUUUGAUUCUCAAUACCAUGUUCUCCUUGAUGUUCUUGGAGAUCUAUACGAUGUAAUCUUCUUUUGCGGUAUGUUUGUCGAGAUCCGAUGAAUUGUGGAUUUAUGAUCAGCUUAUCUACAAAUAUUAUUUGAAUCUUCUUUGAAUUCUUAUAUGCAUGAUUUGAUAUCUUUAUAAUUUUCUUCAAACUAUUGGUUUAGUUUGGCCAACUAGAUUGGGUUUCUUGCAAUGGGAGAAGUGCUUAGCUUUGGGUUCAAUCUUGAGGUGUCCUUUGCCAGUGACAGUAGGCGCAUCAAGGCACAUAUUGUAUUGUUGCCAUCGAGGAUAAAAAUAUGGGGUUUACAUCAUAUUGCUUGAGUUUAUUCCUCUACACCAUUUCAUCUUACUUAAUGUGUUACUUUGUUCUUUAUGAACUUAAUACUCUAGAUGCAGGCAGGAGUCAGUCGAUGUGUGGGGUAAUAUGUAGUAGAUGCAGGCAGGAGUCGGUCUACUUGGCACGGACAUGAUGCCUAUAUUUCACAAUCAUUGCCCUGGAUAUCGUCAUAACUUUGCGCUUUUCUAUCAAUUGCUCGACAGUAAUUUGUUCACCCACCGUAUUAUUUGCCUUCAUGAGAGAAGCCUAUAGUGAAACAUAUGGCCCCUGGGUCAAAUUUCCAUCAUAUUAGUUUCUGAUCUACUAUUUUGCAAUCUUUUACUUUUGCAACCAAAAAACCCAAAAAUAUUUUAUCUGUUGUUUAUCUAUCUCUAUCAGAUAUCACUUUUGCAAGUGACCGUGAAGGGAUUGACAACCCCUUUAUCGUGUUGGGUGCAAGUUGUUUGAUUGUUUGUGCAGGUAUUGGUGGCUUGUGCGUUGUCUCCUACUAGAUUGAUACAUUGGUUCUAUAAUUGAGGGAAAUACUUAUGUCUACAUCGCUGCAUCACCCUUUCCUCUUAAGGGGAAAAACCAAUGCAAGCUCAAGAAGUAGCAGGAAGAAUUUCUGGCGCCGUUGCCGGGGAGAUCUAUGCCAAGUCAAGACAUACCAAGUACCCAUCAUAAAACUCUCAUCUCUUGCAUUACAUUAUUCGCCAUUUGCCUCUCGUUUUCCUCUCCCCCACUUCUAAAACAAAUUUCGAAAAGAUUUGCCUUUUUAUUCGCCUUCUUUCCGUAUGACUUUUUGCUCGUUUGCUAUCUUUGCUUGUGUUCCCGUGUGCCUUCUAUUUGAUUGAAUCUUUGCUUGCUAAAAAUCUUUCGAUAUGGAACAACUUAAAGUUUUCUACUUGGAUCAUCUUCGAUCCAUAUGUGCUCGUGCUCAAACCCCAACUAGUUUAGUUGAGGGAAAAUCUUUAGAUGAGCAUGCGCAUUUUGUGCGUCAGCGUAUGUCAGAAAAGGGAGACUCUUAUGGAAUCAAAUAAAUUAUUUGCUAUGUUAUGCUUCGAAUCUUUGUGAACUUUGUGAUUUUACUUGUUGCUCUAAGAACCCUAAAAACACCUUCCGUACCUAUCUGAGUUUAAUGAUAAUGAAAUCUUAUCUUCUUAUGAAAAGGGUGUUUACAGUUAUUAUGAUAUCGAACAAAUUAAAGAAUUUGUUGCUUUUAAGGGUGCUUAUGAAGUUGCUUCUUUCUUUGAAAAGUAUGAUAUUACUCUCUACAAAUCUGAAAAUUUUGACAUACUUCAAUAUUGCUAUCAGUACUAUGCUCAUAAUGUCUAUGUUAAGGAAUUUACUGAGAGAAUGACUGUUUCUUUCGAAGAAAAUAAUGAUAUGCAUGAAUCUAUUGAUCAUUAUAAUUCCGAUGAUUUGAUUGAAAUAUCCUUUGAUGAACAUGAUGCUUGCUAUUCUUAUGGACAAGAUGAAAAUAUUAAUUAUUCUUAUGGACAUGAACUUGUUGUAGUUCCUUAUGUUAAACAUGAAAUUAUUUUUAUUGCAACCACACUUGAUAGUUCCUUCGAUGAGAAGCAUGAUUGUAAUGAUGUUAUCCCAAAUUCUAUUAAGGUCAAUUGUGUUAAUGAUAUGCAAAACCCCAAGCUUGGAGAUGCUAGUUUUGUUAUGUCCACUACUUGUUGCAAUGAUCAUGAUUGGGGUGAUUCUUCUUAUGAUCUUGAAAAUUUAUUUAAACCUCAUGAUGAAUAUGUUUGCUAUACUAUUGAAAGUAGGUUUGGAAGAGUGUCAACUUUAGAUCCCACAUAUUUGGGUAAUUUUCAAUCUUAUGAAGUUUUUGAUAAAAGUGGGUUUGGAGAGGUCAUGACUUUAGUUAAUGUUAAUCCCACUAUUUUGGAAAAGUGUCAACUUCACAUGCAUGCGGAUCUUGUUGAGAAUAUGUUAUAUGAUAGCUAUAUUGUUGAAUUUGAAUAUGAUCCCACAUGCAAUUAUUAUGAAAGAGGACAAUAUGGUUGUAGAAAUUUUCAUGUUACUAAAUCACCUCUCUUCAUGUUGAGAUUGUCUAUGUUUUAUUUUUCUUCCUUGCAUAUGCUAGUUUUUGCUUUCCUUGAUAAUUUGUUUGCUUAUAAAAUGCCUAUGCAUAGGAAAUAUAUUAGACUUAGAUGUGUUUGGCAUGUGUUCUAUGAUGCUCUCUUUGCGCAUCAAUUCUUCUCUUUUAUGUGAGCAUCAUUGAAAUUAUCAAUGCGUAGCUAAAGGCUUUAAAGAAAAGCGCUUGUUGGGAGACAACCCAAUAUUUUUCCUUCCUGUUUUUCAAUAAAUAAUUCAUCUAGCCUCUGGUUAGAUGUGUUUUUGUGUUUUAGUUAGUGUUUGUGCCAAGUAAGACCUUUGGGAUGGCUUACGGUGAUAAUUGAAUUGAUCUUGCUAAAACCAAGAAACUUUUGUGCCCAGGAAAAUAAUUUUCAUUUUUACAGAAGAGUGCUUUUGAUCUCAUUAUUUUUGCACAAGAUUGGUACACAAAUUUCCCAGUGUGUCCUAAUAUUUCAGAAUUUUUGGAGUUACAGAAGUAUUCGAAGUUUCCAGAUUGCCACAGAUUGUUCUGUUUUUGACAGAUUCUGUUUUCUAUGUGUUGUUUGCUUAUUUUGAUGAAUCUAUGGGUAGUAUCGGGGGGUAUGAACCAUGGAAAAGUUGGAAUACAGUAGAUAUUACACAAAUAUAAAUAAAGAAUGAGUUCACAACAGUACCAAAAGUGGUGAUUUAUUUUCUUAUACUAACGGAUCUUAUAUGAUUUUUUGUUGAGUUUUGUGUUUUGAAGUCUUCAAGUUUUGGGUAAGGAUUUGAUGGACUAUGGAAUAAGGAGUGGCAAGAGCCUAAGCUUGGGGAUUCCCAAGGCACCCCAAGGUAAUAUUCAAGGAAAACCAAGAGCCUAAGCUUCUGGAUGCCCCCGAAGGCAUCCCCUCUUUCGUCUUCGUCUAUCGGUAACUUUACUUGAAGCUAUAUUUUUAUUCACCACAUGAUAUGUGUUUUGCUUGGAGCGUCUUGUAUAAUAUGAGUCUUUACUUUUUAGUUUUCCAUAAUCAUCCUUUCUGUACACACCUUUUGAGAGGGACUCGCAUGAAUCAUAAUUUAUUAGAAUACUCUAUGUGGUUCACUUAUAUCUUUUGAGCUAGGAAAUUUUGCUCUAGUUCUUCACUUAUAUCUUUUUAGAGCACGGCGGUGGCCUUAUUUUGUAGAAAAUGUUGAACUCUCAUGCUUCACUUAUACUAUUUUGAGAGUUUCUCUAAGCAGCAUGGUAAUUUGAUUUGGUUAUAAAUUUAGUCCUACUAGUGGAGUAUUAUGAGAAGUUUGAUACUAUGAGAAGUUUGAUUCCUUAUGAUUGUUUAUGAUUGUUUUGAGAUAUGAGGAUGAUGAUAAAGUGCAUUGAAUACUAUGAGAAGUUUGAUUCCUUAUGAUUGUUUUGAGAUAUGAGGAUGAUGAUAUUAGAGUCAUGCUAGUGGAGUAAUUGUGUGUUGUAGAAAUACUUGUGUUGAGGUUUGUGAUUCCUGUAGCAUGCACGUAUGGUGAACCCUUAUGUAACGAAGUUGGAGCAUGAUUUAUUUAUUUAUUGUCUUCCUUAUGCGUGGUGGUCGAGGACAAGCGAUGGUAUUUUCCUACCAAUCUAUCCCUCUAGGAGCAUGUGCUUAGUACUUUUUUCGAUGACUAAUAGAUUUUUGCAAUAAGUAUGUGAGUUCUUUAUGACUUGUGACACCCACGAUUCAAUCGUAGACUAAUCAUACAUGCAAAUGUGUACAAUGAACAUCAGGGACUCACGGGAAGAUAUCACAACACAACUCUAGGCACAAAUAAAAAUUAAUACAAGCUUCAUAUUACAAGCCAGGGGCCUCGAGGGCUCGAAUACAAGCUCGAUACACAAGAGUCAACGGAAGCAACAAUAUCUGAGUACAGACAUAAGUUAAACAAGGAUGCCUUAAGAAGGAUAGCACAAAAGAAAUAUGAUCGAAGAGGCAAGGCCUCCUGCCUGGGACCUCCUAACUACUCCUAGUCGUCGUCGGUCUCAACGUAGUAGUAUCCGUCGACGGUGGCAUCUGGCUCCCAGGAUCCACUAUCUGGUUGCAACAACCGGAAAGGAGAAAUAAGGUGGGAAAGGGGUAGCAAAGCAAUUGUGAGUACUCAUCCAAAGUACUCGCAAGCAUCAGAUCUGUACUAAGUAUGCAUUGGUAUCAAAUGGAAGGUUGUAUAUGUCGACUGGACUACAACAUGCCAGAAUAGAGGGGGAAGGCCUAGCCUAUCAAAGACUAGCAUCUUCAAGCAGCUCCAAGCAACUUGCAGCAUGUAGAAGAGUAAAGAAUAGCAUUUUAAUAUUAAACAAACAUGUUGUAGAACCAACACCCAGAUAUCCUUCCUCGACUCCAUGCGAGGAAGCAAUCCCGGAGCCACAUAUCCAUCACAUAUCUCAAGUGUCCAUAUAUAGUUAUAUAAGAUCAGGAUACAAGUUUGAACGUCCAUUACCACGGACACGGUAUUCGAAUAUAUAUCUUCCCUGCAGGGGUGCACCACGUUACCCAACACGCUGGAUAACUCUGGCCGGACACACUUUACUGGUUUAAUGCCCGGCCUCGGAAGAUCAACACGUCGCAGCCCUACCUAGGCUUAGCAGAGAGGUCCCCGUCGGUCUACAUCCUAAGCACUCCGGGGUCUUGGGCCCAUCGCCUGCAGCACUCUGGGUCGUUUUGUGCAGGGUGGAUACCAGCACCUCCUCGGAUGGCCAACACGAUUCGACCAUGCCACAAUGUUGAACUGGACGUCUAACAAAGCUUCGGCUGGUACUGUGACGUCGUGGCCCAUAACUAUACUCGCAUGGUGGUUAGUGCGUAAAUGCCAGAGGCCAACACAGAACAAAUCCCCGAACCUGUUAGUGUAUUGGGGGCUCGCGAGGACGAGCACAGACUUACAUUAAGGUGACCCCGUCGCCCCGUCUCGUGGACUUACGGCAAGGGCCCAGACUGCCUGGUUGUGCCACGUGGAAAACUCGCGGGUGUGCUCUCUGGGCCCACCCGACAUUCACAUCAACUCGCGGGUACCCCUUAGGGCCGACCCGACUUCAACAAAGGUCUCAAGUAUAGUCAAGGUAACUGUGUGUCCAUAACAUCAAGGAGGAAAACCCGAGGAAUCACCCCCCGUGGAUUCCACUCGAUGUAACCAUCAAGGUGAACGUAAGAGGAAACACCCUCGAGGUUCACACUUGAGGGUUGCUCGACGGAGUAUUAUCGGGAGUGGUCUAGCACUACAAGAAAUAUGUCAACUUGUGACCACCACUAUUGGUCACUGAAAGGUCAUGGUUUGUCAUUUACGACCUUUUUGUGACCAAAAACAGAAGGUCAAAAGCUGGCGGUCGUAAACUAACUAUAGCGACCUUUCUUCUGGAAUGGUCGAAGACGUUUAUGACCAAAAUAUGUCCACUGUGGCGUUUUGGUCACUAGCAACCUCCCUAGGCCACUUAGGCAUCCAGCGUGGCAAGCUGAUGUGGCACAAGAUUCAGCCCGGUCCAAUUUGGUUUUCUACAUGGGCCUAGCCCACCAAUUCGGCCUUUCUAUAUUUUUUUCCUGUGCUUUUAUUAGCUACAUGGGCCUGGCCCAAGAAUUCAGCCUUUUUAUUUUCUAGGCCAUGGCCUUUUUUAUUUUAUUUUUUUCCAAAAUAUGAGCCCACUAGUGAGGUGGGACCCAGUUGUCAGGUUCUAACAAGUGGGUCCCAGGUGUCGCUGUUAUAUUAUUCAAAUCUCAAUUUUCCAGUAGAUAAAUAACAAUAUUUAAAUCCGAACAGAGAGAAAACAAAAUGCUUCAAACAGAGCACGACUAAUCAGGAAAAAUAUGGUACACAUCACGAAUACAAUCAGAAAGAGCCAAACUUGGCACAUUAUUACAAUCAAACUUGUUCAUCCUGGUAACACAGCAAGGAUGGUUCAUCCUAGUAACACAUUAUUACAGCAAAAUAUGGUUCACAUCAAGUUUACAAUAAACAAAAAUGUUCACAACAGGUAACACAAGUAUCACAGUAUAACUUGCUCCAAUGCUUCUCCCAACUUGUUCAUCCUGGACCUCACAACAAAACAUGAAUGAAGGCCAGCAUCUGCAAGUUAUCAAGAAAAAUGCUUAGAACAAGCAAAAUGCGACAUUUUUACCAUUUAAGCAUAGAAGAACAGGGUCAACAACAUUUCGAUCUUUGAAAAUGAACCAAGAUUUCAAUCUUUGAACAGCAAAAAAUUGAUACAGUAGAUCAUCUGCGGUUCAAAACAACCCCUAAGAAGAGACAUGUUGACACAUUCAUUUGGCAACAUCUGUAGAAAUUGAACCUCGUAAACAUGCAAUGUGAAAUUUGUAUCUCAAAGAAGUAUACAUACUUAUCAGAUUUUGAUGACAUUAACAUGCAGUACAAGCAAAGAUGGCAUGAUUGAACCUUGCAUAGUAAAAACUUGCAAGUAAAUAAGAACAACAAUGCUAAGAAGAUAAAACAUGCACAUUUCAGCCUGCAAUUGUGAAAAGGUCGAAUGGAUCCAAAUUAACAUACAAUUCAGAAAACAAUCAAUCUAUCUAUUAUAUACUUAAAACAAUAGAAAAGUAACGGUGGAGAUUAAGCAGUCUAAAGUUAUGGUAUUUGAAUGGCUGGGAUUAAAAGUUCCAAAAGUUUUUUAUAGGUAAAAGUUCUAAAAGUUACUUAGAACAUUAUCCUGUACAGUUCUUAGAAUCCGACACGUAACUGUCACAAAAAAACAGAAGACCGUGUACUUUAAUUAGGUGAAAAAAUAACAUGUACGUACGUCCUAUCAACAGCCAAUCGAAAUAAGUAAAAAAAAACCCUGCAAAUAUCAACAUGUGUCGUUAACACGUACUACUACAAGUUGAGUCCAACACGGAUAAGUAAGGAUUAGAUCACAUAAAGCCAAGUCCAACACGGACCAAAUAGGAACCAGAUCACGUACGUGUUAAAAAGAAACAUGCAUGUGGUGACCGUACCAAUUAGAUAAGAGUUGGAUUAGCAUUGGAUGCAACGACCUCAGGAUGAUGUCAUCGGGUAAAUAACAUGUACUGCUAAUUUGCUUCUAUUCCGAUUCACGUGGCCGGACGUCUGAUGGUGGUUGUACAUUGAGAUUAAUUCACUUCGGCAUAAAUAACUUAAUUAUUAGCAAAUUUACGUAAAAGUAUUUAAAUAAAGUUUUAGAUAAAUUAAUACAGGUAUACUUCACAACGAACACUGACAAUAAUUAGUAAAUAUAUUUAUAUUUCGUAGUACAUGAAACUCAGUGUAAAAUUAUGUGAAAUAAAAAAUUAGAAAGUUGAAUUGAUUGGAAGAAAAAAUAAUUUUGCAUUAAUAAUAGUAAAGUAAAAAAAGGUUUCAUAGGAAUAAAAUUCCACAAAUAGCUUAAUUUAUUACAAUGUUUUAAAUCAAAUAAAGAGUUAAUAUUGCAUAAAAAACUAAUCAUGUUUUAGAUUAUAUAUUAUCACAUAAAAAACUAAUAGUUUAUUAAAACAAGACACAAAAAUCCAUCAUGUUAAUUCAUAUACGCUUAAAAAUACAUGUUCUGUUGAUCCAUAUAACAAAGACUGAGAUUAAAAGAUUUGAAGACUUUAAUACAAGUCCUGUUAGAGAUUAAAAAAAAACUACAUACCGAUGUAUAUAGACAUAUUUUAGAAUAUAGAUUCAUUCGUUUUGCUCCAUAUGUUGUCCAUUAUUGGAAUCUCUAAAAAGACUAAUAAUUAGGAACAGAGUGAGUACAAUGAUAUUGAAGUGUAUACACGUGUUUCAUUGGAAACGUACAACACAUGUAUACAUUUUUUUUUCUAAACACAGUAGCAUACACAGGUUUAUUGGAACGGAUUUGCUAAUAGAAAAGUAAAAACCAUUAUGCUACUCGGAAGGGAGAUACCAUGUCUACGUAUGUGGAUUGAAAUUGGUGUCCGGCAAUAAUUUAGAACUAAUACAUCGUCCAGAAAAAGAAUUACAACUAAUACGGUCACAGACAAGAAUUACAGCUAACUAAUAUAGUUGCAUGAACCUACCAAGAAGUAUAUGCAUGCUCAACUUGACAUGACCUUAACUGAUUCAAAUAAUAUUUUUUAACAUUGUAACAUUACGCAACAAAAACAAACGUCUCAUAGUCGCUAGAGACAAUUUGGAAAGAAAAUAUUGGAAACUGACAUUAGCGUGUAAAAGAAGGGCAAAUUAAAAAAACACUAAUACCUCAAGACGUCCAAACAACGCUAUGGAAUCACAUGAAGCGAUGUGGGGUGGAAAUCACGUUGCGUAAACCUCCGGGCAAGGGAAAUUUCACGGAAUACAAUACAAUUCCAAAAAAACAGACAAGGAAACGAACACACAUGAUGAAGACAUGGAGUGAUUUGGGGCCGAAAUCACGUCGCGCAAAUGUGGUGCCAAGGGAAUGUUGAAUACAAUUUCGGAAAAGAUACAAAGGAAUCAGGACAUCGACACACAUAAAAAUGGAUAAGGACAAAAAUAUUCACUUUCUACAUUACGGAUUUGUAACAUGUACAUUAACCAAGUACCAGGAAGCAAUGCAAUUUUGUAGUAAGCAUCGGGAAAUAAUGUUAUGGCAACAAUGAAUAGUGUUAUGCAUGCAAAAGACCUACAACCGUGGACACAUUUUUAAGUCGAUGCGAAAUAACCUGAGUGCGACAAGGAUUAGCUAUAGAGAGACCGAGUGAGUAAGUGAGAGGUGAUGUUUUACGUAUAUUCAUAUUAAUGGAAACCGGUAUCUAUAUUCACUACUAGAAAAAGGGUCAAAUGUGAGACACAUUAGUCCCGGUUUGUAAUAGAACCGGCACUAAUGUGUCCAUUAGUGCUGGUUCCAACGGCUAGGUGGGAGGAGCUCUUUAGUACCGGUUCGUGGCGAACCUUUAGCACCGGUUCGUGCCACGAACCGGUACUAAAGAAAGUGGUGGCAGGAUGUUGUCAGAGUGGGGCCCUUCCAGCACCUUUAGUACCGGUUCGUGGUACGAACCGGUACUAAGGUCGUCCUAUAUAAACCCUUCGUCCACCCGCACUCUGUUCUUCCCCCUUUCCCCUCUCCCUCUCCUCUGUUCUUCCCUUCUUCCUCUCGAGUUCAUCACAAAAUUUGCCCCAAAUUUGUCAAGAUUUGCAGGCCCUCAUCCAUUCAAAUGAUCACCAAGGUUAGCAACUUUGUCCUUUCAUCUCUCAUUGCUAGAUUAGCUCUUGCAUUGGUUUAUAUAGUGAUUAAUUGUGGGUUUUAGUAAUUUGGGAGGAAUUAUAUGUGGUAGUAUUUGAUUUAUAUGCAAUUUGAGGUCAAAAUAACACUUAGGUUGCAUAUGUAGGUGUGGUUUACUUAGUGCCUUCUAAAUCUCCGUCGUAACCACCGUCGAUCGCCCGCACCGUCCCGUCGCCGGCACCACCUUGUGGUGAGCCUCUUGUUCAUGAAAUUUUAUAUAAAAAAUUGAUGUUUGUGUGAUUUGGAUAUAUAGUUACUCGUAUAAUAAUUAUCUUACCCGUACGUUGUUUGUUAUACAUACUGCCAUGGUUUUGAUAUCCGUCCCCGUUGGCCCUCGUCCUUGUUAUGAUUCGGAUGUGGUAUAUUCUCUUUUAAAACUAUUUGUUGCAUUUCGUGUUUAUGACAAAUUAUGCCCAUCAAGUUGACAUAGAUAUUUUUAUCUAGGAGGUAUGUGAACCGGAAAUUCCAACCGACCAUAUUGUCGAGAGGUUAAAUUUAGUUGAAAGAGAAAAUGAGUACUUGAAAGAAAAAUUGAAAAGAAUUGAGGGGGAGAGGAUGGAAUUGGAGUUGCAUGUUGCCGAUGUCGUCGAUGAUCACAAGAUCAAGAUGGAGAAAAUGCUCUUGAAGAUUAGAAAGAUUAGAAAAUAUGCCAUCGAUAGUGAGGCUUGGUAUCAUUAUGCUGUUGGAUCAAUUGUUACCUUAGUUGCGAUCUUGAUCGCAUUUGUUGUUGCAUUUAAAUGCUUUACCUAGAGAGUUAUUUGUUUGUUGCAUUUAAGUGUUGUAUGAACUUUAUGUAUGAACUUGUAUUAAUUUGGUCUAUUCGGUGUUGUGUAAUGAAGAUGAGCCGGCAAUGGAUGUACGAUGACCGAUGCUCUCCCCAGUUCGUUGAGGGCGUGCAUACUUUUCUGCUUGCGGCUGAGGCAAACAAGCGGGCGGAUGGUUUUAUGCCUUGUCCAUGUGGUGGCUGUAAGAAUGGUCGCAAUUACUCUACGUCAAGAACCAUUCACGUCCACCUGUUUAAGUCCGGUUUCAUGCCCCACUAUAAUGUUUGGACCAAGCACGGAGAAAGAGGGGUUAUGAUGGAAGACAAUGAAGAAGAAGAGGACGACAACAGCUAUCCUGGCCAUGGGUUCCCUGAAUACGAUGAUACAACAAUGGGGGAAGAAGCUGAGCCGAUAAUGCGGAAAGAAGCUGAGCCGGCAAUGCGGGAAGAAGCUGAAGAAGAGGCAUCAGAUGAGCCCGUUGAUGAUCUAGGUCGGGCCAUUGCCGAUGCAAAGAGAAGUUGCGCAAGUGAUUUGGAGAAGAAGAAGUUGCAGCACAUGUUAGAGGAUCACAAAAAAUUGUUGUACCCGAAUUGCGUAGGUGACAAGAAAAAGCUGGGCACCACACUGGAAUUGCUGCAAUGGAAGGCAGAGAAUGGUGUAUCUGACAAGGGUUUUGGAAAGUUGCUGGUAAUGAUAAAGGAUAUGCUUCGAAAGGACAACAAAUUGCUCGAGAGUACGUACGAAGCAAAGAAGGCUGUCUGCCCUCUAGGGUUAGAGGUGCAGAAGAUACAUGCAUGCCCUAAUGAUUGCAUCCUCUACCACGGUGAGUACGAGGAUUUGAACGCUUGCCCCGUAUGUGGUGCAUUGCGCUAUAAGAUCAGCCGCGAUGAGCAUGGUGAUGUCGAGGGCGAGCGCCCCAGGAAGAAGAUUCCUGCCAAGGUGAUGUGGUAUUCUCCUAUAAUACCACGGUUGAAACGUUUGUUCCAAAAAAAAGAGCAUGCCAACGCGAUGCGAUGGCACAGAGAAGACCGUAAGAAAGACGGAAAGUUGAGAGUACCCGCUGACGGGUCGCAGUGGAGAAAACUCGAAAGAAAGUACGGGAAGGAGUUUGCAGAUGACGCAAGGAGCGUAUGGUUUAGUCUAAGCGCAGAUGGCAUUAAUCCUUUUGGGGAGCAGAGCAGCAACCAUAGCACCUGGCCUGUGACUCUAUAUUUGUAUAACCUUCGUCCUUGGUUGUGCAUGAAGCGGAAGUUCAUUAUGAUGCUAGUGCUCAUCCAAGGCCCUAAGCAACCCGGCAACGACAUUGAUGUGUACCUAAGGCCAUUAGUUGAAGAACUCUUACAACUGUGAAAUGAAACAGGUGUACGUGCGUGGGAUGAGCACAUGGGGGAAUAAUUUGACCUAAAGGCGUUGUUGUUCAUGACCAUCAAUGAUUGGCCUGCUCUCAGUAACCUUUCAGGACAGACAAACAAGGGAUACCGCGGAUGCACGCACUGUUUGGAUGAUACCGACAGUAUAUAUUUGAAUAGUUGUAAGAGGAAUGUGUACCUGGGACAUCGUCGAUUUCUUCCGAGCAGGCAUCCCGUAAGAAAGAAAGGCAAGCAUUUCAAAGGUGAGGCAGAUCACCGGACGAAGCCUCACCACCAUACUGGUGCUGAUGUACAUGAUAUGGUCAAGGAUUUGAAGGUGAUAUUUGGAAAGGGUCCUGGCGGACAACCUGUUCCGAAGGACGCUGACGGACGCGCACCCAUGUGGAAGAAGAAAUCUAUAUUUUGGGACCUGCCAUAUUGGAAAGACCUAGAGGUCCGCUCCGCAAUCGACAUGAUGCACGUGACGAAGAAUCUUUGCGUGACCCUGCUUGGCUUCUUGGGCGUGUAUGGGAAGACAAAAGAUACACCUGAGGCACGGGAGGACCAGCAACAUAUGCACGGAGAAGACGACAUACAUCAGGGUCAUGGAAGCUACGCUCUUACCAAAGAAGAGAAGGAAAUCUUCUUUGAAUGCCUGCUCAGUAUUAAGGUACCGUCUGGCUUCUCAUCGAAUAUAAAGGGAAUAAUAAACAUGGCAGAGAAAAAGUUCCAGAACCUAUAGUCUCAUGACUGCCACGUGAUUAUGAUGCAACUGCUUCCGGUUGCAUUGAGGGGGCUUCUACCGGAAAACGUUCGAUUAGCCAUUGUGAAGCUAUGUGCAUUUCUCAAUGCAAUCUCUCAGAAGGUAAUCGAUCCAGAAAUCAUACCAAGGUUACAGAAUGAUUUGGUGCAAUGUCUUGUCAGUUUUGAGUUGGUGUUCCCACCAUCCUUCUUCAACAUCAUGACGCACGUCCUAGUUCACCUAUGCGAACAGAUUAACGUUUUGGGUCCUGUAUUUCUACACAAUAUGUUCCCCUUUGAGAGGUUCAUGGGAGUCUUAAGGAAAUAUGUUCAUAACCAUGCUAGGCCAGAAGGAAGCUUCUCCAAGGGCCAACAAAAUGAGGAGGUCAUUGAGUUUUGUAUUGACUUUAUUCCUGACCUUAAGCCGAUUUGUGUUCCUGAAUCGCGACAUAAGGGCAGACUGGAUGGAAAAGGAACUCUAGGAGGGGAAUAAAUAAUAUGUAUGGACAGACAUUCUCUCACUGAAGCACACUACACAGUUCUACAGAAUUCCGCCUUGGUGGCUCCAUAUAUGGAUGAACACAAGAAUUUGCUAAGCUCCAAACACCCGGAGCGAUCUGAUGACUAGAUUACACGUGAACAAACCAGGAGUUUCGCCAGCUGGUUGCAGACACGUACCAUGCAUGACACCUCUAUUGAAGAUGACCUAUACUUGCUGUCCCAGUUACCAUCUUCGAAUAUAAUGACUUUCAAAGGGUACGAGAUAAAUGGUAAUACAUUUUACACGAUCGCCCAAGAUAAGAAGAGCACCAACCAAAACAGUGGUGUCCUCUUUGAUGCAGAAACCAAGACGGGAAAGGAAACAUAUUAUGGUUAUAUACAGGACAUAUGGGAACUUGACUAUCGACGUGGUUUAAAGGUCCCUUUGUUUCGGUGCAAAUGGGUCAAUAUGACACGAGGCGGGGUAACGGAAGAUCCGCAGUACGGAAUGACAACAGUGGAUCUCAACAAUCUUGCGUAUGCAGACGAACCAUUCGUCCUAGCCAAUGAUGUGGCACAGGUUUUCUAUGUGAAGGACAUGUCUACCAAGCCAAGAAAAAGAAAAGAUAAGGAAGCGAAUGCAUCGUACGAUGAGCCAAAGCGGCACAUAGUUCUUUCUGGGAAGAGAAACAUCGUGGGACUGGAUGACAAGACAGACAAGUCAGAAGAUUAUGAAAAGUUUGAUGAAAUUGCUCCAUUCACAGUGAAUAUUGACCUGAGCAUCCCGUUAAAUGAUGAAGAUUUUCCAUGAUUACGGCGCAAAGGGACACACGCGAAGAAAAAGUUUCACACCCAAAGUUCUGGGAUGUGAUCGGCUUCACUAUCAUCACUUUCUUCUGUGUUUCACACCCAGAGGGGAAUCGCUGUAAUAGUUAGGGUAGUUAUGUGUUUUGGCAUUUGAAACGCGAAGAAAUUUUAUGUGCAAAUAAAUUCUUUCAUGCCUUUACUGAUUUUUAAAGUUAAGUUAUUCACAAACUAGUGAUUCACACUAAUUUCAAAUAAUUCAAAAUUUAAACUAUUCAAAUUUGAAAAGUACGGGCACUAACAGAAAGUUUGUAAUUUUUUGUACCUAAAGCAAAAAUAUUCACAAAGAAACUCUAAAUACACAAAAAAAAAACAACACAAAAAUAAAUAAAGCAAAAAAAAUUAAAAAAAAGCCUGCCUACUAGGCCAGAGCGGCCUACAUACGACUGGAACCCCAACCUGUUGUUGGGCCAGGAUGCAGGCCCGCAAAGGCCAAGUGGGCCCACAUGGCAGCAAAGAACACGUAGGCCCAGUAGGCCUGCUUUGGAGAGGAGCUCGAGAGAGCGACCGCAAGGGGGUUUAUAAACCAGUGCGGUCGCCCCUCGGCUAGCGAGGUGGGACUAAACUUGCCGCACCGCACCUGCGCCAGCGCACCCCCUUCAGUACCGGGUCAUGGCGAAGGGUCAAAUGUGAAGCACAAUAGUGCCGGUUGGAAUUUCAGCCGGCAGUAAUGUGUACACUAGUGCCGGUUCGUGGCGGCGAUGAAUAGCAACGCUUCGUGGCGAACCUUUAGUACCAGUUCAUGCCACGAACCGGUACUAAAGAGGCUGUGUCAGCCUCCGGUCAGGCUAUGGCCCCACCAUCACCAUUUAGUGUCGGUUCGUACCACAAACCAGUAGUAAUGAGGUUGUGUCAGGUAAGGCUGGGGCCCCACGAGCACCUUUAGUACCGGUUCAUGGAUGAACCAGACAUAAGCUGUUUUUUAGUCCCACCUCGCGAAGUGAGAGGGACUAGGAGCGGUUUAUAAGCCCUGAGUGCAGAGACGAUGAAGAAGAGGCUCAAUGCUCACGUUGCUUAGCUUCAAGCCUUCAGGAAUACGGUAGACUACACGGAGCUAUGCGCAGUGCAGUUUACACUAUUCCGAAAGGCUUGAAGCAAAUUAACGAGCAUUGCACCUCUUUUUUAUUUUAAUAACUUAUUACAACUCCGGACUUCUUCUGUUAUGGCAAAAACUAAUUGCACGUCGACAUUUCUUUUUUUAAGUUAUAACUCCAGACUUUGACCAUCAAGUUUUGCAGAAAAGGAAAAAUAGCAGAAAAGAAGAAAAACUAUAGCUGAAAAGAAAAAACUAUAUAAAAAAACUACUCAAAAAUAAAUAGAAGAAAAUAAAUAUAGCAGAAAAGAAAAAACUACUCAGAAAUAAAAAGAAGAAAAAAUAAAGCAGAAAAGAAAAAAAAUUAUAUUUGCUAUUUUUCAAUCAUUUACAAAAUGACCGUGAAAUUGAAAAUCACUACAAAAUGAACUCUGAAAUUGUUGAAUUUUGGCAAACUAGAUGAAAAACUACUCACAAAUAAAUAGAAGAAAAUAAAUAUAACAGAAAAGAAAAAACUAUACAAAAAACUACACAAAAAUAAAUAGAAGAAAAUAAAGCAGAAAAGAAAAAAACUAUAAAAAAAAUUGGGGCGCUGCCCUGUGGGCCUGAUAGGCCACAGGUGUGUAAUUACAGGCCUUAAAGGCCGAGCAGACUCACAGGGCAACGCGCAGAGUUUAGGCCCACAAGCCUGCUAUAUAGAGGAGUUCGAAGUGGUAGGCGCGGCUGGGUUUAUAAACCAGUGUGGCUGCCCUUCGCCCGGCGAGGUGGAACUAAACUUUGGGGUGGCAGCGCGAGGCCUUUAGUACCGGUUGGUGGCUCCAACCGGUACUAAAGACCACCCUUUAGUACCGGUUGGUGGCUCCAACCGGUACUAAAGGCCUCGUCUUCCCGCCUCUUCGCCUGGCCAAAGUUGGCCUUUAGUACAGGUUGGUGGCUCCAACCGGUACUAAAGGCCUCUCCUAUAUAUACAACACUUGCGAAAAUUUCAUUCUCCCUCUGUUUCUUCCUCUGUUUCCCCAUUGAAGCACCGCCCGCGCGCCCCGAUCGAUCGACGCCGUCGCCGUCGCCGCCCCCGUCCCCGUCGUUGCCCCCGUCCCCGUCGCCGCCCCCNNNNNNNNNNNNNNNNNNNNNNNNNNNNNNNNNNNNNNNNNNNNNNNNNNNNNNNNNNNNNNNNNNNNNNNNNNNNNNNNNNNNNNNNNNNNNNNNNNNNNNNNNNNNNNNNNNNNNNNNNNNNNNNNNNNNNNNNNNNNNNNNNNNNNNNNNNNNNNNNNNNNNNNNNNNNNNNNNNNNNNNNNNNNNNNNNNNNNNNNNNNNNNNNNNNNNNNNNNNNNNNNNNNNNNNNNNNNNNNNNNNNNNNNNNNNNNNNNNNNNNNNNNNNNNNNNNNNNNNNNNNNNNNNNNNNNNNNNNNNNNNNNNNNNNNNNNNNNNNNNNNNNNNNNNNNNNNNNNNNNNNNNNNNNNNNNNNNNNNNNNNNNNNNNNNNNNNNNNNNNNNNNNNNNNNNNNNNNNNNNNNNNNNNNNNNNNNNNNNNNNNNNNNNNNNNNNNNNNNNNNNNNNNNNNNNNNNNNNNNNNNNNNNNNNNNNNNNNNNNNNNNNNNNNNNNNNNNNNNNNNNNNNNNNNNNNNNNNNNNNNNNNNNNNNNNNNNNNNNNNNNNNNNNNNNNNNNNNNNNNNNNNNNNNNNNNNNNNNNNNNNNNNNNNNNNNNNNNNNNNNNNNNNNNNNNNNNNNNNNNNNNNNNNNNNNNNNNNNNNNNNNNNNNNNNAUUAGUUUAGAUUAUUUAGAUUAUUAUUUUUUCACUAUUAUAUAUGUAUGAAUGCAUGUUAGAUGGAUAUAAUUAGUGUUUAAUUAGUAUGGAAUUUUUUUAUAUAAUGUUGUUUUUCAGUUUUUUAAUGGAUGUAUAGAAGUUGUGUUUUCUAUUUUUAGUGUUAGAUGCUUAAUUAGUAUGAAAUAGUAUAUAGAUUUUUGACAUAUGCAAUGAUAGCAUAAUUAGUGUUAUAUAGAAAUGUUAGAAAUUUUAGUUAUCAAAAUCCAAUCAUUAAAAAAAUGUUACUUUUUGCGGGCAUAUAGCUAGUAUUUGUUCUCAACGAUGCCCGGCCCGCAUCCUCGCCGUCGACCCGUCCGCGACGACGUCCGGCUGACCCAUGUCUGGGACUGGGCUCCGCCGGGCUGGCACUGGGAGGUGCUGCCUGGAGGGGCGCGCCGCUUGAUGAGGAACCCGGCCCCGGGUCCCGUCGUCGACCCUGAUCUCGUUUGGUGGCGUUCACGUGGGCCAGAUUCGGUGCGGAGGGCCCCGGCCCCGCCGGAGGUGGUACGUCACCGUGUCAGGGAGGAGGACGAGCACGUCCAUCGCUACAUGGUUGCAUUAGAAGGCGGCAGGUUCUCCAAUACCUGGUAGUUUCUUCAGGGAUCUCACUUUAGCUAUGAUCCUGUGAGGGUUCCUUCUCUUUGGGUGUCCACCGCCCGCGCCGCAGGAACCGCGAGUGUCCUAGAUUCUUCUGUAGUAUUUGAUCUUUAAUUAGCUACCUAGCCAGUGAUGUACUAUUCAAUAUUAUAUAUUAUUCGAGACGAUGUAUUCGAGAUUAUAUCUAUUAUUCUAGACGAUGUAUUCGAGAUUAUAUCUAUUAUUCGAGACGAUGUAAUUUGAAUACUAAAUUGUUUUAUAUUUCUUUUGGAUUAGUUAAAUAAAAGCUAUGGCAGACAAUACCGACAGAGAGGGAGAACAGACCAUGUUCGAUAUGAUACGCGGGCCAGAUGAUGAUCAGAAUGAAGAAGAAGAUUAUGACGGCUCCGAAUCUCUAAACAACACCGAAGAGGGUGAUAUGAUAUUCGAUCGCGAUGACCGAAUUGAUGAAGUCCUGAACUACGAUUAUGACGAUGACAAAGAACAUGUUGAUCCUGAAACAACAAAGACCGGCGAGGUAUAUUUAUAUAAGCAGGCAUCUGGUGAUCAUCACAUGUUUUAAAUGACUUGAAGAUAUAUUAACGAAUUGAUCUUUGUUCUUUCAGCCAUCCGGAUCGAGCAAAUCUUCAGGCAAAAGGACGAAACGAGGCCCGAACAAAAAGUUGAAGGAGGGCAUAAAGUACAAUAUCGAGGUAGCCAGACCUAAUGGCGAACCAUUAGCACCUAAGAAGAUUGCGGACAAGUUCGUUCGUCAGUGCGGAGUUCUUGUGAAGGACAAACUCCCGAUCAAACUUCAAGAAUGGAGAGAGCCAGCAAAGCCACGUCCAAAUGUUACUUUCGUCGAUAAGAAUCAAAAAGAUCUGCUUUGGGAUACUCUCAUGGAACAUUUCACCCUACCAGAUCAUUUCACAAAAGCAGAUGUGCAUAAAGUCAAGGACGCUGCUCUUAGGAAGAUGGCGGUUGCAUUCAAGAACCACAAGAAUCGUGAAUGGGACAAGUACGUCAAGGGAGGAAGGAAGACUCCAGUAUUCGAGGGAACACUAGAGAACCAACGUGCUCAUUGGGACGAUUUCGCGAAAUUCAAGGAUUCGGAAUUAGCUAAGGAACGGUCGAGAAUAAACAAGAAGAAUGCCGAAAAAAAUGAUAAGUUCCAUAAGCUGGGGCCAGGUGGCUAUGCGGUGGCAAUGCCUAAGUGGGAUAAGUCUGAGAAAGAGAUGGAGGAUGCAGGUGUCACUCUGGUUACUAAGAGCUGGCCCCCCAGGUGCAGGACUUGGUUCUAUGCGCAUGGGGGGAGUUGGACCCGAAGACAGGCAAUGUUUCGACGAAGGCAAGUCUGAAGGGAGCCGACGAUGCGAUACUUGUUGCAAUAGAAGAGGCACGAUCGGGGGUGUUCCAGCCCAACAGAGAGAACGACGAGCUUACACGUGCCCUGGGAAAUCCUGAUCACCCGGGAAGAACACGAGUCAAGGGCGCUAUUCCGUGCUAUGAGGGGUUUUCAGACUGGAACACCGACUACAGAACCCGUGCGAGAAAGAAGAUUGCGGAGGAGAAGAAGAGGAAGAUGGAGGAGGAGCAGAGGAAGCGGGACUAUGAACGCCUUCAAGGCCUAGAAGCAAGUCAAGCGGAAUUGGCAGUCAAAUUCCAGCGGCAGCAUGAGCAGAUCGACUCACUUACCCAGCAAAGGGGGUCUCAGCAGCUGCAGCAGCUAGCGGAUGAUCCAACAUUGGAUAGCACCGCCCCAUCCAUGCCGAGAAGCAGCAUGGGUUCCGCCCCGGAUAACGCAAUGCUGGGUAGAUACCCCGUGGAUGACAUCACGGAGAACACUAACUGCGAGCUACACGUCAAAAUAACGAACAUAUCCAUGAAGGUGGCGGACGCCGUUGCUUUUACAAAUCCCCCCGAGGCAACCUUCCAUGGCAACCCGAUUCCAGCGGGCUAUGCUCGUGUCUUGGUUGAUGAGGUGGUGGACCCACCAUAUUCGGAGCUACAGCUUGACAUUCCUGGAGGUGACGACGAGCGCUUUCUCGGAGAGUCCAAACAUCGUAUCAUCCUAUGGAAAAAGGAUUGCAUCAUAUUUCGAAGGCCACCGACACCACGUCAGCCGACUCCUCGUCGAAGUCCGUCACCGAGUCAGCAGACUCCCGCUCCUGCAAGUCCACCAAGUCCGGCAAAGUGUCAGGCCACUCCUCCUCCUCCAAGUCCACCACAGCGUCAGACGUCCACUCCUCCUCCUCCAAGUCCGGCACAACCUCAUGCCACUCCUCCAAGUCCGGCACAGCUUCAGGCCACUCCUCCUCGUCCAACUCAGCACCGUCAGCCGUCUCCGCCGCCUCAGCAAUCGCAAAAGAGACACCCCGCAGCUAUGGUGCGUAGCGGUACGAGUCGAGGUAGUACAGGAAGUACAGGCGGAGGCAAGCGAUAUAAAUAUGGUCCAAGCCUCACGCCUCUUCCGCAGAGGCCUUAUGACAAGUCCGAGGAGGAAAACGCAGUCAUAUCGAAGGCCGAGGUGGAAGCCCAUUUUGCACCGAAACCGCCACCGCCGCCAAGGGAGAAAGUGCCUGAGGAAACGAUUGACCACUUCAUUCGUAUGGCUCAACCACCAGCUCCCAAGCCUGUUGACACAGACUGUGAGCGCCACAUCAGGAAAUUAAAUCGAGCACGUCUACGUAAGGAGGCGAGCUCGGGAUCGAGCAAACAACAAGCAGCUGUCAAAAAAUGCGGGAAAACCAUUCCCCGGCUGGGAGAACAGGCGGCGCAAUCGAUCCCCUCGCUUGUUGUGCCAACAACACGUGACAAUACGCGCGCCCAAUAUUAUUGUGGGCAAACAGUUUACGUUCCCAAGGUGGGCAAUGUGGUAAUAACCAAGGACCAUAUAAUGCAGGCUGAAGUUCUCAACAUCACUGUUGGACAACUCCUCGAGAUCGAGCCCAUGCCUGUGCUUAGAGAGGAUGAAAUAAAACGGAAAUAUGUCCGGGGCCAACCUUUAGUCGAGCCAGACAAGGUCAAGAACCUCCCAACGAGAAUGUAUGAUUUGCAUCAAUGGUACAUGAACAUUACCAAGAUUUCAGAUCGAUUGUCCCUCAUGGUGAAUGUCAAGGAGGAUCAUUACUUCCAUGAGAAAGCUCUGUCCGUUGAGUAUUCUGAACUGUUUCAGUUAUACAAUCAAGACGCACUCGACAAAUCUAUCGUCAGUUGCUAUUGUCUAUAAGUGAUUUCUUUCUGUAAUUUAAGUCUCAAGCUAGCUGCAGUGAUCCUUUUGAUCAAUCAUUACCUGUAAUUAUCGUCACUAUAUUCUUUUCUGUGGUAUUAUGCAGGAUGAAGAUGUAUGAAAUGAGAAAAGGUGGACGCUUUGGCAUUGGGUUCGUUGACCCAAACACUGUUAAUGAAUACACAUGGCGGAUAAAUCCACAUCAUCAAAAGGACGUAGAGGACAACAUGCUAGAGUUCUUGAAGCGCCUCAAAUACAAUGAAGAUAUACUACUUCCUUACAACUUCUAGUGAGUCAAACUGUCUUGUACUACAAAUUCUCUGUUUUUGCCUACUAGCUAGCUACAUGUUUUUGCUUACAUAUGCCCGCUUAAUUAAGACAUGCAAACGUGUGUGCAUGCAGAUUUCACUGGGUCUUGUGUAUCAUUAAAGUUGACGACGGAACAGUUGAAAUACUGGACUCCCUACUCAAAGUGAAAACUGACUAUAACAUCUUGUUUGGGAGAGUCAACAGGUAAUUUCAAUCAUUAUUAACUAUAUAUCUCGGCCUAUUUAGUUCUUCAUUUCAUGAUAUGAACUAUUUAAUAACCCCUUUAUUCAUUUUCUUUGUCGGCGGGCAGGGCUUGGGCAAGGUUCAUCAGCGUCACGGAAGGCGAAUGGAAAAAAAGUUUCAAUAGUUUCGACCCAAGGUAAGUAAUUAAGUAGUACUAGCUAGCUAGCUAGCUGCCAUCUCUUUAAUUAUCAUGCUUGAUUAAUUAUUAUCUGAUCAAAUUCCAUUCUCGUAAAGGCCCUGAAGCAGGCGCAGGGGACUGAUCUGUGUGCAUUCUGAAUUUGCGACAACAUUCGCAUGAUGGCGUCCGAAAGGAGCAGAUCUCAAAGACAAGAAUGGGUACGCUUGUCAGAACAGUAUUCACAAUUUUUACACCAUUAUUGAUAUCUAGUCACACAAGUAAUACACAUGCAUAUGGAUCUCCUUCUUAACAGUUCAGAGAGGUGCGGGAGAAGCUCCUAGAAACGGAGCGCGUAGAAGCACUUCAAGAGGAAAUAGUGGGAUUUUUGCUCGACUAGGUCAUAAAUCCGAAGGGAGAAUACUAUUACCCGCUACCGCCCCCAUGAAAACCACUUCCAAUUGUCAUCGUGCUCCGAAGGCACCAAUUAGGCUAAUGCCACUGGCUCCGAAGGCAACAUGCAUAUGUAGGAGAAAUUGUAUAUAGCUAUACAUGUGUGUAUGUGUGAAUUAAUUAAUAUGAUGGUUUGUGAGACAUUGAUGAUAUAUAUAUGCAUNNNNNNNNNNNNNNNNNNNNNNNNNNNNNNNNNNNNNNNNNNNNNNNNNNNNNNNNNNNNNNNNNNNNNNNNNNNNNNNNNNNNNNNNNNNNNNNNNNNNNNNNNNNNNNNNNNNNNNNNNNNNNNNNNNNNNNNNNNNNNNNNNNNNNNNNNNNNNNNNNNNNNNNNNNNNNNNNNNNNNNNNNNNNNNNNNNNNNNNNNNNNNNNNNNNNNNNNNNNNNNNNNNNNNNNNNNNNNNNNNNNNNNNNNNNNNNNNNNNNNNNNNNNNNNNNNNNNNNNNNNNNUACCAGCAAACGAAAAAGAAUUAAAAUAGAAACACAAAAUUAAAUGAAAAAGAAAUCAUAAAACUAAAAAAACCCCAAAGCUUAUAGUACCGGUUGGUCUUACCAACCGGUACUAAAGGGCUCCAGGCCCCCGGAGCUGGCUCGUGCCACGUGAUUGCCCUUUAGCACCGGUUCGUGCUGAACCGGUACUAAAGGAGGGGGGGGCUUUAGUGCCCACACUUUAGUGCCGGUUACGGAAUCGGCACUAAAGGGCCUUACGAACCGGUGCUAUUGCCCGGUUCUGCAUUAGUGAUUGUCUUAGAUGGGCGAGGGAGAUAGUGUAAGAUUAUCAUGUUUUCAAGCUUCAAUAUGAGAGAUGACGAGUCAAGUGGAGAAAGAGAAAGCAAGUAUACGAACUAUAAGAGUAUAUAUUUAAUAUUAUUAAGUAAUCCGUAUUAAAUUAUAGACGGUCUCCACGAUAAUUGAUGCAAAGUUUAUAUUUAAGAACCGAUGUACAUUUAAUUAUUUGAACGACAUGGAUCAUUAGUCAUACAGAAAAAGAGGCUUAUAUUUUCUGUAGGCAAUAACCAUUGAGCGGUUACAAUUUUAAAAUUUUAACAUUUUAAAAUAUAUUUAUGAAUGAAUCUAAAUUCCAUGACACAUGCUAAAAGAUGCUUUAAACUAUUUAUUUCCAACAAAAUAAAAUUUCACAUUUAAAUACCAAAUAAAAUAAUAAUACAAUCUAGCCGUGCAAAUGCGCAGGUGACCCUGCUAGUUUAGAUUUGAUUUUCAAAAAUUGAUCGUGAUUGAUUCUUUCACAUAAAGAUAUUACUAACUUGGGCCAACAUGGAAAGUUCUUCCGCUCUCUUUUGUUGUGUGAGAGGCUCACACGAAACUAAACCGGUGGGGUGAGGGAGGGGCAAAAAAACUAGCAAAAUAAAAUGGUUGAAAAUGGUGGGACGAAAAUAAAUCGUGGAUACUAUUCUACCAACUCGGACAUUAGAAAUAGAGAUAUUGAUGUCACUGGCAUGUUGUCAGUCAAGCUAGCGUAUCACAUUACAUCACCAAACGUACAUGCCUUGAUUGUACGUAAUAUAUUGUUGUCUGAUCCACGCUAAGAGCAUCUCUAGCAGACCCCAUAUAUCGCCGACCCACAAAACUCAUUUAAAGUUUGCUGAAAAACAGUUUCGCGGGCCGGCGCGGGUCGCGGUCGAGCAGACCCCGCAUAGCGGAACUGUAAAACGGGAUAUUCACGAAUAUUCCGUCUUACAGUUCCGCUAUGCGGGGUUUGCUCGGCGCAGCCCGCGCUAACCCGCAAAUCACAUGUGUUUUUAUCCGAAUUUGACACAGAUGCCACAUAUUCAGAAUUAUUAAUUCAAUAUAAGAUAAAAUUUCAAUAUUACCAUACAACAAUCAUCCAAAUUACAAUAAUUAUUGAAAUCACCUAAGCAAACUAAAUAAUUCAAUAGAAAACUUGCCUCGAAUACAAAUCAGACAUGAAUUAAAUGAAAUGAAUGCAAAAAUGGAAUGUCUUACCGCCAUCCCUUUGUCAAUCACUAGUAGAAAAACACCUAAUAGUCCCGGUUCGUAAGGGUCUUUAGUCCCGGUUCAUGAACCGGGACUAAUGGGUCGUUACUAAUACCUCCACCCAUUAGUCCCGGUUCAAACACGAACCGGGACCAAUGUGCCUCCACGUGGCCCUGUGCGCCGAGCCCAGUCAGGGGGCCUUUGGUCCCGGUUGGUUGUACCAACCGGGACCAAAAUGCAUCCACGCGUCAGCAUUCCAGUGGCUGGGGUUUUUGUUUUUUUUAAAGGAGGGGGGUUGGGGAUUUUGGGGGGUUAAUUUAGGUGUUUCAUAUAUGGUGUUAGCUAGCUAAUUAAUAGAGAGAAGUGUCCUCUCUUACGUCCGUGCUUGAUCGACGCUACGUACUAUAUAUACAUAAGUGAUGAGAGAACCAUUGAGUACAGAAGUUUGUCAUGCAUACCGAGAGAAGUGAUUGAUCGACCUCUCCUUCUCCGAGAGAUUGGUCGAACAACAAGUUUUCGUAUCAUGUAUCCAACGCUACUGGCUACAUACAUGUACAAUAUGUAUAAGAUCUCUUAAUUACAAUCCCCUAGCAAUUGAAUUCAAUUUCCACAUGGUAUUCUCCGACUUUAUUGAUGACGUGGUCAAGAAAGAAUCCCGCCAAUUCCUCUUGAAUUGCUUUCAUGCGAUCUGGUUCUAGGAGUUCAUUCUGCAUCUGCCACAUCUAAUUUGAAGAAGGGGGUUAAUUAAUACAUAUAUAUGAAUGAAACUCAACAGAAAUGAUGGUGUAAUAAAAUGAAAUUGUGAAUAUUAUUGCUUACGCACUUCAUAUUGUCUUUUAGAGUAGCCCCGCUUGUUUUUCAAAGUCGCGUUGUGGAUGAACUCGCACACGUAGUAUCCACAUAAAUCAUUCCCUUCUUCCUGCCACAAGCACUUUACGAGAAAUAGAGGUCAAUCAAACUGAUAAUGAAGCAUUAUAAAUGGCAUUGAUGAAAGUAUAGCUAUAGAAUCAACGGGAGAUGCGUGCAACUAGCUAGCCAGUAGUACUUACUUUCGGGUAUGUAUAUCGCAGCUCCUUCGGCAGUCCCGGAGCUUCUGCGGUGAACUGUUUCCAAACCCUGCAAGACAAAGCAAAUAAUUAUUAUUACUUGAUAUAUCAGGAAAUGAACAAAAAGUUGCCGAUAUGGUGCGAUAACGAUCGAUUGAACUUACUUGUUGAGAAAUUCAGUCAUGUCCGCAUAGGUUUUGGGAUCUUUCCGUCUCGAGUCUAAGACGGUUACUAGUCCCCGCUCAAUAUUAAUCUCCAGAAGAACAUAGUGGUACCUGCGCACGCAUGCAUUACUCAUCAAUUACAUUACUAUAACCACGCUGAAGUAAUAAGGGAAACCGAAUAUGCACACGACAGUAACACUCACUUGCCGUUGUAAGGAAAGAGUAUGGUAUCUUUGUUUUGUUUUUUGAUCAACGAUCGUAGCAAGUUUUCCUCAGCCUCUUUGACGUCCUUUUUAACCAGAAAUUCAUCUAUGAUAUUUGUGUUAAUGAACCCAAUAUCAUAAAUUUCUUGUUUUUUGCACUCGACGAUCUUCAAUCUGCAUAAUAUAUUGAGGAUAAUUAAUUAUAAAUACAUGAAAUGAAAGAGCCGAGCUAUAUAUAGAGACUUAAUGACAGAAAUAGUACUUACAGACAGUAGCAAAAGACCAUUAGUUUAUCGAGGGCCUUUUGAUUGAAGAACGCGAAGAACUCAUCAAAUGGAACAGUCAACAGAUCAGUUGCAACGAGGUCUUGCUCCUCUUUAAUAUUCAGAUACAAAGCAUUCGUACCCCAGACUCUCUGCAGGUUUCCAUGUUCCAAUUAUGGAAUCUUCGCAUCGUUGUUGUCAGAGAUUUUUCAUCUUUGACGAGAGGCUUCCCGUACUCGUAUCUGUGUUCGUCCACCUCCAAGAAAUCAGGAAGUUGAUCGUCAGGAAGGUAAUCUGCAAGAUUGCCAUAACCGGCCACCGUCCCCGGAGCAUUAGACACAUUGAGCGGGGGGCACGAUUGCUGUGCUUGUUCACCGAGCUGGGCAAUUUUUUCCCCUUUGCUCGUUUUUUUAUCCUUUUAGCACUGACAGUAGUUCCCGACCGCUAGGCUUGGAGAUAUGUCUGUUCAGUAAUGCGCUCAUAGUUGGUUCUCGACGGAGACUUUGGUGGUUUCCUCAGGGCAUCGAUAGUGCGCUUUGCUUUCACCGGAUCUACCUUCUCCUCCGGAGGUGGAUGUCUCUUUGCUUUCACCCCUUCAAAGAACUCCUUCACGUGAGUCCGCACAAUCGUAUCGUUUUUCUCCUCGGUCCUCUCGUACGGUAACUUCUCUAGAGGCUUGAGAGGUGGACCGUAUAUGUAUUGCCUCCCUCCUCUGGUUGUGCUGCCAGACGCCGGAGCAGACGGAGCGGCUGCGGCGUCUGUCUUCUUUCGUGCUUGCUUACGAGGCGGAGGAGAAGGAGUACGACGCGCCGGAGCAGCCGGGGCGGCGGUGGGUCUCUUCCGCCCUUGCUGGCGAGGCGGAGAAGAAGGAGGCUGCUAGCUGCUCCGGAGCGCCGGCGUAGGCGGAGAAGGAGGCAGAGUGCCGCCACGCGCCGGAGAAGGAGGCGGAGUGCCGCCACGCGUGCCCUGAUCGUCACUCGCCGGAGGAGGAGGCGGUGGAGGAGGCGAAGUGCCCUGACUCGCCGGAGGAGGAGGAGGAGGUGGAGGCGUCCAGUUCGGAAGGUUGAUGAGCUCCUUCCGCCAUAGGCAUGGAGUCUUCAGAGCAGAACCCAGCCUAGUCUCCCCUUCACCGGUAGGGUGGUCAAGCAGGAGGUCCUCAAAUCCCUCCAUUAUUUCACCCACCAUCACCUUAGCAUAUCCUUCUGGAAUCGGCCGGCAGUGAUAAGUUGCUCCGGAUCCAGUAGGAUAAACAGAGCCAACAGCCUCCUUGACCUUCAAAUUCAUCCAUCACGCCAUAAUGUGGCAAUGUUGAGACUUCGUGAUAGCAUCCACGGGAUAGCUGGCAGGAGCCGUCAAGACAUGCUCCGGCUGAAGCAGCUUGGUGGAAGCCACGCCGCUUCUCCGCUGAGAUGGCGGGGUAGCUUCGGGGGAAGCUUUGGCAGGUCGUUUGCUGCGAUCUGCUGCUUCUCGUUCCUCUUCUCGUUCCUCUAGCCCCAUUACCCUUUCGUGCAGCGCCUGCAGUUGGCCCUGCUCCAGUUUCUUCCUCCUCUCGUGGGUUUUGUAACCCCCUGCGUCCGGAAAACCAACCUUCCACGGAAUGGAGCCUGGCGUGCCUCGUGUCCGUCCAGGGUGCUAAGGAUUCCCGAGGGCCAUUGUGAGCUCGUCCAUCUCCCUGUCUGGUACGAACGUCCCUUUCUGCGCUGCAUUGAUAUAGUGUCGAAGGUUCUUGACUGGUAUUUCCAGUUGCUCGUCCGUCCAACGGCACAUCCCUGAUACGGGGUCCAAGGUUCCGCCAGCCCCGAAGAACCAAGUCUGGCCAUCUCAUUGUCUCUGGUUCGAUCCCUUUUUCAAGCAGAUCAUUCUCCUCCUUGGACCACUUAGGCCGGGCUUUGAGGUAGCCACCUGACCCCGUGCGAUGGUGAAGCUUCUUCUUCGCAGCAUUUUGCUUGUUCGUCGCCGACAUCUUCUUACUCUUUUCCGAUGUCUUGUGGGCCACAAAUGCGGGCCAGUGAUCUUUGAUCUUCUCAUAUUUGCCGAUGAAUUCUGGUGUCUUUUUUUUCGACAAAAAUGUUUCAACUCUUUCCUCCACCUUCUUAAGAGCACGAGACUUGAUUAAUUGCUCUUUAACUGGCUUCUCCGGAUCCUCCUCUGGCGGUAGGGUGAAAUUUGCCUUCAGCUGAGUCCAAAGAUCUUCUUUCUGCAUAUCAUUGACAUAAGACACCUCAGGGUCGUCCUUAGGAUUAUACCAUUGUUGGAUGCUGAUCGGGAUCUUGUCCCCAACAAGAACCCCGCACUGAGCAGAAAAUGCGUUCUUUUUCCGGAUGGGUUCAAUCGGUUCGCCGUCGGGUGCGAUUUCUAUGAUCUCAAACCUUUCAUCCGAGCUCAACUUUUUCUUCGGGCUUGGUCUCCUUACCGAAGUUGUGCUCGAUCCGGAGGGCUAGAAAUGAAAAGGAAGAAAGACGAGAAUAAUUAAUAUGUGUACAUAUACCAAAACAAUGAAUGCAUCAAUUAACUAGUCAGCACGGGCUUAACUUAUAUAUAUAUACCUGGCCGGACUCGGUUCGGUCACCGGAGCAGUCAGCACGGUCUCCUUCUUGUACCUACAUUGGGUCAUCAUCGGAGCCAUCACGAACAUAGCACUCUUCUUGUACCGGCAUUAAUGGGCCGGAUCCAUCAUGAACAUAGCCCUCUUCUUCACCCAGUCCUUCCUGACCAACGACGUCGUUGAAAAAUGACGCAAUGACAUCAGUUCCUUCUGCAAUCAUCUCCCCCAACAUUGCUUCUGUUGCUUCGUCUUGGUAGUGCUCCAUAGUUUCUGCAAAUAUUUACAACAUGUCAAUUAUUAUUCAAACAUGGUACAGAUGGAUACAUAUUAGUGGCAAACAUAGAACUAGCUAGCUAAUCACAAUAAGGAAUCAUGUUAGUGGCCUCGACGCUGCUUCUCUAGGGUUUGGGAUCGCCUUGACACAACGCUUCAAGGGUUUGGGGUGGCCUCGACGACAACGCUCUUUUAACUUGGUAAAUUUGGGUGGCCUCGAGAGUUUUGGUCGAGCGAGAGGGCCGAGGGGGGUGCUGCCGUUGUAUAGGUUAUCACGGUCGAGAGGGGGUAUAUAUAUCGACCGCCCCUCAUGUCGAAGUUAUCUCGAGGGAGCGGCGAGGGCGAAGGCGAGCAGCUUGACGGUGAUAGACCCGAUAAAACAUAAGAAAACGAAGAAGAAAUAAAAAGAGGAGAAGAAGAAAGGAAUAGAGGAGAAGAUCGAAGAAAAAAAAAGAAGAAAAAAAAAGAGGAGAAGAAGAAAGGAAUAGAGGAGAAGAAGAAAGGAAUAGAGGAGAACAAGAAAGAAUAGAAAAAUUCUAUUUUUUCUUCUUCUCCUCUAUUCCUUUCUUCUUCUCCUCUUCCUUUUCUUCUUUUUUGUUCUUCUUAUUUAUUUCUCCUCUAUUCCUUUCUUUCUGCUUCUCCUCUUGCUUCUUUUUCUUCUUCUCCCUCGAGAAAGGAAAACAAUUAAGGAAAAGGAAGAAAAGAGGAAGAAGGAAGAAGGAAGAAGAAGAAGAAAGGAAUAGAGGACAAGAAGAAAAAAUAGAUUUUUUUUCUAUUUUUUCUUCUUCUCCUCUAUUCCUUUCUUCUUCUCCUCUUCUUUUUCUUCUUUUUUCUUCUUCUUAUUUAUUUCUCCUCUUCUUUUCCUCUCCUCUUCUUCCCCUUUCUUCUCUUCUUAUUUUCCUUUUUCCUCUCAUUCUUUUUCUUCUUCUUCUUCCUUCUUCCUUCUUCCUCUUUUCUUCCUUUUCCUUAUUUUACUUUUUCCUCUACACUAACCUAAUUAAAAUGCACUAACCUAAAAUCGAUAUCUACUAACAACCUAAAUAAAAAAUUAAUACAUAUAUGAAAAAACNNNNNNNNNNNNNNNNNNNNNNNNNNNNNNNNNNNNNNNNNNNNNNNNNNNNNNNNNNNNNNNNNNNNNNNNNNNNNNNNNNNNNNNNNNNNNNNNNNNNNNNNNNNNNNNNNNNNNNNNNNNNNNNNNNNNNNNNNNNNNNNNNNNNNNNNNNNNNNNNNNNNNNNNNNNNNNNNNNNNNNNNNNNNNNNNNNNNNNNNNNNNNNNNNNNNNNNNNNNNNNNNNNNNNNNNNNNNNNNNNNNNNNNNNNNNNNNNNNNNNNNNNNNNNNNNNNNNNNNNNNNNNNNNNNNNNNNNNNNNNNNNNNNNNNNNNNNNNNNNNNNNNNNNNNNNNNNNNNNNNNNNNNNNNNNNNNNNNNNNNNNNNNNNNNNNNNNNNNNNNNNNNNNNNNNNNNNNNNNNNNNNNNNNNNNNNNNNNCAGGGGCAACGACGGGGGCGUGCGGACGGCGUCGGGGCGGCGCGUGGACGGUGCUGGGGCGGCGGGCGGCGUCGGGGCAGCGGACGACGUCGAUCUGGGCAGCCUGGCGGCGUCGAUGAGCUCGGCGUCGUCGGGCGGGCCGGGGGAAACUGGCGAUGUGUUCGUCAAAUUUUCCUAAGUGUUGUAUAUAUAGCAAGAGCAUUGGUUCCGGUUCGUGAGACCAAUCGGGACUAAUGCCCCCUUUAGUCCCAGUUGGUACCACCAACCGGGACCAAAGGCCUCAUUUCAGCAGCCCAAAGGGCGGGAAGAGGUGACCUUUGGUCCCGGUUGGUGGCACCAACCCGGACUAAAGGGUGGGCAUUGGUAUCGGUUGGUGCCACGAACCGGUACCAAAGGACCCUGUGCUGCCAGCGUCGGGGCCAAAAUUUAGUCCCACCUCGCUAGUUGAGAGGGGCGCACAAUGGUUUAUAAGCCCCACUGCCGCACCCCUCUCGAGCUCCUCUCCACCGUAGGCUUGCGGGCCUAUUUCCUACUGCUUUGCCUGAUGGGCCUUCUGGGCCUACUGCGGGCUUGAAUCCUGGCCCAUGGUAGGGUUUCUAGUCGUAUUCAGGCCGUGGGGGCCCAGUAGGAGGCAUUUUUUUGUUUUCUUUCUUUCUUUAUUUAUUUAUUUUGUUUCUACUUACAACAAAAUACUUAUUGUUGAUAUUUUAAUUAUUUUCCAGUUUUUUUGUUUUAUUUUCUACAUUAUUUAUUUUCUUUUGUUUUUUGCUUUAUUUUUUAAUUCUUUUUGAUUUUAGUUUUAGAAAAAUUAUAAACUUUCUGUUAGUGCCAUUAGUUUUCAAAUUUGAAAACACUUUUUUUGUUUUUUGUUUUUUUGUUUUCUUUCUUGCUUUAUUUAUUUUAUUUUGUUUCCACUUACAACAAAAUACUUAUUGUUGCUAUUUUUACUUAUUACGAGGGCCGAACCAUAAGACAUUAAAGCAUUUCAAAUGAACUAUGAAAAAGUUGAAAGUUGGCAUGGUAUCAUAAAUUCACCCACAUAGCAUGUGCAUGUACAAAAUGGACAAUGGUAUCAUAUUCGUGUGUUACAAAGUUGGCAUGGUAUCAUCAUAAUAGUUGCGGGAGAAAGUCUUCACUUUUUCUUCGCUUGUGUCAUUUCUUAUUGCGCCGUAACCAUGGAUAAUCUUCACCGCUUAUCAGGAUGCUGGGGUCAGCCUUGACUUUGAAGGGAGGAGUUUCAUGAAACUUUUCAUAAUCUUCAGAUAUGUCUGUCUUGCCUUCCACUCCCACGAUGUCCCUUUUUCCUGAAAGAACUGUGUGGCGCUUUGGCUCAUCGUAUGAUGUAUUCGCUUCCUUAUCUUUUCUUUUUCUCGGUCUGGUAGACAUGUCCUUCACAUAGAUAACCUGUGCCACAUCAUUGGCUAGGACGAACAGUUCAUUAGUGUACCCAAGAUUUUUCAGAUCCACUGUUGUCAUUCCGUACUGUGGGUCUACCUGUACCCCGCCUCGUGACAGAUUGACCCAUUUGCACUUAAACAAAGGGACCUUAAAAUCAUGUUCGUAGUCAAGUUCCCAUAUGUCCACUAUGUAACCAUAAUAUGUGUCCUUUCCCCUCUCGGUUGUUGCAUCAAAGCGGACACCGCUGUUUUGGUUGGUGCUCUUUUGAUCAUGGUCAAUCGUGUAAAAUGUAUUCCCAUUUAUCUCGUAUCCUUUCCAAAUCGUAACAGUCGAAGAUGGUCCCUUGGACAACAAGUACAACUCAUCACAAACAGUGUUGUCACCUCUGAGACGUGCUUCCAACCAACUGCUGAAAGUCCUGAUGUGUUCACAUGUAAUCCAGUCGUCACACUACUCCGGGUGUUUGGAGCGCAGACUGUUCUUGUGUUCAUCGACAUACGGGGUCACCAAGGUAGAGUUCUGUAGAACUAUGUAGCGUGCUUGAGACCAAGAAUAUCCGUCCCUGCAUAUUAUUGAGUCCCUUCCAAGUGUGCCUUUUCAGUCAGUCUCCCCUCAUACUGCGAUUGAGGGAGACCUAUCUUCUUAAGGCCAGGAAUGAAGUCAACACAAAACCCAAUGACAUCCUCUGUUUGAUGGCCCAUGGAGAUGCUUCCUUCUGGCCUAGCGCGGUUACGGACAUAUUUCUUUAGAACUCCCCUGAACCUCUCAAAGGGGUACAUAUUGUGUAGAAAUAAGGGGCCCAGAAUGACAAUCUCGUCAACUAGAUGAACUAGGACGUGCGUCAUGAUAUUGAAGAAGGAUGGUGGGAACACCAGCUCGAAACUGACAAGACAUUGCACCACAUCACUCCUUAGCCUUGGUAUGAUUUCUGGAUCGAUCACCUUUUGAGAGAUUGCAUUGAGGAAUGCACAUAGCUUCACAAUGGCUAAUCAGACGUUUUCCGAUAGAAGCCCCCUCAAUGCAACCGGAAGCAGUUGCGUCAUAAUCAUGUGGCAGUCAUGAGACUUUAGGUUCUUAAACUUUUUCUCUGACAUAUUUAUUAUUCCUUUUAUAUUCGACGAGAAGCUAGUCGGGACCUUCAUACUAAGCAGGCAUUCAAAUAAGAUUUCCUUCUCUUCUUUGGUAAGAGCAUAGCUGGCAGGACCUUCAUACUGCUUUGGAGGCAUGCCGUCUUUUUCGUGCAAACGUUGCAGGUCCUCCCGUGCCUCAGCUGUAUCUUUUGUCUUCCCAUACAUGCCCAAGAAGCCUAGCAGGUUCAUGCAAAGGUUCUUCGUCACGUGCAUCACGUCGAUCAAAGAGCGGACCUCUGGGUAUUUCCAGUAGGGUAGGUCCCAAAAUAUAGAUUUCUUCUUCCACAUGGGUGCGUGUCCCCCAGUGUCACUCGGAACAGCUAGUCCGCUGGGACCCUUUCCAAAGAUUACGUGUAAAUCAUUGACCAUAGCAAGUACCUGAUCACCGGUAUGCAUGGCGGGCUUCCUCCGGUGAUCUGCCUCGCCUUUGAAAUGCUUGCCUUUCUUUCGACAUUGAUGGUUGGUCGGAAGAAAUGGAUGAUGGCCCAGGUAAACAUUCUUCCUGCAGCUUCCCAGGUAUAUACUAUCGGUGUCAAGUAAAUAGUGCGUGCAUGCGUGGUAUCCCUUGUUUGUCUGUCCUGAAAGGUUACUGAGAGCGGGCCAAUCGUUGACGGUCACGAACAGGAACACCUUUAGGUGAAAUUCCUCCUGUUUGUGCUCAUUCCACGUACGUACACUGUUUCCAUUCCACAGCUGUAAAAGUUCUUCAACUAAUGGCCUUAGGUACACAUCAAUGUUGUUGCCGGUUUGCUUAGGGCCUUGGAUGAGAACUGGCAUCAUAAUGAACUUCCGCUUCAUGCACAUCCUUGGAGGAAGGUUAUACAUACAUAGAGUCACGGGUGAGGUGCUGUGAUUGCUGCUCUGCUCCCCGAAAGGAUCAAUGCCAUCCGCACUUAAAGCAAACCAUACGUUCCUUGGGUCACCUGCAAACUCAUCCUAGUACUUUCUCUUCAUUUUUCUCCACUGCGACCUGUUAGCGGGUGAUCUCGACUUCCCGUCUUUCUUACGGUCCUCACCGUGCCAUCGCAUCAACUUGGCAUGCUCUCCGUUUCUGAACAGACGUUUCAACCAUGGUAUUAUAGGAGCAUACCACAUCACCUUCGCAGGAACCCUCUUCCUGGGGGGCUCGCCGUCAACAUCACCAGGGUCAUCUCAUCUGAUCUUAUACCGUAAUGCACCGCAUACCGGGCAUGCAUUCAGAUCCUUGUACGCACCGCGGUAGAGGAUGCAGUCAUUAGGGCAUGCAUGUAUCUUCUGCACCUCCAAUCCUAGAGGGCAUACGACCUUCUUUGCUGUGUAUGUACUGUCGGGCAAUUCGUUAUCCUUUGGAAGCUUCUUCUUCAAUAUUUUCAGUAGCUUCUCAAAUCCUUUGUCAGCCACAGCAUUCUCUGCCUUCCACUGCAGCAAUUCCAGUACGGUACCGAGCUUUGUGUUGCCAUCUUCGCAAUUGGGGUACAACCCUUUUUUGUGGUCCUCUAACAUGCGAUCGAACUUCAGCUUCUCCUUUUGACUUUCGCAUUGCGUCCUAGCAUCGACAAUGACCCGGCGGAGAUCAUCAUCAUCGGGCACAUCGUCUGGUUCCUCUUGAUCUUCAGCAGCUUCGCCUGUUGCAGCAUCAUCGUGCACAUCGUCUGGUUCCUCUUGAUCUUCGGUAGCAUCACCGUAUUCAGGGGGCACAUAGUUGUCAUCGUACUUUUCUUCUUCGCCGUCUUCCAUCAUAACCCCUAUUUCUCCGUGCCUCGUCCAAACAUUAUAGUGUGGCAUGAAACCCUUGUAAAGCAGGUGGGUGCAAAGGAUUUUCCAGUCAGAGUAAGACUUUGUAUUCCCACAUAUAGGGCAUGGACAACACAUAAAACCAUUCUGCUUGUUUGCCUCAGACACUUCGAGAAAUUCAUGCACGCCCUUAAUGUACUCGGAGGUGUGUCUUGAACCGUACAUCCAUUGCUGGUUCAUCUGCGUGCAUUAUAUAUAAUUAAGUGUGUCAAAAAUCAUUACAAAACAUCAUGAAUAGAUAAUUAAGUGACCAAAUUAAUAGAAGUUCAUCAUCACAUUAAAACCAAAGUACAUACAUAGUUCUCAUCUAACAACAUAAAGCUCUACAGAGCAUCUAAAUUAAUUAAACCAUACAUUGAAACUAUGUAAAACAUUUCAAUGCAAAAACAAAUGCGAUCAUAAUCGCAACCAAUGUAACAACUGAUCCAACGGCAUAAUGAUACCAAGCCUCGGUAUGAAUGACAUAUUUUCUAAUCUUUCUAAUCUUCAAGCGCAUUGCAUCCAUCUUGAUCUUGUGAUCAUCCACGACAUCUGCAACAUGCAACUCCAAUAUCAUCUUCUCCUCCUCAAUUUUUCUAAUUUUUUCCUUCAAGAAAUUGUUUUCUUGUUCAACUAAAUUUAACCUCUCGACAAUAGGGUCGGAUGGAAUUUCCGGUUCAACAACCUCCUAGAUAAAUAAAAUCUAUGUCACGUUGGUCGGCAUAAUUGUCAUAAACAAUAGAUGAACCUAUAGUUAUGAAAAUAUAAUAUAUACCUCAUCCGAAGCAUAGACAGGACGAGGGCCGACGGGGGCGGAUACCAAAACCAUCGCACUAUAUAAGAUGCAAUAAUAAAAGUAAGAAAAUUAUACAAGUAUCUAUAUAAACAUACAAGUAAGAAUUUUUUUCCCUUUUAGAAAUAAGAUAAGAACAAGAGCCUCACCACGGAGGUGUCGGCUACGAGAUCGGCGCGGGCGAUCGACGACGGUGAAGACGGGGACGGGACGUGACGGACCGCUAAACCUAGACAAAUAUUGAGGAAAAUGGAGCUUGGAGGUUGAGCUUGGAGAGGAGAAAGCUUAAGUAGUGUGGCUCGGGCAUUCCAUUGAACACCUCUUGUGCAUAGGAGGUGAGCUAGAGCACCACAAAGCUCUCUCCUCGCCGGCCAUGAAAAACAGAGCAGUGAGAGUGCUCUGCUCGAGGGCGAGGGGUAUAUAUAGGCAAUUAAUUGGUCCCUUUUCAUUGCUUGAACCGGGACUAAAGGGAAGCCUUUGGUCCCGGUUCAGGCCACCAACCGGGACCAAUGGUGGUGGGCCAGGACCAAGGCACAUUGGUCCCGGUUCGUCCCACCAACCGGGACCAAAAGGUCCAGAGGAACCGGGACCAAUGGCCCAUGUGGCCCGACCGGACCCUGGGGCUCACGAACCAGGUCCAAUGUCCCCAUUGGUCCCGGUUCUGGAUUGAACCGAGACUAAUGGGCUGACCCGGCCAGGACCAUUGCCCCCUUUUCUACUAGUGAAUGGUGCUCAAUGAGAUCCUCUUGAAGCUGAAAGUGGGUGUUUGCAUCUUCAAUCUUCCGGUAGGUUUGAAGAAAUUCUCUAAUGCGGUUAGAGUCUCUAGCUAGCUUCACACGGCUACCCACAUUGUCGUAGAAGAACUCCAAAUUCAUGCCUCUCUCAUCUUCGAGAAUCAUAUUGUGAAGAAUCACACAUCAUGUCAUGAUGUUUUUGAGGGAUCACUUGUCCCAAAAACGAACAGGACCAUGAACAAUGGCAAACCUAGAUUCCAAAACCCCGAAUGCUCUUUCAAUAUCUUCUCGGGCUGCCUCUUGUACCCUUGCAAAUUCACAAUGUUUCUUAGUUUUGGGCUUUUUGAUGCUCUUGACAAAUGUGCACCAAGAAGGGUAGAUACCAUCUGCAAGAUAGUACCCCAUUGAUAGUGUACUUGCAAGCAGGAGCAUCACCAGUAGCAAGCCUAGCAAACAAAUGAGAUCGUUGCAACAUAUUGACAUCAUUGAGAGUACCCGACAUACCAAAAAAGCAACGCUAAAUCCGUAAAUCAUCAUAUGGUACGGCCUCUAGCGCAAUUGUUGCAUCACGAGACUUGCCACAAUACAUUCCCUGCCAUGCCCUCGGGCAGCUUUUCCAAGUCCAAUGCAUACAAUGAAUGCUUCCUAGCAUGCCAGGCCAACCUCUACUCAUACUUGAUGCCAUCAACUUUUUUGUGUCCUCCUCGUUGGGUGACCGAAGAUAUUCAAGAGUAAAGACAUGGAUGAUUACUUUGACAAACAUAGUCACUGACUUAAUUGUAGUAUCUUCAACAAUGCGAAGGUACUCAUCGGCAUAGUCAGCCGGAAUGCUGUAUGCAAUUACCGGCAUAGUUGCCGAGAUUUUUUGAUAUGCACUAAAUACCUUCAAGCCCACGACAUUUCUUUUUUGAGUAAAAUAGCGACAAUUAGCCUCGCAAACUUGCACUAUUUUUACAAAGAGGGAUCGACGCAUUUGAUACCUUCUCUGGAAGAGGUGCGGCGGAUAUGUUGGAUUGUCUGCGAAGUAAUCGUCCAUCAACAUCUCGUUCCCGAGAUAGCGAUUGCGAGGAAUGCAAAGACGGCUGAUGGCCAAUCCUCGUCAUCUCUUUCAGUUCUCAUCAUUGUGCUCCUUCACGGUAAGGGCCAUCGCCAAGAUCUUCUGCUGAUGGUUCUCAAGAAGCAUCUCAACAUUCGAGUCGUCCAAAUCGGACGAAUCCUCGAGAAAAACCUCUUGCAAGGGCUCAGUUCCAUCUAGAAACAAAAAUAUGAACACCGCAUGAACCAAUUAUGCACAUCGCAUCCGAAAGCACAAGAACAUGUACUCAUCGACGGCUCGAGGCGGUGGCUCUGCGAUGGUCGAUCCCAGGGCGGUGAUGGCGACUCGGGGCGGCUCGGCUCACCGGAUCCGGGGAGCCGGUGAAGCGGCUAGGUGGAACCGGGUGAGGGGCGGCCAGGCGGCGUGAUUCCGUCCGUAGAUAAGGCCGGAAUCACUGGCGGUGUACAGGCAGAACCGAUGGCGGGCGACUGUGGAAGGGGGUGGGGAACGCGCACGGGCUAAAAUGUCCCUCUCGCCAACCGCUUUUCUAAGAUACAGGGCACCGUCGGGUCGAGGGGAAAACCUGUAUUUUUGCGGGUUGGAGGUUGGAUUUUAGCGCCCCCUAAAAUUUUUUCACGGGUCCGACGCGUUUACAGUGUCGGAUCGAGCGGCUUUUUUCACGUGGACCCAUAUUUUAGCGGUUAUUUUGCUAGUCGGGGCAUUAUACGGGGCUGCUAGAGAUGCUCUAGCCAUAGUGGUGGUAUAUAGCCGGUAUCAUGCACUCACAAGGAAAUACACUGAUGUGGCAGAUAAUUAAAUAAGAGAGGGUUAGGCUACUCAUAGUGGGGAAUAUCAUAUACUAGUAUCAUGCACAUGAUAUUAGUGUAUGAUACUAUCUUCAUAGUGCAUAGUAUCAUAGAGUAGUAUCAUAUUUAUUGCCAUGCAUGACUUAAAGUAUCAUAGCAUUUAACAUGAUAUGGUAUCUACCUAUGUUAGGCUGGCCAUAGUUUGUGGUAUCUUAGCGAGUAUCAUGCACUUGGGAAUAGCAAAUAUGCUAAUGUGGCAGAGAGUUAAAGAAGAGAGAGAGGGUUAGAGUAACAUAACUAGAUAUUGUAUCGUAUUAAAUGCUGUGCUACUUUGUGUCAUGCAUGACAAUAAAUAAGAUAAAUAAAUGAUAUGAUACUAUAAACUAUGAAAAUAGUACUUCCUCCAUCUAGGUGAAUAAGUCUUCUUAGGUUGUGCACCGUGACCAAGGUGGAGAGGAAAAUGAGAGAACUUAAUGCUUAUUUGCUAAUUAACACCAUUGCAUGCAACGAAAUGACCACUGCAAGUCAUGUCUGGUAGUCUCAAGUCAUUGAAAGUAUACACGCCCCACGUCUGUUAUUGGUUGAUUCCUUUAUUUAUGUCAAAAAACAAGAAACAAUGUGUCAAUUAAUGCACCAAGCCUAUGUGUUUUGGACUAUUUCGUUUUCGUAAAAUGACUUACUCACCUAGACGGAAGAUCCUUUAUAUUUCCCAUGCAGAUCCAGAUCAUCCCAACUACCCAAUCCACAGACACUGUUGAUCACCAAAUUCUCACCGCAUUAUGUAAAUAUCGCAGGAGCUCCACUGCACCCAUCAACCCUAGAACCUCGAUAAAUGAGGUUUUUCCCUUUCGAAUAGAUGAUGCAAUUAUUUUUUGGGGUUUAGAAAGAGGGUGUGAUUAUUGCACUUGAAAGUUUAAAACCCAGCAUCUCACGGGGGGUACAAAAGGCCAGAAGGCUAAAACAGCCAAAAGGAAAUAAGAUUUUUCUUUUGAGGGAAAAAAGAAAUAAGAUUUUAUGAUGUCGACUGGCACACAGUGCUAUGCAUUAAUUGUGGCCACUGAUGCAGACCUGCUAGUGUGUGGAUCAUGCAGCAGUAUUUCACCAUCAGCCAAGCUUACGUCCAUGACCAAAGUUUUCAAUUAGUAUUGUCUCCAAGGCGGACAUUCAAACGCCUGUUGCAUGUUCGGACCACUUUUACCAUUUAACGGGGAAUUGUCCGCUUAGCAGUCCGGACAUACGGAUUCUGGUAUCUUAGAGACCAACAUGAUAGGCUUUGCCGAAGUCCGGACAUGCACUUGACAAUUCACAUGGAUGCCCCCCCCCUCUUCUCUCCUUCUCCCAACCACAUAUGCAUUGCCCCCUCUCCUCUCUCCUUUCAACCAGACACCAAACCAUUAAUAUCUUAGCACAUGCAUGAUCUCAUCUACUUUCUCCCCUUCCAAUUAAAUUACUUUAUGAUUAGCAUUAGAUGACUCCUUCCGACAUCAUUUCCGCGUGAUGGUGUCCUGGACUAUGGGUACUGACCAUGUCGUCUCCUGACCAGUGGGUCAAGCUGAGGACCCCCAUGGCGGUCCAUUAAUGGGCCAGUUCAGAUAGCCGAUAACAUAUAUGAGGAAGAUUCCACAAGACUUGGUGAUCAAUACAAGGACUCCUAUCCACCGACUUAUUCGACUAGGACUCUUGUUAUCCUAGGCCUCUGGUAUAUUAUAUAAGCCGAGGCUAGGCUAGUCGAUAGAUCAUUAUGAAAUUACUCAACACGCCCCUAGGGUUUAGAACACAACAUAUUAUCUCGAGGUAGAUCAUCUCUGUAAUCAUACACAUCGAAUAUAAUUGAGCAGGAGUAGGGUUUUACCUCUUAGAGAGGGUCCGAACCUGGGUAAACACCGUGUCUCUCGUCUCCUCUUAUCCAUCGAUCCUAGGACACACAGCUUGGGACCCCUACCCAAGAUCUGUCAGUUUUGACACCGACAUUGGUGCUUUCAUUGAGAGUUCCGCUGUGUGAUCGGCAAAGGAUCAAUGGCUUGCCUGCAGAUCAACUGCAAGGUCGGUAUCUUCGUCUCCGGCUCAACUGUUUACCUUGGCUCGACCGAGGACUGUCCUCUGCCACCGAUCGUCAUGUUCGGAUGAGGGCCUUCAACAACAUCAACUCCGAUCUCUAUCAAGAUCGUGGAGGAAUCAUCCAUGCAGCUCGGGGCUCAACUUUGACAUUUCCCUCGAGCAAUCGUGCUGUUUUUUUGGAAAGCGAACUCAUAUCCGCUGGCACCGCCUCCUCGAGCAUCGCUUUGACAAUUACUUUUGUGGAACUGUGUGGAAUUGAGUCUAAUAACCCUGCAAAAUUUCGCCGCGUGCCGAUGAAGCAAUCUUCGUUGAUCUCUGAUAUACCGGAGCCCCGACGAAUCUGGACGAGAAACCAGACCAGUUUGGAGCGUGGUGUCCAGCAUCUAGCUCGGACGUCCUUUGGAAGAUCCAACCGUUUAUCGGCUGCGGAAUUCCGAUAUGUACCGCCCCUCAAAAUUUCAGCUCGAUCUGACCGUUCAAACUCCGAGGAACCUCCGAUGAGCGCACCAAUUUUCAGAUAUGUUUACUGCGCGAAAAUGAAUCCAACCCAAGUUCAUCUUUCUUCAUGAACAGGAUAUUGGACAACCUUUUUUGAGGAAUCUCUUUCUAGGGUAUUGUGUUUUGUUUCUGAUAACAUGCUCAUAAUUUUUUCUCCUUUUCGGAGGUAACAUUCACCGUUGCGCCGGUGUCAAACCAGCCCGACAACGUUGCUGGCCGGCUGCCGACCUACGCUAGAGGGGUCGUCGCUUCAUCAACUGGACUUAACCUCUUCGGAUCAUUAUCUCGGCAAGACGAACAAGAGUUCGGCAUUGUGAAGGGUAAAUCAUCACCAAAUUAUGCGGAGCGGGCACACUGGCAUCAUUGCAUGGCCACUUCAUCAAGUGGGCAUCGACCGCGUCGCAAGAUAUGGUCCGCGUCGGCAUCGUUGCACUAUUGCUUCUUCAAGCCUGGAUGGACCUCUACGUCCGAAGAUCGGGAGUCACUUCCGGCCGGACUCGCCUCUCUUAUCCCGUAUCCAGCUUCAAUCCUGGACGAGACUUCGGUGUCCGAACACCAGGAGUCAACCCUGGCCGGACUCGCCCCUUGCACCAUAGUACAUGAGGACGAUUCCGAAGAAAUCCCGAAUACUAAUCCGGCUGACCAAGCCGAUGUCCACCAUGCCGACUUGCUUCGACACCUUGGCCGGCAUGGGGUUGCAAACAUCAUAAUACCGACCUGCCCCGUCACCUCGGCUAGAUCGGGGCUUCGCCAUCUCUUCAUCAACUUACUCCGGUGACUUCCGCGUCACCAGCCGACCAGCUUCGUCACGUUAGCUGGACCAGGGGAUUCGCCUCGCCACAUCGACCGUGUGGCAUCACCACCUCAUCAAGUCGAACUCCUCGCUCGGUUACCUCGGGCUUGGGGGCUGGGACCUUGGCUAGGCUGCGGACUACGUCUUCGUCCCGCCAUGAUCUUGGACCUCGUCAACAAUACCGAGCAUAUUAACCAGCUAAGUCGCCUCCAUGCUCUGGUUUUUUCUUUAAUUUUUUUAUUUCUUGUUCGGUUCAACCAAACAUUAUAUUUGUGUUAAAAAAAGUUGUUCAUUCAAACAUUGAUUGUUAAACACUUCUUUUUUCCGCCAAGCUCUUCAUCACCUCUAUCAUGAGGGUUUUUGUCACCUCGGCUGGACCAGGGGCUUCGGCUCGCCACGCUGAUCUUGCGCCAUCGCCACUUCAUCGAGUCGAGCUCUUCGCUCGGGCACCUCGGGACCGGCUUGGGGGCUAGGACCUCGACCCGCCGCAAGCUCGGCCCACAUCAUCAACACCGAACCCAUUAACCAGCUAAGUCGCUUUCAUGCUCAAAGCUUUUUCAUUUUCAAUUUGUGUUCAGUUCGACCAUGCUCACAUUCGUUGUUUGUUAAGACACUUCCUGUCAUAGGUUAACUGGGGGCUCUUAAAUUUAUACGAGCCAUUUUAUAAUGAAUGUUUUUCUUCUCAGUCGUUGCAAAGUCUUUUUCUACCACUCCUUUCUCGGCUCGAGUGUGUGGUCAAAUGCCGGAUAGCCUGGUUUCUCCAUAAAGCCGCUCGAUUUUAGUUUUCUAAAGUGGCCUAACGAGAAGUACUCCGCCUUCGGGAUAGGAGGUUGAAGCUGUAGGCUGACCCACUUGAAGUCUUGAGAUCGGAUGUGUCAUGUUACAACACGACAGAAGCACAAACUAAUUUAAGACCAAUCUUCGGAUUGGCACCAAAAAACCUGAUUUAGUUCGGCGUCAAGUUUUUGCAUAAGUUUUUUGGCUUUUCGAGCUUAUGGCACUUUUUAGCUAUUUGUAUAUUUUUCUUUCAGGAAGCAGGAUAUCCUCAUGAUCGAGGUUCCCUGCACAAUAAUUCUGCUCGGGAGAUCUUUUCUGACCCAUAGCUCGACAUCUUUCGCACCAAACUAUACCUCGGGCGCCACAUCAGGACUACUUCCUGAGUAGUGCAAUGGUAGACGCCUUUAAAACAUUGGCAAUAUUAACGGGGGGGCUGCAACUGAAGCUGAACCCACCAAAAGCCAAGGUGCUCCAUGGACUCCUCGGCAAAAUGUUCUCGGGUAUUACUUUGUAUGCAUCGGUUUCGAAUUGUGUCUUUGGUCAAUAUUUGGAUUGUCUGACUCCUGUUCUUGCCUUCUACGUUUCGCUUUGUUCCGCUAGGUGUGCAAAGGAGAACCACUGUGAUUGUGCUUCCAUCUGCAUGGUUAAAGUGCCUCAUUGGAGAAAGCCGAAAACUGUCUGUCACAAUAAGCACAAACUGGUCAGCGAUCCGAUGACAGUGUUAAACUAUAAGAUCGAUAGGGGUCACUCCGUGUUAAAUGAUGGGCAGAUCAUAGCAUUGGCCGAAGUGUUUACAACUUGACUUCGGUUGUCUCCGAACACUAACCGGGGCUAGUAACUGGCCUCCCAACUUUACGCUCCUAUGACUAAGUGAAAGUUAUAAAGCCCGCAUAUAUGAUUGCCUCGUUUCCGCUAACACAACCGCCUUCGGGCACCGAGACGUCGGCUAAGGGUUCUUUUUUUUAUUGUGUAUACACCCUACAUAGCAUCUACAAAGGGGUAGAAGCCGACGAUGGUCCACUUUCAACUGAUAAGCUGUCACAACGGAGUCAAAAUAAGCAUAUCAUCAACAUUUGCUUUCAGUAUGGAAGCGUUGCCUUCCGUAAUUAUCGUUAUAAAGCCAUAAAUAUGCAUCAAUUUGACUUAAGAUUUUGGACAAGCUGGGUUGCCUGGCUGCUGUGCUUACCCCUACAUUCCCGAUUGUUCGGCUAGGCGGUAAAGGGAGCUCCUCUAUGAUUGUUACUAUCGGGUCAUUCGAGUUAGUACCUCAGACUAGGUGAAGCCAAAAGCUAGCCAUCUUAAAGGAUAUAAUUGGUCGACAACGGCGGAAGUGAAAAUCUCGGUUCAUUAGACCAUAGAGUUUGGGAACUUUCCCCAAACUAAAUCCUCAAUAUUUUUCUCACACAUUGAUCGGAGGUGAGGUUUCAUUAUCAUGGUCAGCAUGACAAGCCAAAGAAAGGAACCGAUAGUGGGACUAUUUUCUUUGGAAGAUGUUUCUUACGUUAGUAGUAAUAUAACAUAUCUCUCCAUGUACCUUUGUUUAUAAAACCAUAUCGCCGGAUUGCCUUGUUUGCUGUAAAUCUUUGCCCUUAUAAAGGCUUUGUAAAGUAGGACAAACACUCCUCGGCUACUGACCCAGGAGGUUGAUUCCAAUGGUCGGUCAACAAAGUUUUGUAUUGUGCGGAUCCGAGCAUUAAUGAUGUAGAGUACUUGGAUACAUAGAAUCAUUGAACAUAAUUUGUGAUUUUACUCCGGAUAUCAAUCCUUCAUUCGGCCACCCAUGCCCACAUUAAGGCUCGGGGGCUAUUGGGCUUCGCACUUAUCAUUUAAAAGUAGUAAAUGGACUAGUGUUUGGGGGCUACUGCAUUGCCUAUUCAAUGGAGAAAAUUCAAAGUGUCUGUUGUUCGGCUUGACUGAACUAUGGGCAAACGUGUCUUCGAACAACAAUAGAUACCAUCUGGACCUAUCCGGCAUGAAGCUAAUAUAUUACGGAACUUCUCAAGACCCUCUCUCAAAGGCCCGUUCGCUGAUCGCUAUUUCCUCUAAUAUAUUGCAUCGCAUUUCUAUUGCUAAGUAUGUUGUCGAGAUGGGAAUUGGUCCUCGGGCCGAUUUCAUGAAUGACUCAGUGCUAUUGGGGUCUGCAGUUUGAUUUUAUCCUUCAGGUGCAUCCCAGAUAUUAGGCCAACACGCACCUUGAGGGCUACUGGCUAUACAUCUCGGCAGAAAAUACAUUGCACAAAUUGGAAUUAAAUUCAUAAAAAUCAGCCCAAACCCGAGAUGGUGCAUCACCUCGGAAGCAGUCCGGCAUAAAGCUUGGUUGCAAGUGGCUGGCCACAUAGAGGGCAUCUCGAGCAUUAAGCUCGUUUGAACCCUUUUAACUCUUUCAAGAUCGAGGUAAUCUAUGACACCUUGGAUACAGUCGGGCAUUGGAGCUCGGAUACAUUCCGACAUUGGAGCUCGGAAGCGGUCUGGCGGUUGUACUUGGCUCCAAAAAGAUACCUCAAAUGCAGCCCGACGUUGGAGCUCGGAUGCAAGAGGACACUGCCGCACGAGAAACACUUCGAACCCAAGGUGUGGCCUAAAAAAUAAUAAAGACAUUGAUAAAGGCCGAUAACUUAAAGGGGCUCCUCGGAUACCUGGCGUGUAAGCUCUUCGGAUUCACUUCUGCGAUCCUCAAGAUCGAAGAUGAGAAGAUUUGUUGAACCAGUUUUCAAGACCGACGGCCGAAGAUGAAGAAUAGUUCGGAAGAAUCGAGGAGCGUCCCCAACUUGAAGACCGGUUCAGGGGGGCUACUAAUAGUGUCCUAGACUAUGGGGUACUCACCAUGUCGUCUCCUGACCAAUGGGUCAGGCCGGGGACCCCCAUGGUGGUUCAUUAAUGGGCCAGUUCGGGCACCCGAUGACAUAUACGAGGAAGAUUCCACAAGACUUGGUGAUCAAUACAAGGACUCCUUUCCACCGACGUAUUCGACUAGGACUCUUGUUAUCCUAGGCCUCUGGUAUAUUAUAUAAGCCGAGGCUAGGCUAGUCGAUAGAUCAUUAUGACAUUACUCAACACACUCCUAGGGUUUAGACCACAACAUAUGGACUCGAGGUAGAUCAACUCUGUAAUCAUACACAUCGAAUAUAAUCGAGCAGGAGUGUGGUUUUACCUCCUAUAGAGGGCCCGAACCUGGGUAAACACCGUGUAUCUUGUCCCGUGUUACCCAUCAAUCCUAGGACACACAGCUUGGGUGCCCCUACCCGAGAUCUACCAGUUUUGACACCGACACCGCGGACCACGCCUAGACAUAAAAACUAACAUAUACCGAAGACAUUUGCGUGUCAGCUUUGGAGAUGCCCUUGUGAUCAAAAUUAGACUUGAAAUAUGAGAGGCACAAUAAACCAAGGAGGAAGUAUGUGUCAGUGUGGAUCACAUAAUAAGGUAUUAGGCCAACUCUAAUGAACGACCCCAGACGGACGCCCGUUUUGUCCGGAUUCUGUCCAUUUAGUUUGGCUAGAGGCGCAUUGUCCGGCCGCGCCUGACCAAACCUGGUCAGUGCGACCAACCGUCCGACGUAUUUCGUCGGGCGCCAGAAUUAUUUGCAAUAAAAUAAAAUCUGAAAUUAGGGCUCGCGACCAUAGUCAUGCCAAGAGCCGUCAUUCAUGCUAGCCUACAACAAGAUCACCCCUAGCUCGCGUCGAAACACUUGCCAGCAACCGCACACUUACCAUCGCACAUAAAAUGACCAUAGUUUUUGCAUUGCGGCCCUAGUUCAUGACGGCCAUACAAAAUGAUGUCGCUCUCGGCCAUAGCUCAAUCAUCUAGCUCAAGCAUUUCCUUCUGCUUCUUCUAAAACCAAACUCUUCUCCUGAGGGACACCUUUCUCAAGUCCCCUCCACCUCCUUCGCCAAAAAAGCGAGUGCCAGCUCUUUUACUUUGGUCUUCGCAUUGGUUGACUCAAUCACAAGCUUCUUGGUUUGGACGUUCUCCUCCAUCUUGAGUUUCUUCUUUUGUAUCUCUAUGUAGGCCUUCAUUUGCUCCUAUUUCUCUUGGCGCUUCCUCUCCUACCUUGCUUCCUUUUGGGUCAUCAUGCCUUGCAAUGUUUCUUGGAAGGCGAAUAUCUCCACAUCACCCUUCUCAUCCACCUUGGACUUGGUCUUGCCCCUCGUUCGCUUCUCCCCUUCUUCAUUCUCAAUGAUGGUCGUUAGCCUUCCAUUCUUCUUUUGGGUGACAUAUUGCUCCUUGAACUAGGGGCAAUUGCAAAUGAUCGUCCAACAGUGGGUGAUGUUGAAUGGCUUGUUCCCAUGUUGGGAUUUGAAGGCUUCUAAAGUUUGGAAUGCCUACAAAUAAAAGGGAAGGCCACAAUGUAAUAGUGAAGGGCACAAUGCAACAAACAUGAAUAGGCAUAUGAACAAAGAGAAGAAAUUGUAUACCAUAUGGCUCAUGCCUAGGCCACUCAUGGGACAGCCUUGGAUGCUCUCAAGGGCGACACAAAACUUGUUGCAUUCUUAUUGGAUGAAACCCCCACCACUUUUGAAUUGAACCAAACUUGGUCAGUAUCUUUCAUACUAGAUAGGUUAUUCUCACAAUGAGUGUUUAUUCACUUGUCAUUGCACGAGAAAGUGGUAGGUAAUAGGGAUUUUCCAGUCUCAUAAUCAAUCAAAAAAUAUAAAAAAUAAAUACCCCCCCAUUGAAAGUUUGGAAGGCACCUGUGGAUACGGCUAGCCAUGAAUUAUGGAAGAAUGGUGGAGGGGGAGUAAAACUUUAUUUUCUGUUUGAGAACUGCAUAUAAUGUGUCUAGCCUGGGAGAUAUUGGAAACUUUUGGUCAUGACAUUGACAGGAAAAGCAUGCCUCUCAAAAUAAUUCCUCUCUGAUAUAGGGUGUGAGCUCUAGCACCUCUAUAAAUCGAUGCUUCCCUCUGCGUAGGACCCAUCUCACUAUUGCAGGAAUGCCUAGCAGUGGCGGGUGGGAAAACCCCAGUAGUGGCGGGCAAGGCUCUGAGGGCUGCCCGUCACUCCUAGAAUGCCAUCAGUGGCGGUCGCCCACCCGCCAUUGUUAGGCCAUGAUCAAUGGUGGGCUCUAGGUCGUGCCCUCCACAACACUCCGUGUUGCCCGCGAAAUGAUUUUCAUGCUGUCAUGGUGGUCCUUUUCUACCGCUUGCCACUGCAAUUGUUGCAUGUCGACAUGAUUCAAUUACAACAUAUUGCAGCUGGAUCAUAUCAUCAGGUUACAUUUGGUACAUAAAUUCUGGUUUGAACCUUCAUCCACAUAUAUGCACCACAUUACAAUGAUUUCAGUUUAAUGAAAUGUAGUAGUCAUAAAAUAUAACAAGUGCAUUAUAGUAAUUAAUAAGCAUAUAUAUUUCGCGAUCAUCACAUAAUGAAUGGUUUGAUGAGUUUUUUUGGAGUGAAGUGAGUGUUGGCCAAUGUUCGUCAUGUAGACUGUUAGUAUAAGCCGCACAUACUACAUGAAUUAGUACUUGAUGGAAUGAACGGGGACCAAUGGGCCGCCGGCUCUAGAAUUGGAAUUUUUUCUUCUCGAAGAGGCCAUUGCACAACCUCGGCGGGCGUGGGUACAGUGGUUGGACUCAUACCCAGCCAGAUCCUCAGUAUCUCAUCCAGGGUCGCCUCCACAAGGAUGCACACUAGGAGGUCAGUGGGCCGCCUCUCUACAAUCUUGUCAAUCGCUGGGAGAGAACAAUGGGCCAUUGGAACACUUUUGACCCAAGCUAACAUCACCUCCUUGAGGUGCUCUAUGGGUCCAUAGCUAGUAGCUAGAUGGCUUCUUCUCUCUCUUUGAUUCUCAAUACCAUGUUCUCCGCGAUGUUCUUGGAGAUCUAUCUGAUGAAAUAUUCUUUUGCGGUGUAUUUGUCGAGAUCCGAUGAAUUGUGGAUUUAUGAUCAGCUUAUGUAUGAAUAUUACUUGAAUCUUAUCUGAAUUCUUAUAUCCAUGAUUUUAUAUCUUUGUAAUUCUCUUCAAACUAUCUGUUUAGUUUGGCCAACUAAAUUGUUUUUUCCUGCAAUGGGAGAAGUGCUUAGCUUUGGGUUCAAUCUGGCGGUGUCCUUUCCCAGUGACAGUAGGGGAAGAAAGGCAUGUAUUGCAUUGUUUCCAUCGAGGAUAAAAAUAUGGGGUUUACAUCAUAUUGCUUGAGUUUAUUCCUCUACACCAUGUCAUCUUACUUAAUGUGUUACUCUGUUCUUUAUGAACUUAAUAUUCUAGAUGCAGGCAGGAGUCAGUCGAUGUGUGGAGUAAUAGUAGUAGAUGCAGGCAGGAAUCAGUCUACUUGACACAGACAUGAUGCCUAUAUUUCAUAAUCAUUGCCUUGGAUAUCGUCAUAACUUUGCACUUUCUAUCAAUUGCUCGACAGUAAUUUGUUCACCCAUCGUAUUAUUUGCCUUCAUGAGAGAAGCCUAUAGUGAAACCUAUGGCCCUCGGGUCUAAUUUCCAUCAUAUUAGUUUCUGAUCUACUAUUUUGCAAUCUUUUACUUUCAGAUCUAUCAACCAAAAAGACUCAAAAAUAUUUUAUCUUUUGUUUAUCUAUCUCUAUCAGAUCUCACUGUUGCAAGUGAUCAUGAAGAGAUUGACAACCCCUUUAUCGCGUUGGGUGCAAGUUGUUUGAUUAUUUGUGCAGGUAUUGGUGGCUUGUGCGUUGUCUCCUACUGGAUUGAUACCUUGCUUCUCUAACUGAGGGAAAUACUUAUCUCUACUUUGCUGCAUCAUCCUUCCUCUUCAAGGGAAAAACCAACGCAAUAUCCAGAAGUAGCAGACAACAUACUUAGUUCCAUUUCUCCGUCGGUGUGUUACUUUAUCUCGGUAUCGGCAAGUCUCUUUCCUCUUUCCAUAAUAGAUUAUCAUGUAACUAACUCCUUAGUCAUUUCAUGAUGUUGUAUUACCAAGAGGGCCCAGAGAUACCUCGUACAGAGUGAAAAAUCCCAGUCUUGACCCAUGCCGACUCAACAAACACCUUCAGAGAUACCUGUAGAGCACCUUUAUGAUCACCCAGUUACAUUGUGAUGUUUGAUAGCACACAAGGAACCUCCGGAGUCCGGAGUUGCAUUAUCUAGUGGUCGAAGAAACAUCUAUUUGAAAUUACGAAAGUAGUAGCAAUAAACUGAAAGAUCAUAUGCUAUGCUAACGGUUGGGUCUUGUCCAUCACAUCACUCUCCUAAUGAUGUGGUCCUGUUAUCGAAUGACAACUCAUGUCUAUGGUUAGGAAACCUUAACCAUCUUUGAUCAAUGAGAUAGUCUAGUAGAGGCUCACUAGGGACAUGGUAUCUGUUUAUGUAUCCGCACAUGUAUUUAAGUUUCGGGUCAAUACAAUUCUAGCAUGAAUAAUAAACCUUUAUCGUGAAUAUGGAAAUAUGAUAAUAACAACUUUAUUAUUGCCUCUAAGGCAUAUUUCCAUCAUUUGAAUUGAUCUAUGAGUGCUAAGUUUGAUCUCCACCAGAAAGAGCCAACCUUAUGAUAUCCUGGGAGUUGUCCAUUACUAUAGUCUCUCUCCCAAAUUAAAUUAACCGAGGGUAUGUCAUGCCUAUUGAAGAACUUAUGAAGGUUUGUUAUGAGCAGAGUCUUGUUUUGUUUGUAGAUAUCCAUAACUCCUAGGCCUCCUUGAUAUUUGGGUCUACAAACAGUGUGCCAUGCAACUAAAGCUGGUCUGUGAUCUUCCAAAUCAGGGCUUCUCCAUAGACAGUGUCUCAAGUACUUAAUGAUCUGUUCCUUGAUGGUAAUAGGUAUGUCCAGGCAACACUUGCAGAAAAUUGGUAAUGAUGCAAGCACUAAUUUUGACUAGGAGCAACCUUCCUACGUGAGUCAUAAAAGUAGAAAUACCUGCUAAUCUCUUAGCAAUUCUGUUGACUAGGGGCAAACAUUGUUCCACAGUUGGUUUAUAGAUUCCUAAAGGAAGGCCCAAGUAAGUAAAAGGGAAUUGUCCUCUUACACAUUGCAGUGUGUGAGUGAAAAUAUUUAUUCUGUCUUCUGCAAUGUUUAUGGGCACCAUGAUUGAUUUCCAAUAAUUGACUUUUAGUCCAGCGGCUGAGGCAAAUGUGUUUAACAGGGCUUUGAGACAUAUCAGCUACUUUGCAUUUGCUUGCAUAAGAACCAGGGUAUCAUCUACAUACUGUACUACUCGAGAAUUAGGACAGGAGUAGACUUGCAGUGGUGGAGUAAUUAUACUCAGUAUGCUGGCCUUAUUAAGUAUUGAUUGUAGGAGAUCAGCAGACAACACAGAAAUCAAUGGGGAAAGGGGAUCACCCUGCCUCACUCCUCUUCUAUAGUAGAAUUUUAUUGGCAUGGAAUCCAUUCAACAUCACAGCAUAUGUGGCAGAUGUGAAAACUAAGUGCAUCCAGAAAAUCUACUUGUCUCCAAAUCCCUUUACUCUGAGUAUAUCAACAAUUUCCUGAUGUUCGAUAGUGUCGAAAGCUUUCUCAAAAUCCAUUUUAAUCACCAGCAUCACUUCUUUUGAUUUAUGACAUUGAUGGAUAUAUUCAUAUUGUUGGGGAACGUAGCAUGCAAUUUCAAAAAAAUCCUAUGCUCACGCAAGAUCUAUCUAGGAGAUGCAUAGCAACUAGAGUGGGAGAGUGUGUCCAUGUACCCUCAUAGGACGAAAGCAGAAGCGCUAGCUUAAUGCGGUUGAUAUAGUCGAAAAUCUUCUCGAUUCAACCGAUCAAGCACCGAACGUAUGGUACGUCCGUGUUCUGCACAUGUUCAGCUCGAUGACGUCCCUCGAACUCUUGAUCCAGCAAAGUGUCAAGGGAGAGUUUCGUCAGCAUGAUGGCAUGGUGACUGUGAUGGUGAAGUGAUCCGCGCAGGGCUUCGCGUAAGCACUACGACAAUAUAACCAAAGGAGUAAACGGUGGAAGGGGGCACCGCACACGGCUAAGAACAAUUGAUGUCCGUCGAGGUGCCUCCCCGAACCCAUAUAUAAAGGAGGGAGAGGGGAGGAGGCCGGCCUAGGGCGCGCCAAGUGGAGAGGAAUCCCACUUGGACUCGUAGUCCUGUUCGCCCCCACCCCUCUUUCCUUCUAUCAGAGGGGAAAAGAUGGAAGGAGAGGGAGUAGGAGAAGGAAAGGGCGUGACGCCCCCUUCCCUUGUCCAAUUCGGUCUCCUUUCUUGUGGGGGCACACCAGCCCCUUGUGGGCUGGUUAGCCUCCCUCCUACGGCCCAUAUGGCCCAUAUCUUCCACCGAGGGGUUCCAGUAACCCCUCCGGUACUCCAGUAUGUACCCGAUACACUCCGGAACCCUUUCGGUGUCUGAAUACUACCUUCCAAUAUAUCAAUAUUUAUCUCUCGACCAUUUAGAGACUCCUUGUCAUGUCCGUGAUCUGAUCCGGGACUCCGAACAACCUUCGGUCACCAAAACACAUAACUUAUAUAAUAUAUAUCGUCAUGUCAACAUACGUUAUUCCCUUUGUCAUCGAUAUGUUACUUGCCCGAGAUUCGAUCGUCGCUAUCUUCAUACCUAGUUCAAUCUCGUUACCGGCAAGUCUCUUUACUCGUUCCGUAAUGCAUCAUUACGCAACUAACUCAUUAGUCACAUUGCUUGCAAGGCUUCAUAUGAUGUGCAUUACCGAGGGGCCCUAGAGAUACCUCUCCGAUACUCGGAGUGACAAAUCCUAAUCUCGAUCUAUGCCAACCCAACAAACACCUUUGGAGGUACCUGUGGAGCAUAUUUAUAAUCACCCAGUUACGUUUUGACGUUCGAUAACACACAAGGCAUUCCUCCGGUGUCCGGGAGUUGCAUAAUCUCAUAGUCAGAGGAAUAUGUAUUUGACAUGAAGAAAGCAGUAGCAAUAGAACUGAACAAUCAUUAUGCUAUGAUAACGGAUGGGUCUUGUCCAUCACAUCAUUCUCCUAAUGAUGUGAUCUCGUUCGUCAAAUGAAAACACAUUUCCAUGGCUAGGAAACUUAACCAUCUUUGAUCAACGAGCUAUUCAAGUAGAGGCAGACUAGGGACACUAUGUUUUGUAUGUGUAUUCACACAUGUAUCAAGUUUCUGGUUAAUACAAUUCUAGCAUGAAAAAUAAACAUUUAUCAUGAAUAAGGAAAUAUAAAAUAACAACUUUAUUAUUGCCUCUAGGGCAUAUUUACUUCAGUCUCCCACUUGCACUAGAGUCAACAAUCUAGUUCACAUCGCCAUGUGAUUUAACUCCAAUAGUUCACAUCUUUAUGUGAUUAACACCCAUAGUUACAUCGCCAUGUGACCAACACCCAAAGGGUUUACUAGAGUUAAUAAUCUAGUGUCACACCCUGAUUUUCAUGGCACCACACUUAAGCUAAUAAAUCAUGAUAAAUUGUGGUUUGACUAAAAACUUUUGUGUGUUUUGGUCUUUGUUUGAUUUGAUUCUUUUCUGUUGUUUGCAAGUGCUCUAAAAAUCAAAUACAUCCUCCAACUCUUAUACUCCUUCUCCUUGAUCCAGAAACCUUGCCCAGUGAACAUGCCAUGUGUAUAGGACAUAAAAAUAAUUUCUUAUAAAAAUAAUUUGGCCAAAUAGUAUUUUCAAAAAUUAGUUUUCCAAAAACCCCUGAAUUGAGAUUUGCACUGCAAGUACUUAAUUAAGGGCAGUAAAAAUCUUUACAAAAAUAUAUUUGACUCCUAUGAGGUAUAGGACACCCAUAAACCCCAAAAAUAUAAUUUUAAAACUUAUUUUAUUAUUUUAUUUAAAGGAUUUUUCUUUAGGCCAGAAAUGAUCUUUAAUAGGUUAAAAUUGUUUUAAUGGUUUAAAAAUAUUUGUGAAAAUUUAGGGAAACGAAGUGGACAUAUAUUGUCCAGAUAUAAGAGUUUCAAUAUAGGGUCAUGUUCAAAAUAUUGGUCAAAUCUCUCAAAAACCCUUUCUGGAUAUUUCAAGCUUUUGAAAUAUUUACAAAGGAAAUAUUCUCCAAAAAUUCCAAGAAAAUUCUAUCAUGUCACAUAUGACACGUUGGAUGAUCUUGACAAGUCUCAUGUCAUGCAGAAUAGUAUAACCCCAUGAAACCCUCUCAAAACCAUUUCUGCCCUUUUUCAAGUUUGAACAACUUUGCAUUAGAAAACUUGUCCAAAUACUCUCAAGCUUGGUCCACAUGCUACAAUGGUCCAAUAAAUAAUCUAGACUAAGUAUAAAAAGUUGGAGAACAAGUUAACUUGCUCAAAGUGCCCUAAAACCCUUCCUAUCCAGAACCAAAUUUGAACAACUCAACAUUGGAAACUAUCUCUUUUUGAUCUCAACUUUUGUGGACAUGUUCAGAAUCUCAAAUGAUGACACUACACCAAGUAGUGCACCAAUGAGAAGAGUUUAGCUUAGCUAGAUCUAAGCAAGUCCAUUUUUGUUAAUUUCUAGAGUUUACAAAAGUUGCAUUGGCAACUUUGCCCAAAUGGACUCAACCUUGGUGGAACCUAUUAUUAUAUCAUGCCAUUUGACCCUGUCAAUCCUCAUGACAAGAGGAGUUCAUCUUAUUUCCCAAACCAGCAACAAACACCUUCUCCCAUUUUAUUAAAACCCCUGUUUUGACCAUUUCCACUCUUCUCCUUCCUCUCUCUUCAUCCACUGGCCACCCAAAGCAUCCAAGGAGAAGAUCCCUUCCUUAGCACCCCCAAAGACUACUGGACAUGCAAGGGCGCGCCCACAAGCAUAGAAAAUGGCCUGGACAGCCAUAUGGGCGCUCUGGAGCGCGCUACAGUGCGCCCUUGCACUGUAGCCGCUCUCUGCCCAAGCCACCCGACGACCUCGGGGGCCGGGAGCGUGUCCCUCGAGUCUGUCUCGGCGUGCGUGACACGCCUAGCUGUCGGGCCCGUCGCCCAUCGGCCUCCUUUGCCCCUGUCGAGCUCACCCGAAUGCCGCCCAAGCUCACCGGUCGUUGCACUCGUGCGGGACCUUCUCUGGCGUCGCCCCGCUCCCCCUCUCACCUUACUCGCUCCUGGAUGAACUCCACGAGUGCCACUGACCCAUCCAAGAACCCUCCCUCGACCACCACCAUGAUUUCCGCGAGCACCCGUGAGCUUGGCUCACGGUGCACCAUGGCCUCGCCUUAUAGGGCCUCCCCUGGUCUCUCCCUCGUCUCCAUUCACUCUCCCCCUCCCCUAGUCCUGCUGGACCAACCCUCUCUCUCUCCCGCGUCCCCUAUCCUCCCCCACAGCCAAAGAAUCGCCGCCGGCCGCCGCCAAAAUUCGUGGUAUCCCGAGCUCCUCCGCGGGUGUGAAGCACAUGGACGGGAUCGGCGCAUUGCGCUGAGUCCUCCGGUGUGCUGGGCACCGUCGCAGGUGACCGGAGCCGCUGCAACGGGCACCGGUGCCGCUCGGCCGCGCCUCCCCUGUCGCUCCUCUCCCUCAGGUGCAAGGUAGGGCACGACCACUCCGCCAGCUCGCAGGGGGCCCGCCCGUCAGCGGCAGAGGUGACCGAGCCGGCCCACCAGUCGGGUUAAGUUGAAACGGCUUCGGGCCGACCCGCUUGCCCCGCUGGGUGGCGCCCUCCUGCAGUGCGCCUUCGACGUCACCUCCUCCCUCGCGCAGCUGAGCCACUGGGCCGAGCCCAGUAGGCGCUGUUUAGCUGGGCUUCGCCCAUGCGCUUUAUAAGCUUGACAUCUUUUCUUCCUUUUUCUUUUUUUAAAUAUUGUAAAAUCUCUAGAGAAUUCAAAUGGACUCCAUAUUUGAUGAUUCAAAUUUCUGGUAGCUCAUAAAAUCAUGGUGUAUCUUAUGGUGCAACUUGCACAUUUUUCCAGAAACCUUUUUUUCACAAAUAUUUAUAAUAUCCUAUUUUUCCUAUUUUUGUGAUAAACUUUAGAAAAUCACAGAGAGCUCAAAAUUGAUUCAAAUGCCUUGAUUCGAAUUCCUAGAUGCUUCUAAGUUCAUAACUUAGUUUAUGAACAUUUUUAUUAAUAUUUUCUGUGCCCCACAAAAUAAUGAGCCAUUUCUUCAUAUUAGCCAACUUUGCCAAUUCCUAGGAAAAUCAUUUGAACUCCAAAUCCAGUAAAACCAACUCCGAGAGGCUUCUAAAAUCAUGCUUUGUUAAAUGGGUGCCUUUGCUCAUUUUUCAAUAUAAUGUUUCUAUGCACUUAUUGCAAAUGCAUAAACCCCUUGAUUCCAUCAUAUCGAAAUGUUUCGAAAUAUCCAUUGAUCCACUUCCAAUGAAACCACCUUGGUCAUUCCUCAUAUGACCAGAGGUAUCCUAGAAAAGUCCAACUCACAUUUUUUUAGAGCACUUUUAUUUUGCCUGGUCGUGUUGCUUAUUAUGGUUGUUUUCGGCGAUAUUUGACGAAGUAGAUGAAAUGCUCGGAGUUAGACCAGAGAUAUUUGAAGACCUCGAAGACUUUGUUAAAAUAGGAAAGCAGCCCUUUGACCAUGUCUAUGAUACCCUUUUUAUGCAUGUCAUAUAGCACUUUUAUUGCUUGCAUCAGAGACAUGAUACUGUGGUAACCACAUGGGGUGGUUUGCCACCGUUACUUCCUCGUUGAUACUUGCAUUGUGCAUGACCCUACCUUCUUAUGAGGGUUAUGCCGGUGGGAGUAGAUAGGAUGCUAAAGUAGAUGCUACGCAAAAAGGGACGGGUAUAUGCAUGGUGAAGGAGACAAAGUAUUUUCAAAAGACUUUUCGAAAACCCCGUCGGGUGCCACUUAUGCCCGAGGGAGAUGAUGAGAUGGGUAACCACUUGAUGACAAAGUGGUGUACCGAGGCAAGUGUGUUUUGUUUUCGAAAACGGAUUAGAUUUAAGAUUUGUCGACUGUCCCAACCUUACAUGCGCAACCACUCUACCCUUGUAUGGGAAAGGGCAUUAUUGAUUUCCUAGGCCGAUACUAGCUUGGAGCCCGCAUUACUAGUGACGGCGGAGAGUUGGUGCUCUCCCUCGGGACGGGGUCGUGCCAGGUAGGGCGGCCAUGACUGUUUUCAUAGGGCACCAGAUACACCGUUGUGUCCCCUCUCGGAUGUUACGAUCUCGAGUGACUCUCGUAUGAUGUACAUCGUGAGAAUACGGAACAACGAGUGGACUGCUUGUUAGUGUCGUCUAGGGAAAGAUAGUGAUCGGGUGCUUACUCCGGGUACUUGAGGUAUCGCGGGUCGUGGAUGACACGGAAGUUCCCCGGAUCUUGUGGGUAAAGUGUGCAACCUAAAACUAUUCGAAUAGCCGUGUCCACGGUCAAGGACAGUUGGGCGGUGCUGCUUAAACUACAUCCAGAGCUUCACAAACCAGUGUGUGUGUUCGGAUAAUUGGGGAAAACUACUUGGGUCAAGUCAAGGGACUUGACAUGAUUGAGUUGGGUUGAUGCCCACUCUAUUUAUGUUGAUAUCUGUAACCUGUCCUCAUGGUUACUUGAAUUCUCCUGAUGCAUGUCUUACAAGUUGUUGAACAUGUCAUUGCACUCAAAACUAGCUUUCUGCAAAAUUUACCUAUAUCAUGCAUUGUUACAUCUUGGACCAAAACAUGGGUUGCUUGCGAGUACAUUCAAAGUACUCAUUGGCCUGCCACUAGUUAUUUAAUUGGCCAGGCAUGGAAGAACCAGAGUUUGAAGAAGAGUUCUUUGGAGACGAACAUGCUUUAACUAGGAUGUUUCCCAGUCAGAAUACCUUUAGGGUUAAGGCAGAUGGCAUGGGUUCUACUUAUCGACAAAGAGUUCCGCUGCUUAUAUUUCAUUUGAUGCUCAACCCUUAAGGCUUUAUCAAUGUAAGACUUGACCAUAAUGGUCAUAAUUUGUGUAAGACGGUAUGAAUGGAUGUAAGACUCUUGUUAUUCAGCUUCUGUGUGUUCAGUGAGCAUUGAUCUCUGGGAUCACUGUACACUUGCAUUCGGUGAUCAUGACUUAUGAGUCGGGGUCCCCACUAGUUCACAUCGCUAUGUGAUUAACACCCAAACAGUACUAAGGUGUGAUCAUGUUUUACUUGUGAGAGCAGUUUAGUUAACGGGUCUGCUACAUUCAGAGCCGUAUGUAUUUUGCAAAUUUGAUACGUCUACAUUUCUCUACAUGGAUAUAGUCUAGCUAAUUGCUCCCACUUUCAAUAUGUAUCCAUAUUGAGACUUAGAGUCAUCCGGAUUGGUGUAAAAGCUUGCAUCAACGUAAGUCGUUACGACGACCUCUUUAUCACCUCCAUAACGGAGAAAUAUUUCCUUAGUCCUCUUAGGUAACUAAGGAUAACUUUGACCGCUAUCUAGUGAUCCACACCUGGAUCACUAUCGCACCCCCUUGCCAAACUCAUACCAAGACACACAACUGGUCUGGUACAUAGCUUGGCAUACUUUAUAGAACCUAUGACUGAGGCAUAGGGAAUGACUUUCAUUCUCUUUCUAUCUUCUACCAAGACACACAACUUUACACCUUGUAAUACAGGCAAGAACUCCUUCUUUGACUGGUCCAUUUUGAACUCUUUCAAAAUCUUGUCAAGGUAUGUACUCAUUGAAAGUAUUAUCAAACGUCUUGAUCUAUCUCUAUAUUUUCUUGAUGCCCAAUAUGUAAGCAGCUUUCACCGAGGUCUUUCAUUGAAAAACUUUUAUUCAAGUAUCCUUUUAUGCUAUCAACAAAUUCUACAUCAUUUCCAAUCAACAAUAUGUCAUCCACAUAUAAUAUUAGAAAUUCUAUAGAGCUCCCACUCACUUUCUUGUAAACACAAGCUUCUCCAAAAGUCUGUAUAAAACCAUAUGCUUUGAUCACCUCAUCAAAUCGUAUAUUCCAACUCUGAGAUGCUUGCACCAGUCCAUAGAUGGAUCGCUGGAGCUUGCACACUUUGUUAGCACCUUUAGGAUCGAGGAAACUUUCUGGUUGCAUCAUAUACAACUCUUCUCAGAGAUAUCCAUUCAAGGAUGUAGUUUUUGACAUCCAUUUGCUAGAUUUCAUAAAAUGUGGGAAUUGCUAACAUGAUUCAUGCAGACUUAAGCUUUGAGAUGGGUGAGAAAGUCUCAUCAUAGUCAACUCCUUGAACUUGUCGAAAACCUUUUGCAACAAGUUGAGCUGUGUAGACAGUAACACUAUCAUCAGCGUCAGUCUUCUUCUUGAAGAUCCAUUUAUCCUAUGUGGGUCGCCGAUCAUCGGGUAGAUCAACCAAAGUCCACACUUUGUUCUCAUACAUGGAUCCUAUCUCAGAUUUCAUGGCUCAAGCCAUUUAUCGGAAUUUGGGCUCAUCAUAGCUUCUUCAUAGUUCGUAGGUUCAUCAUGGUCAAGUAAGAUAACCUCCACAACAGGAUUACCAUACCAAUCUGGUGCGGAUCGUGCUCUGUUUGACCUACAAGUUUCUAUAGCAACUUGAUCUCAAGUUUCAGGAUCUGUAUCAUUAUUUUCCUCUGCAUUUGGUGUAGGCAUCACAAGAACUGAUACGUCUCCAACAUAUCUAUAAUUUUUUAUUGUUCCAUGCUAUUAUAUUACCCAUUUUGGAUGUUUAUGGGUUUUACUAUACACUUUUAUAUCUUUUUGGGACUAACCUACUAACCGGAGGCCCAGCCUGAAUUGUUGUUUUUUGCCUAUUUUAGUGUUUCGCGGAAAAGGAAUAUAAAACAUAGUAAAAAUGGAAUGAAACCUUCGGGAGCAAUCUUUUUGGAACAAACGCAAUCCAAGAGACUUGGGGUGGACGUCAAGAAGCAGUCAAGGCGGCCACGAGGGUGUAGGGCGCACACCUAGGGGUGGGAGCCCCCUGCCUCGUGGGCCUCCCGUGCCUCCCCUGACCGACCUCCUUCGCCUAUAUAUAUCUAUGUACCCCGAAAACAUCCAGGGGCACCACGAAAAACUAUUUCCACCGCCGCGACCUUCUAUACCCAUGAGAUCCCAUCUUGGAGCCUUUUCCGGCGCUCCGCCGGAGGGGGAAUCGAUCAUGGAGGGCCUCUACAUCAUCAGCAAGGCCUCUCCGAUGAGUUGUGAGUAGUUUACCACAGACCUUCGGGUCCAUGGUUAUUAGCUAGAUGGCUUAUUCUCUCUCUUUGAAUCUCAAUACAAAGUUCUGCUUGAUCUUCUUGGAGAUCUAUUCGAUGUAACUCUUUUUGCGUUGUGUUUGUCAAGAUCCGAUGAAUUGUGGGUUUAUGAUCGAGUUUAUCUAUGAGAAAUAUUUGAAUCUCCUCUGAAUUCUUUUAUGUAUGUUUGGUUAUCUUUGCAAGUCUCUUCAAAUUAUCAGUUUGGUUUGCCCUACUAGAUUGAUCUUUCUUGCAAUGGGAGAAGUGCUUAGCUUUGGGUUCAAUCUUGUGGUGUCCUUUCCCAGUGACAGUAGGGGAAGCAAGGCAUGUAUUGCAUUGUUGCCAUCGAGGAUAAAAAUAUGGGGUUUACAUAAAAUUGCUUGAGUUUAUUCCUCUACACCAUGUCAUCUUACUUAAUGCGUUACUCUGUUCUUUAUGAACUUAAUACUCUAGAUGUAGGCAGGUGUCGGUGUCAAAACCGGCGGAUCUCGGGUAGGGGGUCCCGAACUGUGCGUCUAGGCGGAUUGUAACAGGAGACAAGGGACACGAUGUUUUUACCCAGGUUCGGGCCCUCUCGAUGGAGGCAAAACCCUACUCCUGCUUCAUUAAUAUUGAUGAUAUGGGUAGUACAAGAGUUGAUCUACCACGAGAUCAGAGAGGCUAAACCCUAGAAGCUAACCUAUGGUAUGAUUGUUGUUCGUCCUACGGACUAAAACUCUCCGGUUUAUAUAGACACCGGAGAGGGCUAGGGUUACAUAGAGUCGGUUACAAUGGGAGGAGAUCUUCAUAUCAUAUCACCAAGCUUGCCUUCCACGCCAAGGAAAGUCCUAUCCGGACACGGGACGAAGUCUUCAAUCUUAUAUCUUCAUAGUCCGAGAGUCCGGCCAAAGGUCAUAGUUGGCCAUCCGGACACCCCCUAAUCCAGGACUCACUCAGUAGCCCCUUAACCUGGCUUCAAUGACGACGAGUCCAACGCGCAAAUUGUCUUCGGCAUUGCAAGGUGGGUUCCUCCUCCGAAUACGUCAUAGAAGAUGUUGAACACAAGGAUAGUGUCCGGCUCUGCAAAAUAAGGUCCACAUACCACCGUAGACAGAAUAAUAUCUGCACAAAUCUAAUCUGUUGACGUAUUCUGCAGCGUGACAUCACGCCACGGCCAGGCCUUUAUUUGAAUCAUUUUACUGUUCCACCUCAGCGCGUUUAGCGAGGCGGUUUCCUAGGCACGUCUUGUCAAAGCAGAGAUCGUGUCCCCUUAUUCCGGGAUUCUCAUCAAUACGAGCGUGGGUAACCCAACCGUGCCUUUGGUAUGACUCCCUAAUUGAAAGUGCGUCCCAAACGGUUACGGGGAGGGCUCUUGGUAUUCAACCCCUAUAUAAAGAGACCAAGGCUCGACUCCUUUCUUUUCAAUUCAAUCGAAUCCGCCCCUCGCCUCGAGUUCCAACACUCAAAGCUCCAGUUUUAGGCGCUUCGGACCUUCGAAGAUGUCCGGCUCCGACCUUCAAGGCCGGUGGAUGCCUUCCUCCGUUACGAAAGAAGACGUGCGAAAGCUGAGAGAUCCCAGGUAUCUAACCGGCGAAAUCUCGCAUAGGCUGCCUGCUCAAGGGCAGGCCAUUCCCACUCCCCAGCCCGGUGAGAGCGUGGUGUUCACAUCUCACUUCCUUCGGGGGCUAGGCUUCCCGAUUGAUUCCUUUGUGAGGGGGCUUAUGUUUUAUUACGGGCUGGAAUUUCACGACUUAGCUCCGGAGUCCAUCCUCCAAAUCUCAUCGUUCAUUGUCGUGUGUGAGGACUUUCUCCAUAUUACUCCUCACUUCGGAUUGUGGCUUAGAACCUUCAAGGUGGAACCGAAGAUGAUCGAGGGGCAGCACGCUGAGUGCGGAGGAGCUAUCAUAAGCAAGAUGGCCGACGCUCCAUGGCCCGAGGGCUCUUUCCAAGAGAGUUCGGCUUAUGGCAACGGGACUAGUUUUACAUCACAGCCCCCAGGGGCACCACAUGGGUGGCGCCACCUGCUUUUCGGUCGGGUCCCCCACCACGGCUAGCGUCAUGGGUCAAUGAAGGGCUUAUCUGGGGGACGUCCCAAGACGUGCCCUUGCUGCAGGACCGCAUUCGAGAUCUCCUAGAAAGAGAUAUCAACUUGACCGUAGUGGCGCAAGUUAUGCUGAUUCACCGCAUGCUUCCCUACAAACGUCGCCCUCUCCGCCUGUGGGAAUUUAAUCCGGAGGGACCGCGAGUCCUUCAACACUUUAUGGGCACGACGCCCAUGGAGAUGUACAAAUUGUUCUUCGGAACAGAAGCAAGGUGUCCGGACUUGUCCGAGGACGCAGGUCUGAGCUGCAAUCGCCCGGAUGCUCAAGUAAGUCGCCCCGUAUUUGGACACGCCAUCCGUAUUUUCAUCAUAGAAUUGCCCUUAACAGAGCUAUCCUUUGAACAGGAGUGGAUAGCGAAGGCAAAGCUUAUCAGGUGUCCAGCCCCCCUGCCUGAGACCGUGCCGGAUCCCGUGUUAACCAGGAUGCUGGAGAUUGUGCUUUCGGCAAAAGGAGAAGAGGGGAACCAAGGAGCUACCGCCUCCAUGAAGGAGGCUGUCAGGAAGGGAGGAAUCGAGAAUUCCCCCAACCCGGGAAAGAAAAGGACUGCCUCUGAAGACCCGGAGGGGAUGGCCUCAAAACGGGGGAAGAAAUCUUUGCCAGAGGAUCCGACGCCGGAGAAUGCCCCGGCUGCAUUGCGCCCUCAAGGGGAUCAGCUCUCCUUCGAGACGUUAGUAAAGAGAGGGGUUCCAAAAUGAGUGGCAUCCCUGUUUUAUUUCUGAGGAAGAUAACUGAAAUAUUACCUUGCAGUUCGGAUCUCAACCCUUCUCAACAGAGGUCAUCUUCAGGGGAUCUUCGUCCAGAGAUGAUGGAGAGCGAAACGUCUCCCCUAGCUGCACCAUCUUACGAGGCAGGCGACCCUGAGGUGUCGUCCCGGGGGGGUUUUCCAAGUCCGGACCCUAAAAAAGGUCGUCAGGCUAGUCCGGCACCCUCUGGUGCGCGGUCGGAGGGGCUGAAGGGUAUGCUCGGGCGAGCGUACAUCUCAGAAGAACACCGUAUGUUGAUGAACAUGGUGAUAGGAAGGAUUUCAUCCGCGGAAAGCGGAUUGUACGAGGCCGCCAGGAGUUUACUGACAGGCUUUGAGGUACGUGGAAAGGUGUACCUUUUGGUGGAGCCGCAUAUAUAAAAUGCGCCCUGUAUAAAUAGUAGCCCCUGAGACUCUGUGUGUCGUCAAAAGUGACGGCGCACAGAGGAUCAUAACCCCAGGUAUAAUAUGUCACCUUUUUAUGAAAGUGGCGAGGCGUUCGGUGGCUAGCCGGACUGAUGAAUCUGUCGAGCUAAAGCGGCAACUUAAUGUGGCAGAUGCCGACAUCGCGCUUGUAAAUAAGUGGCUAGACGAGGCACAAGGUAUGUUCCAAAUACAUCUGAUAAGAGGAGUUCGAUUCUCGUGCCUUAUAGGAUAUGUGCUUAAUGUAGAUGGUGCUGCUGCCGUGGAGAACCUUUGGGCCGAACUUGCCCGAGCCAAGGAGCAAGCCAGGAAAAGUGAUGCGGCUGCCAUUAAGGCGGCUGAAGAGCUAAAAGCCGAACAGGCUGCUCACUGCCAGAGCAAGAAAGUAAUAGCCGAGAUGGCUAUAAAAUUGAAGGAUGCUGCCGAUCGCUGUAAAUUUCUUGAACAAGAAGAUAGGGCGGCUCAGAAGGACCUUGAAAAGAUCACUGCCGAGGCCAAGGAUACUCGGUCUGCAAUAAGAGUUAUGAAGGAGGAGCUACGUCAGGCCGGAGAUAUCAUGGUUGGAAAGCCCUAUAUGCUGCGGAUGAAGUUCGGGGAUCCUAAGUAUGUCCGUUAGACCGGCAGUGGAGUGCGGAAAACACUUAUCUGGAUUUGGCAGCGAGUGCGGCAGACGCAACCGAACACUUCCGAGGUCGAGGUGACCAUGAAUUGGUAGAACUUUUUUGGUCGUAGUUCCACAAUCCAGAACACCCACUUUCGGUAUCCGACCGUUUGGCCGCCUGGGCGGAGCUAAACAGGUUAUCCGGACUCGCCACGAGGUAUGUUGCGAGUCGUUUGUGGCCGGAAGAGCCAGAGCCGAAGAGUUAGUUUAGCUUGGUGCAGCAGUUCCUUGGUUCGGUGCCGCAUGUUGAUGCAAUGAAGAGGUCGGCGUGCAUAGAGGGUGCAUAAAUGGCUCUUGCCCGUGUCAAAACAUACUGGGCGGAUAUGAAGGCCAGUGUUGUUGCAUCCCGGGAUUCGGACGAAAGCCGAGUACCUUCCAAGCACUACUUUGAGGAAGUUCUUCCUGGCGCUCGUUUAAUAGAGGCGCAGUGCUCGAAGGAUGUUGUGUUCGAAUAGCAUGUGCUAUUGUAAAAUGAAUAUUUUGAUAGAAUAUAAAAGCUUUUUAUACUUGUGCUUGCAAGAAUUAUAAUACCUCCUGCGCGGCCGUUAAUGUAUAUGUGUAUAUAACCUGAAAGAUGGCAGUCGUUGGCUUCAGCCCCCACGCAUAUAAUGCAGGGGUGUUUGCAAAAAGGCGUCUUUUCACACAUAAUAGAACGUCUUGGUCCUACAAAGGAGGUGAUAGCGCAGCGAACUAGGCAACCGGACUAUAAUGCUUUAUCACUUUCACUUAGCCAUAGGAGUUGGACAGUGGGGCUACUUAAUAGCCCCUAGGGGCACCGCGCUCGCCCGAAUUCAGGGCGCGUGUGUGCCUGACCGGAAAGCGGCCCUUCGUUAAUGCGGAGGAAUCCUAAAUAUUCCGAGAGUCAUCGAGUGGUUGACCAGUCUCUCGCUAUAUCAUGACAGUCAGUUUUCGGCUUUUCUCUACUGAGGUGCUCGCCUGGCUGAACCGGGGCACAAUCGCAGUAGUUCUCCUGGUGCCGCCUUAGCCAAUAGAGCGCAACGUAAGGUAGCAAAACACAGGAGCCGGGCAAACCCAACAUUUGACCAAAGACAUGUUUCGGAGCUGAUGCAUAUAAGGCCAAACUCGCGACGCCGAACACUCCCUAAGGUAUUCGGUCUUUAUGAAGACGGGCCGAACCAAAGCCCUUGGUAAAAAAGCCCCUGGUGUCCAGGUACGCGCAAAAUUCUGGCAUGGCCACAUGCCAAGACGCCAGCCUCCUCCUCGGUUAUAGUGAAAACCAGGGGAUUUCAUCAACAAGAGAUAGUAAAAAAGGUUUACACAGGAUCUUAAUCUGAAAAGAAUCCUUAAAACGGGUCCCUACUGCACGUCUGUGCCUGUGUCUCCGUUGUGCCGUAUCCUGGACGGGCGUAGCACGGUGUUCAUCUGCGAAAGAGAGGAACUUAGUAAAAAGUAAUCAUGCGAGAAAUCUGUAUUAAAAUAAACAAAAUAUAAUCCAGAGACAUGAGCAAAAUUGAGCUGUGUUGUCUCCUGGUGUAAACACGCGGAGCCCCUUGUACAGGGUUAUGCGGCUAUUAAGCCUUUGUAUGUUUACGCCGGACUCGUCGAGCCGUGUCCGGGGUAGUAGGGCUGGAUUAGUGUGCGGGUGUUCAGGCGGCCGCACCAUUACCCGUACUUUGGGGAUCAAUUGAUAUUUCCCUUUAAAGAGAUGAUGCCUCGUGGACCGGGCAUUUUGAGUGUAAGGGAUGCAUAAUGCAGUAUUGCGUUAAAGCGGGCGAAAGCUUCACGUCCCAGUAGUGCUUGAUAGCGACUUAUGAAUGGGGCGAUAUGGAAGGUUAGCUUUUCGCUUCGGAAGUUGUUGGGUGAGCCGAACAUGACUUCUAACGAAAGGGAACCCAUAAUCUGGAUAUCUCGGCCCGGCGUGACUCCUUGAAAGGAUGUGUUGCCAUGGCGAAUUAUUGCUGGGUUUUGUCGCAUCCCUAGUUCUGGUAUGACCUAGACUAGCUAGCCAGUUGUGCAUCAUUUUUAAAUUCCUUUUAAUUUUGAAAUGAGGACUUGUGAAACCCUCAGAAUCAUCUCUGAAAAUGACCCAAAUAAAAAAUUGUUCCAAAAAGGUCCAAGAAAAUGUUCAUGUUGCUCUCUGAAAAUAUUGGUCAGAGGUAAAAUUCAAACAAAUAUUUUAGGAGCUCAUGGAUAUUUAUUUUGGCCAUUUGGAUUAAUCCGAUAAUUAUUUGCAUUGGAUAUAUAUAUGUCAUAUAUAUAAUAUAUGUCCAAAAAUUAUGCCAUUUGCUGAGGAGCUCUGGAAUAAUAUAGUUAGCUCCUGCAAAAAUUGGCAUAAGGUAAUAAAAUGAUUUUGUAUUUUAAUUAAAGCAAAACAAAUGUCAGAAAAAUAGAAAAAGAAAUAAAAGAGGAAAACCCUACCUGGACUUACCCGCGGCCUGGCACUGUGUGGCCUGGCCUAGCGGGCCAGCAGGCCGGCCCAGCCAGCUGGCCGACGCCAGUCGCCCCCUUCCUCGCGCCAGUCGUCCCCUUCCAACGGCUGGGGCCACGUCUCCCCGCCACCUCCUGCUUCUCCCCCUCGUCGUCUGGAUGCCCUGGGCGACGCCACGUGCCCUCCCGACCGCUCUCACUCUCCCCCUGUUCACUCCCUCGCCGUUUCCCACCGUGCCCGAACGCUGCCGUCGCCGCCGCACGCCGUUGCCGUAGCCACCGCCUCCCCCUCGCCUCUCCGACACGCGCAGGAGCUCCGCCUCCUCGCUCUGAAGCUCUCCGCCGAGCCACACAAGCCGGAGCGCCUGUGGAGCCGUCGUCGUCGCCUUCAUCACCUCCGGCCGCCGCAGAUCGCCAUCGCCGCUUUGUCGCCUCCCGCGCGUCCCUGGCCACAACGAGCAGCCCUGCAAGUCCACCGUGAGCCCUGCUUCUUCUCCCCUCUCUCCCCUGGUCGCGCUCUCCCUCUAGCUAUCGUCUCCACCGUGGCUGAACCUUCGCCGCCACUGAGCUCGCCGUCGACGCAGCUCCGGUGACCAUUUGGUCACCCCGGCGAGUCCAACAAGCUCGUAAGGCCCCGUAGAGCAUCCCUAGCGCUUUGCUUCUCUCGUCUUCGAGCUCCAAACGCGCUCUCGUGCACGACCAAACUCCGGCGCCCGCAACCGAGAUCGCCGCCGCCGACUCCGGCCAUCCCAGGCCCAGCCACGGCCACCGGCCGACACGCCAUCGAGCUGGCUCACCAACGCGCCUAGCCGCGCGUCAUUUGGAGCACCACAGAGGAAACCCGGGGCCCAAGUACGCCGCGGAUCUCGCCGGCGACUAACCGCCAGCGGGUUUGACUUGUUUGACCUGGGGUUUGACCCGCCCAGGGUCACUGACACGUGGGCCAUGCCCCUGUUUAGUUUAGGUGUUAGUUUAGUUAGCGCUAAUUAACUUAGUUAAUUAGUUGUCUCUCUGACAGGUGGGCCCAGGCCCUAAUUAACCUAGGUUAGUGCUAACCUAACACAAACUAACUCUGUUAGUUAGAUGUUCCACUGACAUGUGGGUCCCAGCCAUCAGGUUUGACCUGGUCAGCACCGUUGACCUGCUGACGCAGGCAUGACGUCAUGCUGGCGCAAUAAUAUAUUUUCUGGAAUUAAAAUAAAUCAGGAAAUUCCAGAAAAUGUUCAAAACUUCAAAAAUUCAUAUCAAUUCCACUGUAGCUCAGAUUGAAAUAAAUUAUAUAUGAAAAAUUAUCAGAAAAAUGCAACUUAUCCAUCUGUACCAGUUUCAUGCAUGAAAAACCAAGUUAUACCUGCUGGAUAAGUGAAACACUAAAAUGGCUUAUAUGAAGAGCUUAUUUGGAGAUGCAUUUGAACCUUUGGUUCAAAUGGACUUCAAACCAAAUGAAUACUAGUUGCAUUAGCUCAAACAGCAUCACAUCUUCAUGCCAUGUUCAUGCAUCAUAUUGUUGCAUAUGCUUGUGUAUUGAUUGUUGGCACCGUUCCUUCUCGAUAGGUCCUGCUCCGGAGACCGUUCCAGAGUACCUGUCUGAGGAGCAGUGCCCCCUUGUUGAUCUACCAGGCAAGCAAAGCCCCUUGUUCAUUCCGAUACAAUCCUACUCUCUCGCUCCUGCUCUUAGUUAUUGCAUUAGGACAACAACGAUUCAUCUGCUACUUUGUGCUGCGGUAGUUGAACCCAUUCCUCUGCAUGACCCGUCAUUGCCAGAGUAAAUAGUUGAAACCCACUAGCAUGUGUAGGAGUUGAUUGAGCCAUGUUGUGUUCCUACCAUGCUAUGCCUGCUAUUGCUUAGAGUUGUGUCAGGUCUGGUUCAUUGGGAAUGAAUUGGAGUGUUACGAUAUGUUCUGAUGCUGAGAGUUAAGUGUGUGAACACGAUUUGGUAAAGGUAGCGGUGAGAGGCCAUGUAGGAGUACAUGGUGGGUUGUCUCACUGGAACCGUCCUUAAGCACUUAGUUCUGUGUAUGUUGUCCAAUGACCAGCUACUACCACACAUUGGAAUGCUUAAGUGCCCCUCUCGACUUGUUAACCAACUUGGUCUCUGUCCAGGAGUCGCAACUAGUUUCUGGUGUUUGUAGGUAGUGUUAGUAGUCUACCAAGUGGCACACGGCCAGGUGGGCUUGGGACAAACUAGGCACAGUGGCAUGGUGUACCAAGUGGCACCCGGAUGGUGGGCUUGGGAACCCUGCACACAUCGUUUGGGGCCAUGAGCGACACCCCGGCCGGAUCUCCUUGCGGAUAGAACCCGAAUAGGCGAUAAACCUGGACUAGAGUCUUGUGUGGUUAGUCAGGUCAUGGCCGACACCCUCGCCAGGCUUCCGCUUGAAGGUUGCCGAGAUACAUGACGUGUACAUGGUGGUAAGUGGCGAGAGCGUGUGUGAAGAAGUACACCCCUGCAGGGUUAACAUGAUCUAUUCGAAUAGCCGGGUCCGCGGUUAUGGACUUCUUGGAUGCUUACAUGGUACAUAGACAACUUGUAGUGGAUACUCUAAAAUGCUCAAGACAAGUGUGUGUACUAUGGAUGGCCUUCUCGUAGGGAGACGGGGAUGAAUCCAUAGUAGUGUAUUGCAUGGUGAUUAGUGGACUCGUGUGUGCCAUAUCACCUCAAAGAAGUUCUGGUAGUCGUAGAACAGGAUAGCCACAGAGUCAAAGCUGGCUUGCUGCAACUAAACCCCACAUUACCCUCUUGAUACAAAUGCAUGUAUGAUAGGAUCUGAUGUAAGUCUUGCUGAGUACCUUUGUACUCAUGUUGCUUUAUUUAUGCUUUUGCAACGGAGACUUCGGUCUUACUAGUGUUCUCGUGGACUUCAACGAGUAGCUUGUACCUCAGCUACGAUCUUGAUCGGAUGUUGUAGAUAGCCAGACUCUUCAGCCUUUUUCAUUUGUAGAUGUAUGUACUCAGACAUGUAAUGCUUCCGCUUGUUGCUUGAUUGCUCUGAAUGUUGGGUCAUGUGACCCCUGUUUGUAAUAAAUGCUAUGAUGGUUCUUUGAGCCUUAUCUAUAUGAGUUGUUGAGUUAUGUGGUGAUGCCAUGUUGUACAGCACAUACUUGCAUGUUAUGCGUACGUGUAAUGUGUAUUGCUAUGUGUGGGAUCUAACUAUCUAGUUGUUUAUCCUUAGUAGCCUCUCUUAUCGGGAAAUGUCUCCUAGUGCUUCCACCGAGCCCUGGUAGCUUGCUACUGCUCCGGAACACUUAGGUUGGCCGGCAUGUGUCCUUCUUCGUUCCUGUGUCUGUCCCUUCGGGGAAAUGUCACGCGGUGUCUACUGGAGUCCUGUUAGCCUGCUACAGCCCGGUUUACCGGAGUCCUGCUAGCCCAGUUGCUACAGCCCGGAUUCACUUGCUGAUGACCGACACGUUCGAUGUUGGGUCAUGUAUGCCUGUCCCUGUAAGUUAGUGCCACUUUGGGUUCACGACUAGUCAUGUCAGCCCGGGUUCUUUAUCAUAUGGAUGCUAGCGACAUUAUCAUAUACGUGUGCCAAAAGGCGCAAACGGUCCCGGGCAUGGUAAGGCGACACCCGUGGGAAUACCGUGCGUGAGGCCGCAAAGUGAUAUGAAGUGUUACAUGCUAGAUCGGUGUGGCAUAGAAUCGGGGUCCUGACAGCUUUGGUAUCAGAGCCUGACUACCUGUAGGAUUACCAAGCCAAACUGGUCGAAGUUGAGUCUAGAAAUUCUUUAGAUAUGUAAGGGAAUUGAUUGUGGGAAGGAACGUAAGGCUCUUUUUACUCCUUAUACCUCAUGGCCUUCUGAUCUGAGUCAUCCUAUCUUUCCUACGGGGUUAAGGAAUUAGGCAUUCUCUUCCGUCUAUCAGGAUCACGUGUUACUACUCCAUAGUCCCAUAGGAUUGGUUGAUCAGAGUCUUACCCCAGUUUCGAGUACUUCCGGUGUAGCCUGUUUAGUAGGAUCUUAGAACCUUGAGUGAUGAUGUUGAGUAUGUUACUACCCCAUCUUAGCAGGAUGUCUCAUUCUGAGCAUUUUACUGCCGUUAUGCCGCCGGAAUUGCCCUAGGAGUUCGAGAGAUACUAAUUUCCUUGUCCUACAUUCUGUAGCCUAUAGUUGAUGCUGAUUCCGUCCUUGGUUUCGUUUCUCAGGAUGUCAUCAGCUAAGAGAAGUUCCAUUGCUCGUAAACAGAACCGCGGAGAUGGUAGGGAUGAGGAUCCUCCCGACCAGCCUUCGUUGGCAGAAUUCAUGUUAGAAAUGGAGAGGAACAAGCGUGAGUCUAACCGCUUGUUGGCACGUAUCGAGGAGAACACCGCACAUCAGUUCAAAGGGCCUGCUAUCAUUCAUGACUUCAUUCGCUUGCACCCACCCACCUUUCAUCAUUCUAUUGAGCCACUCGAUUUAGAUGACUGGCUCCGUAGCAUCACUCAUAAGUUGCGUUCCGCAAACGUAUCUGAAGAUGACAAGGUCACCUAUGCCACGUUCCACCUGGAAGGUCCUGCUAGUCUUUGGUGGCAGAACUAUGAGGCUAUGCUUCCUGCUGGUCAGAUUCCUACCUGGAGAGAUUUCACUGAGGCUUUUCGCGAGCAUCACAUUCCUGAAGCCCUCAUCGAUCGCAAGAGAGAAGAGUUCUGUAGUUUCACCCAGAGUAAGAUGGCUGUUGAUGCUUAUAGUAGAGAGUUUGAGAACCUCGCCCGCUAUGCCACAGAAGAGGUGUCCACGGACGCCAAGAAGCAAGCUAGGUUCCGGAAGGGUCUCAACCCCAAGUUGCGUCGUGAUCUCCACCUGCAUCAUUGUGAUACAUUCCAAGCCCUUGUGAACAAGUCCAUUAAUGCAGAGACAACUCAGCUCACUUACGAGGAGUCUCAUAAGCACACCCGUGAUCUGGGAUCUUCCUCCGGUUCUAGUUCUUAGAAGCGCCGGAUUUGGGUUCGAAACUCCGCUCUUCCUUCCAGAUAUGCACCGAGACCAUCUUAUGUGGUGCCAUCCCCAGCUCAGUCAUAUGUUCCACCCAGGCCUAUUGGUAGACCGCUUGUCAGUGCGGGUCAACGUCCAACUUCAGGGACUUGCUUCACAUGCGGGAAGCCAGGACACUAUGCACGUGACUGCUCUCAGACUAGUUAUUCUCCACCCCAGCCCGAGAAGUCUGUUGACUAUGUUAAGCCAUCACGCAAGAUGAUCAAUGUUAAGUCAGCUCCCACUGAACGUGGGCGUGUGCAUCACGUCUCAGCUAAAGACGCUCAUGAUGAUCCGGAUGUCGUUCUUGGUACACUCCUUGUCAACUGUCAUCCAGCAUCAGUUUUGUUCGAUACUGGAGCGUCUCACUCCUUCAUUUCUGAAAGCUAUGCUAACUUGCACAACAUGUCUUUUUGUGUUAUGCCCUCCCCACUAGUCAUUCAAACUCCUGGAUCCAAAUGGCAAACUUCUAGUGUAAGCCAUGGUAACGGAAUCCUUGUAGACAGACUUGUAUUCCUUGCAUCUCUUAUAGCCCUCAAGUCUACAAAUAUUAACAUCAUCUUGGGUAUGGACUGGAUGACAGCUCAUUAUGCCAAGAUUGAUUGUUACGCCAGGUCCGUUCAGCUUACACACCCAUCUGGCCAGAUAGUCACUGUCUCCACUAGAGUUGCAAGGCGUCAACUCUAUUCUGUUAAUGCCAGCCCUCUUCCAGACCUUGAAGAUAUCCCGGUUGUCCAUGACUUUCCGGAUGUCUUUCCAGAAGAACUGCCAGGUGUUCCACCUGACAGAGAUGUAGAGUUCAUCAUAGAUCUUAUCCCAGGAACUGCUCCAAUCUCUAGGAGACCUUACAAGAUGGCACCCUUAGAACUAGCCGAGCUUAAGAAACAACUUGAUGAGUCCUUGCAAAAGGGUUUCAUCCGCCCUAGUUCUUCCCCUUGGGCUUGCCCCAUCCGCUUUGUCAAAAAGAAGGAUGGUACGGACCGGAUGGUUGUAGAUUAUCGUCCCGUUAAUUUGGUCACGAUAAAGAACAAGUAUCCGCUCCCCAGGAUCAACGACCUGUAUGAUCAGCUCGCUGGAUCCUCAGUCUUCUCCAAGAUGGAUUUGAGGUUAGGCUACCACCAAAUCAAGAUCAGAAAUGGGGACAUCCCCAAGACGGCCUUUGUCACUCGUUAUGGCCAGUACGAGUACACCGUCAUGUCCUUUGGUCUAACCAACGCUCCAGCUACUUUCUCCCGCUUGAUGAACUCGAUCUUCAUGGAGUACCUAGAUAAAUUUGUCGUGGUUUACCUCGAUGAUAUUCUUAUUUACUCGAAGAAUGAGGAAGAGCAUGUGGAACAUCUUAGACUUGUGUUAGAAAAACUCAGAGAGCACCGUCUUUAUGGCAAGUUCUCCAAGUGCGAAUUUUGGUUGCCAGAAGUGACCUACCUAGGCCACGUAAUCUCUGGUAAGGGCAUUGCUGUCAAUCCCGAGAGAGUUAAGGCCGUUCUCAAUUGGACUCCACCUGAAACAGUCAAACAAGUUAGGAGUUUCCUUGGUCUAGCCAGUUAUUGUCGCCGCUUUGUUGAAAACUUCUCUAAAGUGGCCAAACCUCUCACGGAACUUCUCAAGAAAGAUAAAAAGUUUGAGUGGUCCCCACAGUGUGAGUACAGUUUUCAGGAACUGAAAAGACGCCUGACUUCUGCUCCCAUACUUGUGCCACCGGAUUUCACUAAAGACUUUGUUAUCUAUUGUGACGCCUCACGACAGGGACUAGGUUACAUUCUUAUGUAGGAUCGUCAUGUGAUUGCCUAUGCAUAUCGGCAGUUGCAUCCACAUGAGGAGAAUUAUCCUUCACAUGAUCUAGAGCUUGCAGCCGUAGUCUAUGCACUAAAGACUGGCCUGGCGACAUUACCUCCUUGGUAAACGUUGCGAGAUCUACACUGAUCACCAGAGUCUCAAGUAUAUCUUCACCCAACCAGAUUUGAGCCUUAGGCAAAGACGUUGGUUGGAAGUGAUCUCAGAUUAUGAUCUAGGGAUUACUUACACUCCAGGCAAAGCUAAUGUCAUGGCUGAUGCGCUAAGUCAUAAAUCCUAUUGCAACAAUCUCAUGUUGCAGCAGGGCCAACCACUUCUGCAUGAGGAAUUCUGUAAGCUUAACCUUCACAUUGCUCCUCACGGAUUCCUUUCUACCUUGGUGGCGAAACCUACCCUCAAGGAUCAGAUCAUUACUGACCAGAAGUUUGAUAGGGGUGUUAUCCGCAUCAAGAGAAACAUUAAGAAGGGAGUUGGUGGAUGUUUUUCUAUGGAUGAUCGAGGUGUUGUUUUCUUUGGGAAUCCCUUGGUGGUUCCCAAAAAUCAACAUCUGCGACAAUUGAUUCUUAAGGAGGCGCAUGAAUCCCCUCUCACGAUUCAUCCCGGUAGUACGAAGAUGUAUGAAGACCUACGCCAAAGGUUCUGGUGGACUAGGAUGAAGAGAGAAAUCGCUGAGUUCAUUGCUAAAUGUGAUGUCUGUCGUCGCGUUAAGAUAGAGCAUCAAAGACCUACUGGCACUCUUCAGCCUCUAGCCGUUCCUGAGUGGAAAUGUGAUAAAGUUGGUAUGGACUUCAUCACCGGCUUUCCCAGGACCAAAAAAGGGAAUAAUGCUAUCUUCGUAGUCAUUGAUCGUCUCUCCAAAGUGGCUCACUUCCUUCCUGUUUGAGAGAGUAUCACUGCUAGUCAGCUCGGUGACUUAUAUAUUUCUCGAAUAGUGUCACUUCAUGGUGUUCCAUUAGAGAUCAAUUCAGACCGUGGCAGUCUUUUCACUUCUCAUUUCUGGGAGAGUUUCCAAACUGCCAUGGGAACCCAUCUUUCCUUCAGUACCGCUUUCCACCCUCAGUCGAGUGGUCAGGUGGAAAGGGUCAAUCAAAUCCUGGAAGACAUGCUUAGAGCUUGCGUUAUCUCAUUCGGUAUGGAUUGGGAGAAAUGUCUUCCUUUCGCCGAGUUUGCUUAUAACAAUAGCUAUCAAUCCAGUCUCAAGAAAGCUCCUUUUGAGGUUCUCUAUGGACGAAGAUGUCGAACACCUUUGAACUGGUCAGAAACCGGUGAAAGACAAUUCUUUGGACCGGACAUGAUCCAGGAGGCAGAAGAGCAAGUUCGCAUCAUUCGUGAGAAUUUGAAAACAGCCCAGUCUCGUCAAAAGAGCCAGUAUGAUCGUCAUCAUAAGGAUAUGACUUAUGAAGUUGGCGACAAAGCUUACCUUCGGGUUACUCCUUUGAAGGGUACCCAUCGUUUCGGUAUCAAGGGCAAGUUGGCUCCUCGUUACAUUGGUCCUUUUCGUAUUCUCGCUAAACGAGGAGAGGUUGCCUACCAGUUGGAACUACCCACACAUCUUUCUCGAGUUCAUGAUGUCUUCCACGUCUCUCAACUCAGGCGUUGCUUCUCGGAUCCUAUCCGCGGAGUGGACCACGAAACGCUUGAUCUCCAAGAUAACCUCACAUACCGAGAGUACCCGGUUCGCAUUCUUGAUCAAGCAAAGCGUGUUACCCGACGUCAGAAAAUCAAGUUUCUCAAGGUUCAGUGGUCUCAUCAUUCCGAGAGAGAAGCUACUUGGGAGCGAGAAGAUCGUCUUCGAUUGGAGUACCCCACCUUCUUUCCGUCGACCCCUGAAUCUCGGGACGAGAUUCUUUCAAGUGGGGGCGAGUUGUCACAUCCCUAGUUCUGGUAUGACCUAGACUAGCUAGCCAGUUGUGCAUCAUUUUUAAAUUCCUUUUAAUUUUGAAAUGAGGACUUGUGAAACCCUCAGAAUCAUCUCUGAAAAUGACCUGAAUAAACAAUUGUUCCAAAAAGGUCCAAGAAAAUGUUCAUGUUGCUCUCUGAAAAUAUUGGUCAGAGGUAAAAUUCAAACAAAUAUUUUAGGAGCUCAUGGAUAUUUAUUUUGGCCAUUUGGAUUAAUCCGAUAAUUAUUUGCAUUGGAUAUAUAUAUGUCAUAUAUAUAAUAUAUGUCCAAAAAUUAUACCAUUUGCUGAGGAGCUCUGGAAUAAUAUAGUUAGCUCCUGCAAAAAUUGGCAUAAGGUAAUAAAAUGAUUUAGUAUUUUAAUUAAAUCAAAACAAAUGUUAGAAAAAUAGAAAAAGAAAUAAAAGAGGAAAACCCUACCUGGACUUACCCGCGGCCUGGCACUGUGUGGCCUGCCGACGCCAGUCGUCCCCUUCCUCGCGCCAGGAGGACAGGGGCACGCGCCGGCGCACGCGGCCACGCGUCCGGCUGGGGCCACGUCUCCCCGCCACCUCCUGCUUCUCCCCCUCGUCGUCUGGAUGCCCCGGGGGACGCCACGCGCCCUCCCGACCACUCUCACUCUCCCCCUGUUCUCUCCCUCGCCGUUUCCCACCGUGCCCGAACGCUGCCGUCGCCGCCGCAUGCCGUUGCCAUAGCCACCGCCUCCCCCUCGCCUCUCCGACAUGCGCAGGAGUUCCGCCUCCUCGCUCUGAAGCUCUCCGCCGAGCCACACAAGCCGGAGCGCCCGUGGAGCCGUCGCCGUCGCCUUCAUCACCUCCGGCCGCCACAGAUCGCCUUCGCCGCUUCGUCGUCUCCAGCGCGUCCCCGGCCACAACAAGCAGCCCUACAAGUCCGCCGUGAGCCCUGCUUCUUCUCCCCUCUCUCCCCUGGUCGCGCUCUCCCUAUAGCUGUCGUCUCCACCAUGGCCGAACCUUCGCCGCCGUCGAGCUCGCCAUCGACGCAGCUCCAGUGACCAUUUGGUCACCCCGGCGAGUCCAACAAGCUUGUAAGGCCCCGUAGAGCAUCCCUAGCGCUUUGCUUCUCUCGUCUUCGAGCUCCAAAUGCGCUCUUGUGCACGACCGAACUCCGGCGGCCGCAACCGAGCUCGCCGCCGCCGACUCCGGCCAUCCCAGGCCUAGCCACGGCCACCGGCCGACGCGCCAUCGAGCUGGCUCUCCAACGCGCCUAGCCGCGCGUCAUUUGGAGCACCACAGAGGAAACCCGGGGCACAAGUACGCCGCGGAUCUCGCCGGCAACUAACCGCCGGCGGGUUUGACUUGUUUGACCUGGGGUUUGACCCCCCAGGGUCACUGACGCGUGGGCCAUGCCCCUGUUUAGUUUAGGUGUUAGUUUAGUUAGCGCUAAUUAACUCAGUUAAUUAGUUGUCUCUCUGACAGGUGGGCCCAGGCCCUAAUUAACCUAGGUUAGUGCUAACCUAACACUAACUAACUCUGUUAGUUAGAUGUUACACUGACAUGUCGGUCCCAGCCGUCAGGUUUGACCUGGUCAGCACCGUUGACCUGCUGACGCAGGCAUGACAUCAUGCUGGCGCAAUAAUAUAUUUUCUGGAAUUAAAAUAAAUCAGGAAAUUCCAGAAAAUGUUCAAAACUUCAAAAAUUCAUAUCAAUUCAACCGUAGCUCAGAUUGAAAUAAAUUAUAUAUGAAAAAUUAUCAGAAAAAUGCAACCUAUUCAUCUGUACCACUUUCAUGCAUGAAAAACCAAGUUAUACCUGCUGGAUAAGUGAAACACUAAAAUGGCUUAUAUGAAGAGCUUAUUUGGAGAUGCAUUUGAACCUUUGGUUCAAAUGGACUUCAAACCAAAUGAAUACUAGUUGCAUUAGCUCAAACAGCAUCACAUCUUCAUGCCAUGUUCAUGCAUCAUAUUGUUGCAUAUGCUUGUGUAUUGAUUGUUGGCACCGUUCCUUCUCGAUAGGUCCUGCUCCGGAGACCGUUCCAGAGUACCUGUCUGAGGAGCAGUGCCCCCUUGUUGAUCUACCAGGCAAGCAAACCCCCUUGUUCAUUCCGAUACAAUCCUACUCUCUCGCUCCUGCUAUCAGUUAUUGCAUUAGGACAACAACGAUUCAUCUGCUACUUUGUGCUGCGGUAGUUGAACCCAUUCCUCUGCAUGACCCGUCAUUGCCACAGUAAAUAGUUGAAACCCACUAGCAUGUGUAGGAGUUGAUUGAGCCAUGUUGUGUUCCUACCAUGCUAUGCCUGCUAUUGCUUAGAGUUGUGUCAGGUCUGGUUCAUUGGGAAUGAAUUGGAGUGUUACGAUAUGUUCUGAUGCUGAGAGUUAAGUGUGUGAACACGAUUUGGUAAAGGUAGCGGUGAGAGGCCAUGUAGGAGUACAUGGUGGGUUGUCUCACUGGAACCGUCCUUAAGCGCUGAGUUCUGUGUAUGUUGUCCAAUGACCAGCUACUACCACACAUUGGAAUGCUUAACUGCCCCUCUCGACUUAUUAACCAACUUGGUCUCUGUCCAGGAGUCGCAACUAGUUUUUGGUGUUUGUAGGUAGUGUUAGUAGUCUACCAAGUGGCACCCGGCCAGGUGGGCUUGGGACAGACUAGGCACAGUGGCACGGUGUACCAAGUGGCACCCGGAUGGUGGGCUUGGGAACCCUGCUCACAUCGUUUGGGGCCGUGAGCGACACCCUGGCCGGAUCUCGUUGCGGAUGGAACCCGAAUAGGCGAUAAACCUGGACUAGAGUCUUGUGUGGUUAGUCAGGUCGUGCCCGACACCCUCGCCAGGCUUCCGCUUGAAGGUUGCCGAGAUACAUGACGAGUACAUGGCGGUAAGUGGCGAGAGCGUGUGUGAAGAAGUACACCCCUGCAGGGUUAACAUGAUCUAUUCGAAUAGCCGGGUCCGCGGUUAUGGACUUCUUGGAUGCUUACAUGGUACAUAGACAACUUGUAGUGGAUACUCUAAAAUGCUCAAGACAAGUGUGAGUACUAUGAAUGGCCUUCUCGUAGGGAGACGGGGAUGAAUCCAUAGUAGUGUAUUGCGUGGUGAUUAGUGGACUCGUGUGUGCCAUAUCACCUCAAAGAAGUUCUGGUACUCGUAGAACAGGAUAGCCACAGAGUCAAAGCUGGCUUGCUGCAACUAAACCCCACAUUACCCUCUUGAUACAAAUGCAUGUAUGAUAGGAUCUGAUGUAAGUCUUGCUGAGUACCUUUGUACUCAUGUUGCUUUAUUUAUGCUUUUGCAUCGGAGACUUUGGUCUUACUAGUGUUCUCGUGGACUUCAACGAGUAGCUUGUACCUCAGCUACGAUCUUGAUCGGAUGUUGUAGAUAGCCAGACUCUUCAGCCUUUUUCAUUUGUAGAUGUAUGUACUCAGACAUGUAAUGCUUCCGCUUGUUGCUUGAUUGCUCUGAAUGUUGGGUCAUGUGACCCCUGUUUGUAAUAAAUGCUAUGAUGGUUCUUUGAGCCUUAUCUAUAUGAGUUGUUGAAUUAUGCGGUGAUGCCAUGUUGUACAGCACAUACUUGCAUGUUAUGCGUACGUGUAAUGUGUAUUGCUAUGUGUGGGAUCUGACUAUCUAGUUGUUUAUCUUUAGUAGCCUCUCUUACCGGGAAAUGUCUCCUAGUGCUUCCACCGAGCCCUGGUAGCUUGCUACUGCUCCGGAACACUUAGGUUGGCCGGCAUGUGUCCUUCUUCGUUCCUGUGUCUGUCCCUUCGGGGAAAUGUCACGCGGUGUCUACCGGAGUCCUGUUAGCCUGCUACAGCCCGAUUUACCGGAGUCCUGCUAGCCCAGUUGCUACAUCCCGGAUUCACUCGCUGAUGACCGACACGUUCGAUGCUAGGUCAUGUAUGCUUGUCCCUGUAAGUUAGUGCCACUUUGGGUUCACGAAUAGUCAUGUCAGCCCAGGUUCUUUAUCAUAUGCAUGCUAGCGACAUUAUCAUAUACGUGUGCCAAAAGGCGCAAACGGUCCCGGGCAUGGUAAGGCGACACCCGUGGGAAUACCGUGCGUGAGGCCACAAAGUGAUAUGAAGUGUUACAUGCUAGAUCGGUGUGGCAUAGAAUCGGGGUCCUGACAGGUUUACCCCCAGUUUGCGGAUUGUGUCCUGAUAUAACAGGUUUAGGUCACUGUUGCCGUCGAUUAGGACUUGUGUAUAUUGGAGUCUGUCAAUAAUCGAAUCCAAGACCAAGUCAGUCCAGCCUGUGUUCCGGACCCCUCUGGAGUAAUCAUGAUGAUCGAAGAUGAUUGGUUGUAACAACCAGUGGCGGUGCUCCUCUGGGGCAGGCCGUAUGGUGCGUAUCUUCGCAAGCGCCGUUCUGUUUUUCCCUUUUGUCAUCUGAAGUGAAUUUACUGUUUUGACUUCGCGUGGGAACUUCUUUUGUUCUCUGGUGUUCUGCUUGUGGGGUGUGUCGUCAUCCUCGUUUGGUGUGUCGAGCCCCUUGUGUGCGGCGUGAAGUUUGCCGGACUGCUUGAAGACCCAACAAUCUCUGUAGGUGUGGUUUGCAGGUCUCCCGGGAGUACUGUGGAUUUGAAAUAUUUUGUCCAAGAUUUUGUUGGGGUUAGAUAGCUCGUCCCUGUCAUCUUUGGGGGGUGGCUUUUUCUGAUUUGCCGAGAGCUUUUGAAUCCGGCAUUGACUGUCGUGCUCAUUGGGCUGUUAUCCUUGAUCCGGCGCUGUUCUUUGUUACGGCACGGUUUCCCAUUUCCAUCUCUGAGUUCGGAUGUACUUGGGUCGCUGGUGCUGCUUCUUGCCAACCAGCUAUCCUCUCCUGCGCAAAAGCGGGUCAUGAGGCUUGUUAAUGCGGCCAUUGUUCUUGGCUUUUCUUGGCCGAGGUGUCUGACGAGCCAUUCGUCUCGAACGCUAUGUUUGAAAGCUGCUAGGGCCUCGGCGUCCGGACAGUCGACUAUCUGAUUCUUUUUAGUAAGAAAUCUGUUCCAGAGUUCCCGGGCUGACUCUCCGGGUUGGUGAGUUAUAUGACUCAGAUCAUCUGCAUCCGGAGGUCGGACAUAGGUCCCUUGAAAAUUUGCCCGGAAAGCAUACUCGAGCUCUUCCCAACUUCCCAUGGUGUUUUCGGGAAGACUUUUAAGCCAAUGCCGGGCUGGCACUUUGAGCUUAAGGGGUAAGUAUUUUAUGGCGUGAAGGUCAUCUCCUCUGACCAUGUGUAUGUGGAGGAUAUAAUCCUCAAUCCAGACUCUAGGGUCUGUUGUUCCAUCGUAUGCUUCUAUGUUUACGGGCUUGAAUCCUGCUAGAAAUUCAUGAUCCAGUACCUCAUCGGUAAAACAUAGGGGAUGUGCGGCGCCCCUGUAUGUUGAUGUGCCGCGAUGUUCGGAUAUUUUUUGCGUUGCAUUGCUCACUAGAGCUUGCUUUCUUGGCCCAUAGAUGGAUCUGGUUGGACCGGUUUUUUGAUGCGAAUCCUUGGGCGGAUCGCGUGCCGUAUUGAGUGCGGCGCCCUUUGUCGCUUGAGAUCGAUCGUGGGGUCAUCUAUCCGACCUGGUGGCUUCCUUGUUUUUUGACUGUGGGGCCUCUAAGGCCUCUUCAUCAAAUUCCGGUAGUAAUUUCCGCUUCGGAUAGCUCUUUGUGUGAUGACUGUUGCCGUACUUGUGUGCGGUAUUGAGUACUUUCCCCCAUCUAAUUCUGAGUGCAUCUUCCGCUGCCUUGAGCUUCCGCUUCUGCUUUUUCAGGCUACGUGUAGUGGCGACGAGCCUUUGGUGGAGGUUCUGGUGUUCGAGCGACUUGUCCGGCGUGAGGUCGUCCGGACUAUUAUCUUUCCCGGGGACGGAUUGUUCGGUUUGUCCGCCCUGUUUGGACGGUUGCUCAAUGGCAUGUUCGUCUUCCGUUGAUUCGCCCUGCUCUAUGGCUGGGUCUCUGUCAAGGUGGGGCUUGGCGCGGUGCUUACGCCGCCGCUUUGAUUGUUUUUCGAGGGAGCGAUCCCUGGUUGCGCCCUUUUGAUCCUCGUCGUUGCUUCUUUCAGGUGUGUCCACCAUGUAUACAUCAUGUGAUGAGGUGGCUUUCCAGUGCCCUAUAGGUGUUGGUUCUUGGUCGUCUCCUUCAUCGGCGUCCAUACCGUCGAUGUCUUUGGAGUCGAAGUCGAGCAUGUCGGUUAGAUCGUCGAUAGUGGCUACAAAGUGGGUGGUGGGUGGGUUUCGAAUUUCUUUGUCGUCCGCAUCCCAACCAUGCUGACCGUAGUCCGGCCAGGGCUCUCCUGACAAAGAGAGAUACUUUAGUGAAUUCAGGAUAUCGCCAAAGGGAGAGUGCUGAAAGACGUCCGCGGCGGUGAACUCCAUGAUCGGAGCCCAAUCGGGUUCGUUCGGAAGGGGUGCGGAAGAUUCGGAGUCUGGAACGAAGUACGGCACCUUGGAGUCACGGGCCUCGCGAAGGACUAGGCUAGUAUUUGGCUCUAUCGCCGUAGAGAUUGCGGCUCCUGGGACGGCGUCCAACCGUCCGUCUCCGACUGCCGCAGUCGACUCCGAGCUAAUGGUCGGAGCGGGCACCUGAUCGGUGCUCUGGGCGCUGUCCGGCGGCACAGCUAGAUCAUGCUCAUCGUGACAGUGCGGCGCACUCGGCCGUGGCUUGAAUCCAUCGGAGAUCAAGUCCCCGCGGAUGUCGGCCGUGUAGUUUAAGCUUCCAAACCUGACCUGAUGGCCAGGGGCGUAGCUUUCGAUCUGCUCCAGAUGGCCAAGCGAAUUGGCCCGCAGUGCGAAGCCGCCGAAUAUGAAGAUCUGUCCGGGGAGAAAAGUAUCACCCUGGACCGCGUCGUGGUUGAUGAUCGAAGAAGCCAUCGGGCCUAAAGGUGAGGACACAUAGGAACUCUCAAUGAAAGCACCAAUGUCGGUGUUAAAAUCGGCGGAUCUCGGGUAGGGGGUCCCGAACUGUGCGUCUAAGCGAAUGGUAACAGGAGACAAGGGACACAAUGUUUUUACCCAGGUUCGGGCCCUCUCGAUGGAGGUAAAACCCUACUCCUGCUUGAUUAAUAUUGAUGAUAUGGGUAGUACAAGAGUUGAUCUACCACGAGAUCAGAGAGGCUAAACCCUAGAAGCUAACCUAUGGUAUGAUUGUUGUUCGUCCUACGGACUAAAACUGUCUGGUUUAUAUAGACACCGGAGAGGGCUAGGCUUACAUAGAGUCGGUUACAAUGGGAGGAGAUCUUCAUAUCAUAUCGCCAAGCUUGCCUUCCACGCCAAGGAAAAUCCUAUCCGGACACGGGACUAAGUCUUCAAUCUUGGAUCUUCAUAGUCUGGGAGUCCGACCAAAGGUCAUAGUCCGGCCAUCUGGACACCUCCUAAUCCAGGACUCCCUCAGUAGGAGUUAGUCAAUGUAUGGAGUAAUAGUAGUAGAUGCAGGCAGGAAUCGGUCUACUUGACACGGACGUGAUGCCUAUAUUUCAUAAUCAUUGCCUUGGAUAUCGUCAUAACUUUGCGCUUUUCUAUCAAUUGCUCAACAGUAAUUUGUUCACCCACCGUAAUAAUUAUGCUAUCUUCAGAGAAGCCACUAGUGAAACCUAUGGCCCCCGAGUCUACUCUUUAUCCUAUAAGUUUCCAAUCUACUUUAUUUUGCAAUCUUUACUUUUCAAUCUAUAUCAUAAAAAUACCAAAAAUAUUUAUCUUAUCAUAUUAUCUCUAUCAGAUCUCACUUUUGCAAGUGGCCGUGAAGGGAUUGACGACCCCUUUAUCGUGUUGGUUGAGAGGUUCUUGUUUGUUUGUGUAGGCGUGAGGGACUUGUGUGGAGCCUCCUACUGAAUUGAUACCUUGGUUCUAAAAAACUGAGGGAAAUACUUACGCUACUUUGUUGCAUCACCCUUUCCUCUUCAAGGGAAAAACCAACGCAUGCUCAAGAAGUAGCAAGAAGGAUUUCUGGCGCCGUUGUUGGAGAGGUCUUCGCUCAAGUCAAGACAUACCAAGUACCCAUCACAAACUCAUCUCCCUCGCAUUACAUAAUUUGCCAUUUGCCUCUCAUUUUCCUCUCCCCCACUUCACCCUUGCCGUUUUAUUCGCCCUUCUUCCGUUUGAUCUUAUGUUUUCUUGUCUCUCCAUGUGCCUACUAUGUGCUUCCAUCUUUGCUUGCUAAAAAUCUACUGAUAAGGAUCCGCUUAAAGUGUUCUACUUGGAUCAUCUUCAAUCCUUAUGCGCUCGUGCUGAAACCCCAACUAGCCUAGUUGAUGGAAAAUCUUUAGAUGAGCAUGCUCAUUUUGUGCGUCAUCGUUUGUCUGAAAAAGGGAAGCUCUUAUGGUAUCACAUAAGUAGUUUGAUUUGCUAUGAUUGGAAUCUUUGUGAAAUUUAUGAUUAUACUUGUUGCUCUAAGAACCCUAAAAAACACUUUCCCUACCUAUGUGAGCUUAAUGAAAAUGAAAUCUUAUCUUCUUAUGCAAUGGGUGUUUAUAGUUACUAUGAUGUUAAACAAAUUGAAGAAUUUCUUGCUUUUAAGGGUUCUUAUGAAGUUGCUUCUUUGAUGGAAAAGUAUGAUAUUACUCUCUACGAAUCUGAAAAUUAUGACAUACUUAAAUAUUGCUAUGAAAACUAUGCUCAUAAUGCCUAUGUCAAAGAAUUUAUUGAGAGAAUGACUGUUGCUUUGGAAGAAAAUAAUGAUAUGCGUGAAUCUAUAGAUAAUGAUUCCAUUGAUUUGAUCGAAAUAUCCCUUGAUGAACAUGAUGCUUGCUAUUCUUGUGGCCAGGAUGCUAAUAUUUAUGAAGAUGAAUUUGCUAUAGUUCCUUAUGUUAAAUAUGAGAUCGUUGCUAUUGCACCCAUACUUGGUAGUUCCUUCAAUGAAAAGCAUGAUUGCAAUGAUGUUAAUAUAAAUUCUCUUGAUGUCAAUUGUGCUAAUAAUAUGCAAAACCCUAAGCUUGGGGAUGCUAGUUUUGCUAUGUCUACUACUUGUUGCAAUGAUCAUGAUUGGGGUGAUUCUUCUUUUGGUCUUGACAAUUUAUUUAAGCCCCGUGAUGAAUAUGAGAUUGAUAAUAGUGUUGGCAAUAAUAUUGGAAGUGGGUUUGGAGAGGUCAUGACUUUAGUUAAUGUUAAUCCCACUAUUUAGGAAGAGUGUCAACUUUGCAUGCAUGUGGAUCGUGUUGAAAAUAUUUUAUGUGAUAGCUAUUUUGUUGAAUUUGCUUAUGAUCCCAUGUGUAAUUAUUAUGAGAGGAAAAUAUGAUUGUAGAAAUUUUCAUGUUACAAAAUUUCCUCUCGUUAUGUUGAGAUUGCUAUUGUUCCUUUCUUCUUCCUUUCAUAUGUUAGUUUUUAUUUGCCUUGAUAAUUUGUUUGCUUAUAAAAUACCUAUGUAUAGGAAUUAUGUUAGACUUAAGUAUGUUUGUCACAUGUUUUAUGAUGCUCUCUUUGUGCUUCAGUUCUUGUCUUUCAUGUGAGCAUCAUUGAAAAUUUAUGCCUAGCUAGGGGCGUUAAACGAUAGCGCUUGUUGGGAGGCAACCCAAUUUUAUUUUUGUUCCUUGCUUUUUUCUCCUGUUUAGUAAUAAAUAAUUCAUCUAGCCUCUGUUUAUAUGUGGUUUUAUGUUUUAAUUAGUGUUUGUGCCAAGUAGAACCUAUAGGAUCAUCUUGGGUGAAAGUUAAUUUGAUCUUGCUGAAAAACAGAAACUUUUGCGCUUACGAGAAAAAAAUCUAAUAAAUCACAGAAACGUGAUUUUGAGUUGAUUAUUUUUGAAGUAGAUCAGUAGGAAACAUACCUAGGACUCCCUAUUUUGGUACGAUUUGUAGAGUUCUAGAAGUAUUUGAAAGUUAUAGAUUGCUACAAACUAUUCUGUUUUUGACAGAUUAUGUUUUUCCUGUGUUGUUUGCUUAUUUUGAUGAAUCUAUGGCUAGUAUCGGGGGGUAUGAACCAUAGAGAAGUUGGAAUACAGUAGGUUUAACACCAAUAUAAAUAAAGAAUGACUUCAUUACAGUAACUUAAGUGGUGGUUUUCCUUUCUUGCACUAACAGAUCUCAUGAGAUUUCCUGUUGAGUUUUGUGUUGUGAUGUUUUGAAGUUUUGGGUAAAGAUUUGAUGGACUAUGGAAUAAGGAGUGGCAAGAUAAUAAGCUUGGGUAUUCCCAUGCCCCCCCCCAAGAUAAUUCAAGGACAACCAAAAGCCUAAGGUUGGGGAUGCCCCGGAAGGCAUCCCCUCUUUCGUUUUCGUCUAUCGGUAACUUUACUUGGAGCUAUAUUUUUAUUCACCACAUGAUAUGUGUUUUUCUUGGAGCGUCUUGUAUGAUUUGUGUCUUUGAUUUUUAGUUUACCACAAUCAUCCUUGCUAUACACACCUUUUGGGACAGACACACAUGAUUCGGAAUUUAUUAGAAAUACUCUAUGUGCUUCACUUUUAUCUUUUGUGCUAUACAAUUUUGCUCUAGUGCUUCACUUAUAUCUUUUUAGAGCACGGCGGUGGUUUUAUUUUGUAGAAAUUAUUGAUCUCUCAUGCUUCACUUAUAUUAUAUUUAGAGUCUUUUAGAACAGCAUGGUAUUUGCUAUGGUUAUAAAAUUGGUCCUAAUAUGAUGGGCAUCCAAGUUGGGUAUAAUAAAAACUAUCAUAGAAAGUGAAUUGAAUACUAUGAUCAACUUGAUGCUUGAUAAUUGUUUUGAGAUAUAAAGGUGGUCAUAUUAGAGUCAUGCUAGUUGAGUAAUUCUGAAUUUGAGGAAUACUUGUGUUGAAGUUUGUGAUUCCCGUAGCAUGCAUGUAUCGUGAACCGUUAUGUGAUGAAGUUGGAGAAUGAUUUAUUUUUUGAUUGUCUUCCUUAUGAGUGGCCGUCGGGGACGAGCGAUGGUCUUUUCCUACCAAUAUAUCCCCCUAGGAGCAUGCGCAGAGUACCUUGUUUCAAUAACUUGUUGAUUUUUGCAAUAAGUAUAUGAGUUCUUUAUGACUAAUAUUGAGUCCAUGGAUUAUACGCACUCUCACCCUUCCACCAUUGCUAGCCUCUCUCGUGCUGUGCAACUUUCGCCGGUACCAUACACCCACCAUAUAACUUCCUCAAAACAGCCAUCAUACCUACCUAUUAUAGCAUUUCCAUAGCCAUUCCGAGAUAUAUUGCCAUGCAACUUACCAACGUUCCGUUUAUUAUGACACGCUCCAUCAUUGUCAUAUUGCUUUUGCAUGAUCAUGUAGUUGACAUCGUAUUUGUGGCAAGGCCACCUUUAUAAUUCUUUCAUACAUGUCACUCUUGAUUUAUUGCAUAUCCCGGUACACCACCGGAGGCAUCCACAUAGAGUCAUAUUUUGUUCUAAGUAUUGAGUUGUAAUUCUUGAGUUGUAAGUAAAUAAAAGUGUGAUGAUCUUCAUUAUUAGAGCAUUGUCCCAAGUGAGGAAAGGAUGAUGGAGACUAUGAUUCCACCAUAAGUCGGGAUGAGACUCCGGACUUUAUUGAAAAAUAAAAGAGGCCAAAGAAGCCAAAAUAAAAAAAGGCCAAAGAAGCCCACCAAAAUAAAAAAUGAGAUAAAAUGAGAGAAGGGACAAUGUUACUAUCCUUUUACCACACUUGUGCUCCAAAGUAGCACCAUGAUCUUCGUGAUAGAGUGUCUCCUCUGUUGUCACUUUCAUAUACUAGUGGGGAUUUUUCAUUAUAGAACUUCGCUUGUAUAUUCCAAUGAUGGGCUUCCUCAACAUGCCCUAGGUCUUCGUGAGCAAGCAAGUUGGAUGCACACCCACUUAGUUUAUUUUGUUGAGCUUUCAUACACUUAUAGCUCUAGUGCAUCCGUUGCAUGGCAAUCCCUACUCACUCACAUUGAUAUCUAUAAUGGGAAUCUCCAUAGCCCGUUGAUACACCUAGUUGAUGUGAGACUAUCUUCUCCUUUUUGUCUUCUCCACAACCACCAUUCUAUUCCACAUAUAGUGCUAUGUCCAUGGCUCACGCUCAUGUAUUGCGUGAAAGUUGAAAAAGUUUGAGAACAUCACAGUAUGAAACAAUUGCUUGGCUUGUCAUCGAGGUUGUGCAUGAUUUAAAUAUUUUGUGUGAUGAAGAUAGAGCAUAACCAGACUAUAUGAUUUGUAGGGAUAGCUUUCUUUAGCCAUGUUAUUAUGAGAUGACAUGAUUGCUUUGUUAGUAUGCUUGAAGUAUUAUUGUUUUCAUGUCAAUAUGAACUUUUAUCUUGAAUCAUUUGGAUAUGAACAUUCAUGACACAAUAAAGAAAAUUACAUUGAGAAAUAUGCUAGGUAGCAUUCCACAUAAAAAAUUCUGUUUUUAUCAUUUACCUACUCGAGGACAAGCAGGAAUUAAGCUUGGGGAUGCUUGAUACGUCUCCAACGUAUCUAUAAUUUUUGAUUGUUCCAUGCUAUUAUAUUACCCGUUUUGGAUGUUUAUGGGCAUUACUAUACACUUUUAUAUCAUUUUUAGGAUUAACCUACUAACCGGAGGCCCAGCCCAAAUUGUUUUUUUUCUUAUUUCAGUGUUCCGCGGAAAAGGAAUAUCAAACGGAGUCCAAACGAACUGAAACCUUCGGGAGCGAUCUUUUUGGAACAAACGCAAUCUAGGAGACUUGGAGUGGACAUCAAGAAGCAGUCGAUGCGGCCACGUGGGUGUAGGGCGCGCUCUAGGGGGGCGCCCCCCUGCCUCAUGGGCCCCCCGUGGCUCCCCUGACCUAUCUCCUUCGCCUAUAUAUAUCUAUGUACCUCGAAAACAUCCAUGAGCACCAUGAGAAACUAUUUCCACCGCCGCAACCUUCUGUACCCGUGAGAUCCCAUCUUGGAGCCUUUUCCGGCGCUCCGCCGGAGGGGGAAUCCAUCACGGAGGGCCUCUACAUCAUCACCAAGGCCUCUCCGAGGAGUUCUGAGUAUUUUACCACAGACCUUCGGGUCCAUAGUUAUUAGCUAGAUGGAUUCUUCUCUCUCUUUGAAUCUCAAUACAAAGUUCUCAUCGAUCUUCUUGGAUAUCUAUUCGAUGUAACUCUUUUUGCAGUGUGUUUGUCGAGAUCCGAUGAAUUGUGGGUUCAUGAUCAAGUUUAUCUAUGAGAAAUAUUUGAAUCUCCUCUGAAUUCUUUUAUGUAUGAUUGGUUAUCUUUGCAAGUCUCUUCGACUUAUCAGUUUUGUUUGGCCUACUAGAUUGAUCUUUCCUGCAAUGGGAGAAAUGCUUAGCUUUGGGUUCAAUCUCGCGGUGUCCUUUCCCAGUGACAGUAGGGGCAGUAAGUCCUGUAUUGCAUUGUUGCCAUCGAGGAUAAAAAGAUGGGGCUUACAUCAUAUUGCUUGAGUUUAUCCCUCUACACCAUGUCAUCUUACUUAAUGCGUUACUCUGUUCUUAUGAACUUAAUACUCUAGAUGCAUGCUGGAUAGAGGUUGAUGUGUGGAGUAAUAGUAGUAGAUGCAGGUAGGAGUCGGUCUACUUGUUGCGGACGUGAUGCCUAUAUACAUGAUCAUGCCUAGAUAUUCUCAUAACUAUGCACUUUUCUAUCAAUUGCUCGACAGUAAUUUGUUCACCCACCAUAAUAAUUAUGCUAUCUUGAGACAAGACAUUAGUGAAACGUAUGGCCCCCGUGUCUACUAUUUAUCAUAUAAGUUUCCAAUCUACUUUAUUUUGCAAUCUUCAUUUUUCAAUCUAUAUCAUAAAAUAGCAAAAAUGUUUAUCUUAUCAUAUUAUCUCUAUCGGAUCUCACUUUUGCAAGUGGCCGUGAAGGGAUUGACAACCCCUUUAUCGCGUUGGUUGCGAGGUUCUUGUUUGUUUGUGUAGGCGCACGGGACUUGUGUGGAGCCUCCUACUGGAUUGAUACCUUGGUUCUCAAAAACCGAGGGAAAUACUUACGCUACUUUGCUGCAUCACCCUUUCCUCUUCAAGGGAAAAACCAACGCAUGCUCAAGAGGUAGCAGGAACAUGUUUCUCGGAUGAGCUACCUUCCAAAUUGAGAGUAGGUACAAUUACCUCAUCAAGUGUUACUUUCCUCCCACUCACUUCUUUUGAGAGAAACUCCUUCUCUAGAAAUGUUCCGUUCUUAGCAACAAAAAUCUUUCCUUUGGACUUGUGGUAGCAGAUGUAACCAAUUGUCUCCUUAGGGUAUCCUAUAAAGACACACUUCUUCGAUUUGGGUUCGAGCUUAUCAAGCUGAAUCCUUUUGACAUAAACAUCGCAUUCCCAAACUUUAAGAAACGACGGCUUAGGUUUGUUGCCAAACCAAAGUUCAUAUUGUGUCGUCUCACCAGACUUUGGUGGUGCCUUGUUUAAGGUGAAUGCAGCUGUCUCUAAUGCAUAACCCCAAAUCGAUAGUGGUAAAUUAGUAAGAGACAUCAUAAAUCGCACCAUAUCUAAUAAAGUGUGGUUAUGACGUUCGAACACACCAUUACGCUGUGGUGUUCGAGGUGGCGUGAGAUGUGAACCUAUUCCACAUUGUUUUAAAUGAAGGCCAAACUUGUAACUCAAAUAUUCUCCUCCACGAUCAGAUCGUAGAAACUUUAUUUUCUUGUUACGAUGAUUCUCCCGUUGAGGGAGUCCUGGAUUAGGGGGUGUCCGGAUGACCGGACUAUAACCUUUGGCCGGACUCCUGGACUAUGAAGAUACAAGAUUGAAGACUUCGUCCCGUGUCCGGAUGGGACUUUCCUUGGCGUGGAAGGCAAGCUUGGCGAUACGGAUAUGUAGAUCUCCUCCCAUUGUAACCGACUCUGUGUAACCCUAGCCCUCUCCGGUGUCUAUAUAAACCGGAGGGUUUUAGUCCGUACGACAAACAACAAUCAUACCAUAGGCUUGCUUCUAGGGUUUAGCCUCUCUGAUCUCGUGGUAGAUCUACUCUUGUACUACCCAUAUCAUCAAUAUUAAUCAAGCAGGAGAAGGCUCGAACCUGGGUAAAGACAUCGUGUCCUUUGUCUCCUGUUACCAUCCGCCUAGACGCACAGUUCGGGACCCCCUACCGGAGAUCCGCCGGUUUUGACACCGACAUUGGUGCUUUCAUUGAGAGUUCCUCUGUGUCGUCAUCUUUAGGCCCGAUGGCUCCUCCGAUCAUCAACAACGAUGCAGUCCAGGGUGAGGCUUUUCUCCCCGGACAGAUCUUUGUAUUCGGUGGCUUAGCACUGCGGGCCAAUUCGCUUGGGCAUCUGGAGCAGGUCGUAAGCUACGCCCCUGGCCAUCAGGUCAGAUUUGAAAGUUUGAACUACACAGCUGACGUCCGCGGAGACUUGAUCUUCGACGGGUUCGAGCCACAACCGAGCGCGCCGCACUGUCAUGAUGGGCAUGAUCUAGUUCUGCCGCCGAACAGUGCCCAGGAGGUUGCACCACUGUCCUCUCCGACCCUUAGCUCAGAGCCGACUGCGCCAAUCGAGGACGGGUGGUUGGACACCACCUCGAGGGCUGCAAUCUCUACGGCGAUCGAGCCGAACACCAGCCUUGUCCUCUGCGAAGCCCAUGAUUCCAAGGUGCCGGACUCCUCCCCGGACUCCGAACCUUCCACGCCCCUACCAAUCGAAUCCGAUUGGGCGCCGAUCAUGGGGUUCGCUGCCACGGACAUCUCUCAAUACUCGCCCUUCGGCGACAUUCUGAAUUCACUAAAGUCUCUCUCUUUAUCAGGAGAGCGCUGGACGGACUAUGGUCAGCAAGGAUAGGAUGCGAAUAACGAAGAAAUUCAAAGCCCACCCACCACCCACUUCGUAGCCACUGUCGAUAAUUUAACCGACAUGCUCGACUUCGACUCCAAGGACAUCGACGGUAUGGACGACGAUGUAGGAGAAGAACAAGAACCAGCGCCUAUUGGGCACUGGACAACCACCUCAUCUCACGAUGUAUACAUGGUGGGCACACCUAAAAGAAACGACGACGAGGAACAAAGGGACGCAACGAGGGAUCGUUCCCUCGAAAAGCAGUCAAAGCGGCGGCAUAAGCGCCGCUCCAAACCCCACCUCGACAGAGAUAGCAGCCAUACAGACCCAGCCACAAAGCAGGGCGAACCGGCGAACGACGAACACGCCAUCGAGCAACCGUCCAAACAGGGCAACUUGGGUAAACAAACCGAACAACCCGUCUCCGGCAAAGAUAAUAGUCCGGCGACCUCACGCCGGACAAGUUGCUGGAGCAGAAGAACCUCCACAAAAGGCUCGUCGCCACUGCGAGUAGCCUUAAAAAGCAGAAGCAGAAGCUCAAAACAGCGGAAGAUGCACUCAGAAUUAGAUGGGGCAAAGUACUCAACACCGCAGACAAAUACGGCGACAGUCGCCACACAAAGAGCUAUCCGAAGCGAAAAUUACUGCCGGAAUUUGAUGAGGAGGCCUUAGAGCCCCCGCAAUCAAAAAAUAAGGAAGCCACCAGGUCGGAUAAACAACCCCAUGGCCAACAUAGAGCAGCAAAUGGGGACGCACACAAGAUGGCACGCGAUCCGCACAAGGAUUCGCAUCAAAAAGACGGCCCUGCCAGAUCUAUCUACGGGCCAAGAAAGCAAGCUCUAGUAAGCAACGCAACGCAACAAGUAUCCGAACAUCACGGCACACCCAAAUAUAGGGGUGCCGCACACCCCCUAUGUUUCACCGAUGAGGUGCUGGACCAUGAAUUUCCAGCGGGAUUCAAGACCGUAAACACGGAGGCAUACGAUGGAACAACAGACCCUGGAGUCUGGAUUGAGGAUUAUAUCCUCCACAUACACAUGGCUAGAGGAGAUGACCUCCACGCCAUAAAAUAAUUACCCCUCAAGCUCAAAGGGCCAGCCCGGCAUUGGCUUAAAAGCCUUCCCGAAAACACCAUCGGAAGUUGGGAAGAGCUCGAGGAUGCUCUUCGGGCAAAUUUUCAAGGGACCUACGUCCGACCUCCGGAUGCAGACGAUCUAAGUCAUAUAACUCAACAACCGGGAGAGUCAGCCCGGAAACUCUGGAACAUAUUUCUUACUAAAAAGAACCAGAUAGUCGACUGUCCAGACGCCGAAGCCUUAGCAGCUUUCAAACACAGCAUUCGAGACGAAUGGCUCGCCAGACACCUCGGCCAAGAAAAGCCAAGAACAAUGGCCGCAUUAACAAGCCUCAUGACCCACUUUUGCGCAGGCGAGGAUAGUUGGUUGGCAAGAAGCAGUACCAGCGACCCAAGUACAUCCGAAGUUAGGGAUGGAAACGGGAAACCACGACGUAGCAAGGACCAGCGUCGGACCAAGGGAAACAGCCCGAAGAGCACGGCAGUCAACGCCGGAUUCAAAAGCUCUCAGCAGAAUCAGAAAAAGCUGCCCCUCAAGGAUAACAGGGACGAGCUAUCUAACCUAAACAAAAUCUUGGACAAAAUAUGCCAAAUCCACAGUACUCCAGGGAAGCCUGCAAACCAUACCCACAGAGAUUGUUGGGUCUUCAAGCAAUCCGGCAAACUCAACGCCGAACACAAGGGGCUCGACAUAUCAAGCGAGGACGAUGACGAACCCCACAAGCAGAACACCGGAGAACAAAAGAAGUUCCCACAAGAGGUCAAAACAGUAAACUCACUUCAUGUGACAAAAGGGAAAAAUAGAGUGGCGCACAUAGAGAUACGCGCCAUACAGCCUGUCCCAGAGCAGUCCCGCCACUGGUUGUUAAAACCAAUCACCUUCGACCAUCAGGAUUACUCUAGAAGUAUCCGGAACGCAGGCUGGACUGCCUUGAUAUUAGAUCCGAUAAUUGACGGACUCCAGUUUACAAAAGUCCUAAUGGACGGCGGAAGUGGUCUAAACCUGCUAUAUCAGGACACAAUCUGCAAAAUGGGGAUAAACCCAACAAAAAUUCGCCAUGGCAACACUUCCUUUCAAGGGGUAACGCCAGGCCCAGAUACCCAUUGUACAAGUUCUCUCCUGUUAGAAGUUAUGUUCGGCUCCCCCGACAACUUCCGCCGCGAAAAGCUAACCUUCCACAUCACCCCAUUUACAAGUGGCUAUCAAGCACUACUAGGACACGAAGCUUUCGCCCGCUUUAAAAUGCCCGGUCCGCGAGGCAUCAUCUCAUUAAAGGGAAAUAUCGAGUGUUCCUCAAGCGCGGAAGACUGUGCGGCUGCCUUGCCAGCCACACACUAAAUCGGCAUCACUAAUCAAAGCACCUAAACAGGUCGUGCAGACCCAGACAUGGCUAGACGAGUCCGGCGUAAACAUACAAGGGCUUACUAGCCGCAUACCCCCGUACAAGGGGCUCCGCGCGUGUACAACAAGAGACAAUAAAACUCAAUUUUACCCAUUUUCUAAAUUAUACUUUGUUUAUUUAAUAUAACAUAGAUUUUUGCAUGAUCUUUUUCAACUAAGUUCCUCUCUUUUACAGAUGAACAUCGUGCUACACCCGUCCAGGAUACGGCACAACGGAGACACAAGCGUAGACAUGCAGUAGUUACCCGUUCCAAGGAUUCUUUUCAGAUUAAGACCCUGCGUAAACCUUUUUCACUGUCUCUUGUUGAUACACAUCCCCCGGUUUCUUGUUAUAACCGAGGAGGAGGCUGGCGUCUUGGCAUGUGGCCAUGUCCGAAUUUUGCGCUUACCUGGACACCAGGGGCUUCUUACCAAGGGCGUUGUUCAGCCCGUUUUCAUAAAGAACGAAUACCUUAGGGAGUGUUCGGCGUCGCGAGUUUGGACUUAUAUGCAUCAACUCCGAAUCAUGUCUUUGGUCAAAUGUUGGGUUUGCUCGGCUCCUGUGUUUUGCUGCCUUACGUUCCGCUCUAUCGACUAAUGCGGCACUAGGAGAACUACUGCGAUUGUGCCCCGGUUCGGCCAGGCGAGCAUCUCAGUAGAGAAAGCCGAAAACUGACUGUCAUGAUAUAGCGUGAGACUGGUCAACCAAUCGAUGACCCGCCGGAAUCUUUAGGAUUCCUCCGCAUUAACAAAGGGCUGUUUCCCGGCCAGGCACACAUGCGCCCCGAAUUCGGGUGAGCGUGGUGCCCCUAGGGGUUAUAUAGUAGCCCCACUGUCAAACUCCUAUGGCUAAGUGAAAGUGAUAAAGCAUUAUAGUCUGGUUGCCUAGUUCGUUGCGCUAUCACCUCCUUAAUAGUACCAAGACGUUGGAUCAAGUGUGAAAACGCGCCUUCUGUGAACACCCCCGCAUUAUAUGCGUGGGGGCUGAAGCCGAAGACUGCCAUCUUUCAGGUUAUAUACACAUAUACAUUAACGGCCGCACAGGAGGUAUUCUAAUUCUUGAAGGCACAAGUAUAAAAAGCUUUUAUAUUCCAUCGAAACAUUGUUUUACAAUAAUACAUGUUAUUCGAACAUAACAUCCUUCGAGCAUUGCGUCUCUAUUAAAUGAGCGCCCUGUAGAACUUCCUGAAAAUAGUGCUCGGCAGGUACUCGUCUCUCGUCUGAAUCUUGGGAUGCAGCAACAAUGGCCUUCAUCUCCGCCCAGUAUGUCUUGACACGGGCAAGAGCCAUCUGUGCACCCUCUAUGCACGCUGACCUCUUCAUUGCAUUAAUAUGCAGCACCACACCCAAGAACUAUUGCACCAAGUUAAAAUAACUCUUCGGCUCGGGCCUUUUCGGCCACAGAUGACUCACAACAUACUUCAUCGCGAGUCCGGAUAACCUAUUCAGCUCCGCCCAUGCGGCCAAACGAUCUGUUAAUGGAAGUGGGCGCUCUGGGUUGUGGAACUGCGACCAAAAAAGCUUUUCCACUUUGUGGUCCUCUUGAUCGCAGAAGUGUUCGCCGCACUCCACUGCCGGUCCAACGGAGCAUAUUUAGGAUCCCCAAACUUCAUCCGUAGCAUAAAGGGCUUUCCAGCCGUGAUAUCUCCAGCCUGACGUAGCUCCUCCUUCAUAGCUCUCAUCGCAGAGCGAGUAUCCUUGGCCUCGGUAGUGACCUUUUCUAGGUCCUUCUGUGCCACCCGAUCUUCUUUUUCAAGAAGCUUGCAGCGGUCGGCAGCAUUCUUCAACUUUACAGCCAUCUCAGCCACUUCCUUCUUGCUUUGGCUGUGAGCAGCCUGUUCGGCUUUUAGCUCUUCAGCUGCCUUUAAGGCAGCCACAUCGCUUUUCCGGGCCUGCUCCUUGGAUCGGGCAAGUUCCGUCCGAAGGUUCUCCGUGGCAGCGGCACCAUCUGCAUCAAGGACACAUGUUGUAAGGUACGGGCAUCAAGAUCCUCUUACCAGGUGUCUUCGGAGAAAUUACAUACCUUAUGCCACGUCCAGGCGCUUGUUGACAAGCGCGAUGUCGGCAUCUGCCACGUCAAGUUGCCGCUUUAGCUUGGCAAAUUCAUCAGUCCGGCUAGCCACCGGACACUUCGCCACCUAGAUAGGAAAGGCGGCAUAUUAUACCUGGGAUUAUGAUUCUCAGUGCACCGUCAUUUUUUGACAACGCACAGAGUCUCAGGGGCUACUAUCUAUACAUGGCGCAUCUUAUAUAUGCGGAUCUGUCAAAAGGUACAUCAUUUUGUGUACCUCAAAACCUGUCAGUAAACUUCUGACGGCCUCGUACAACCCGCUCUUCGUGGAUGAAAUCCUUCCAAUCACCGUAUCCAUCAACGCACGGUGUUCUUCUGGGAUAGACGCUCGCCCGAGCAGAUCCUUUAGCUCCUUCGACCGUGCACCGGACGGUGCCGGACUCGUACGAUGGCCUUUUUCGAAGGCCGGACACGGAGGGCCUUGGGGGGGCAUACGACUGCCUUCCGGCCCUGCCGGAUUUGGAGAAACCCUCUGUGACGACACCUUAGGGCCGCCCGCCUCGCAAAGCGGUACGGCAGGGGGAGGCAUUCCGCUCUCCAUAAUCUCCGAACGAAGAUCCCCUGAAGAUGAGCUCUGUUGAGAAGGGCUGAGAUCCAAACUACAAGGUAAAAUUUCGGUUAUCUUCCUCAGAAAAUAGAACAGGGAUGUCUCUCAUUUUGAAACCCCCCCUCUUUACUUACGGCUCGGUAGAGAGCUGAUACCCUCGGGGGCGCAAUGCGACCGAGGCACCCCCCCGGCGCCAGACCCUCUGACAAAGAUUUCUUCCCCCGCUUUGAGACCAUGGCCUCCGGGUCUUCAGAGGCGGUCCUCUUCUUCCCCUGGUUAGAGGAAUUCUCGAUUCCUCCUUUCCUGACAACCUCCUUCGGGGAGGCGGUAGCUUCCUUGCUCCCCUCUUCGCCUUCGUUCAAAGGCGCAACCUCCAGCAUCCUGGUUAACACGGGAUCCGAUGUAGUCUCAGGGAGGGGGGCCGGACAUCUGAAUAGCUUUGCUUUCGCUAUCCACUCCUGUUUAAGGGACAUCUCUUUUAAGGUCAAUUUCAUGAUAAAUACAUGGAUAGCGUGUUCAGGUACAGGGCUACUUACUUGAGUAUCCGGGCAAUUGCAGCUCAGACCUGCAUCCUCGGACGAGUCCGGACACAUUGCUUGUGAUCCGAAGAACAAUUUGUACAUCUCCAUGGGCGUCGCAGCCACAAAAAGUUGGAGGGAUCAUGGUCCUUCCGGAUUAAACUCCCAUAGGCGGAGGGGGCGACGUUUGCAGGGCAGGAUGCGGCGAAUCAACAUAACCUGCAUCACUACGGCCAGAUUGAUAUCUCUAUCUAGGAGAUCUCGAACGCGGCCCUGCAACAAGGGCACGUCCUUGGAUGACCCCCAGUUAAGCCCUUUAUUGACCCAUGAUGCUAGUUCUGGUGGGGGACCCGAGUGAAACGCAGGUGGCGCCACCCAUUUGGUGCCCCUGGGAGCUGUGAUAUAAAACCACUCUCAUUGAAAAGAGCCCUCGGGCCAUGGAGCGUCGGCAUUCUUGCUUAUAACAGCACCUCCGCACUCUGCGUGCUGCCCCUCGAUCAUCUUCGGCUCUAAUUUGAAGGUCUUAAGCCACAAUCCGAAGUGAGGAGUAAUACGAAGGAAGGCCUCGCACACGACAAUGAAAGAUGAGAUAUGAAGGAUGGACUCCGGAGCUAAGUCAUGAAAUUCCAGCCCGUAAUAAAACAUGAGCCCCCUCACGAAGGGGUCCGUCGGGAAGCCUAGCCCCCGAAGGAAGUGAGACGAGAACACCAUGCUCUCACCAGGCUUGGGAGUGGGAAUAACCUGCCCUUGAGCAGGCAGCCUAUGCGAGAUUUCGCCGGCUAGAUACCUGGCAUCUCUUAGCUUUAGCACGUCUUCUUCCGCAACGGAGGAAGGCAUCCACCGGCCUUGAAGGUCGGAGCCGGACAUCGUCGGAGGUCCGAAGCGCCUGAAUCUGGAGCUUUGCGUGUUGGAACUCAAGGUGAGAGGCGAAUUUGAUUGAGAUUGAAAGAAAGGAGUCGAGCCUUGGUAUCUUUAUAAAGAGGUUGAAUACCAAGAGCCCUCCCCCUGGCCGUUUGGGACUCGCCUUCGAUUGAGGAGACAUACCAACAGGCACGAUUGGGUUACCCACGCCCGUAUUGGUGAGAAUCCCGGGAUAAGGAGACACGAUCUCUGCUUUGACAAGACGUGCCAAGGAAACCGCCUUGCUAAACGCGCUGAGGUGGGACAGUAAAACGAUUCAAAUAAAGGCUUGGUCGUGGCGUGAUGUCACGCUGCGGAAUACGUCAGCAUAUUAGAUUUGUACAAAUAUUAUUCACUCUACGGUGGUAUGUGGAACUUAUUUUGCAGAGCCGGACACUAUCCUUGUGUUCAAAAUCUUCUAUGAAGUAUUCGGAGCAGGAACCCGCCUUGCAAUGCCGAAGACAAUCUGCGCGCAGGACUAUGAAGCCUGGUUCAGGGGCUACUAAGGGAGUCCUGGAUUAGGGGGUGUCCGGAUGACCAGACUAUAACCUUUGGCUGGACUCCUGGACUAUGAAGAUACAAGAUUGAAGACUUCGUCCCAUGUCCAGAUGGGACUUUCCUUGGCGUGGAAGGCAAGCUUGGCCAUACGGAUAUGUAGAUCUCCUCCCAUUGUAACCGACUCUGUGUAACCCUAGCCCUCUCCGGUGUCUAUAUAAACUGGAGGGUUUUAGUCUGUAGGACGAACAACAAUCAUACCAUAGGCUAGCUUCUAGGGUUUAGCCUCUCUGAUCUCGUGGUAGAUCUACUCUUGUACUACCCAUAUCAUCAAUAUUAAUCAAGCAGGAGUAGGGUUUUACCUCCAUCGAGAGGUCCCGAACCUGGGUAAAGACAUCGUGUCCUUUGUCUCCUGUUACCAUCCGCCUAGACGCACAGUUCUGGACCCCCUUCCUGAGAUCCACCGGUUUUGACACCGACACCCGUUCACUCUGAAAUUCUUGGAACUAUUCAAAUGUUUCAGACUUGUGUUUCAUUAAGUUGAUAUACCCAUAUCUGCUCAAAUCAUCUGUGAAGGUCAAAAAAUAACGAUACCCGCCACGAGCCUCAACACUCAUCAGAACGCAUACAUCGGUAUGUAUUAUUUCCAAUAAGUCAUUGAAUUGCUCCAUUGUUCUGGAGAAUAGUGUUUUAGUCAUCAUGCCCGUGAGGCAUGGUUCACAAGUAUCAAAUGAUUCAUAAUCAAGUGAUUCCAAAAGUCCAUCUGCAUGGAGUUUCUUCAUGCGCUUUACAACGAUAUCAGAAACGGCAGUGCCACAAAUAUGUUGCACUAUCACUAUCAACUUUGCAUCUUUUGGCUUCAAUAUUAUGUAUAUGUGUAUUACUACGAUUGAGAUUCAAUAAACCAUUCACAUUAGUUCUACGACAAUGGAAGAUUUUAUUCAUGUAAACAGAAUAACAAUUAUUCUCUAACUUAAAUGAAUAACCGUAUUGCAAUAAACAUGAUCUAAUCAUAUUCAUGCUCAACACAAACACCAAAUAACAUUUAUUUAGGUUCAAUACUAAUCCCGAAAGUAUAUGGAGUGUGCGAUGAUGAUCAUAUCAAUCUUGGAACCACUUCCAACACACAUUGUCACUUCACCCUCAACUAGUCUCCAUUUAUUCUGCAACUCCUGUUUCGAGUUACUAAUCUUAGCAACCGAAUAAGUAUCAAAUACCUAGGGGCUACUACGAGCACUAGAAAGGUACACAUCAAAAACAAGUAUAUCAAAUAAAACCUUUGUUCACUUUGUCAUCCUUCUUAUCCGCCAAAUAUUUGGGGUAGUUCCGCCUCCAGUGACCACUUCCUUUGUAGUAGAAGCACUCAGUUUCAAGCUUGGGUCCAGCUUUGGGUUUCUUCCCAGGAGUGACAACUUGCUUGCCAUUCUUCUUGAAGUUCCCUUUCUUUCACUUUGCCCUUUUCUUGAAACUAGUGGUCUUGUUUAAGUACCAACACUUGAUGCUUUUUCUUGAUUUCUACCUUCGUCGAUUUCAGCAUCACGAAGAGCUUCGGAAUCUCUUUCAUCAUCCCUUGCAUAUUAUAGUUCAUCAUGAAGUUCCAGUAACUUGGUGAUGGUGACUAGAGAACUCUGUCAAUCACUAUCUUAUCUGGAAGAUUAACUCCCACUUGAUUCAAGCGAUUGUAGUACCCAGACAUUCUGAGCACAUGCUCACUAGCUGAGCUAUUCUCCUCCAUCUUUUAGGUGAAUUCCUUGUCAAAGGUCUCAUACCUCUCGACACGGGCAUGAGUCUGAAAUACCAAUUUCAGCUCUUGAAACAUCUCAUAUGCUCUGUGGCAUUCAAAGAAUUUUGAAGUCCCGGUUCUAAGCUGUAAAGCAUGGUGCACUAAACUAUCAAGUAGUCAUCAUAUUGAGCUAUCCAAACAUUCAUAACGUCUGCAUGCGCUCCUAUAAUAGGUCUGUCACCUAGUGGUGCAUCCAGGACAUAAUUCUUUUGUGCAACAAUGAGGAUAAACCUCAGAUCAUGGAACGAGUCCGCAUCACUGCUACUAUCAUCUUUCAACUUAGUUUUCUCUAAGAACAUAUCAAAAAAUAUAGGGGAGCUGCAAUGCGAGCUAUUGAUCUACAACAUAAUUUGCAAAUACUAUCAUGACUAAGUUCAUGAUAAAUUAAAGUUCAAUUAAUCAUAUUACUUAAGAACUCCCACUUAGAUAGACAUCCCUCAAGUCAUCUAAAUUAUACGUGAUCCAAAUCAACUAAAUCAUGUCCGAUCAUGACAUGAGAUGGAGUAGUCAUCAAUGGUGAACAUCUCUAUGUUGAUCAUAUCCACUAUAUGAUUCACGUUCGAUCUUUCGGUCUCCAGUGUUCCGAGGCAAUAUGCAUAUGCUAGGCUCGUGAAGUUUAACCUGAGUAUUCUGCAUGUGCAAAACUGGCUUGCACCCAUUGUAUUUGAACAUAGAGCUUAUCACACCCGAUCAUCAUGUGGUGUCUCAGCACGAAGAACUUUCGCAAUGGUGCACACUCGGGGAGAACACUUAUACCAUGAAAUUUUAGUAAGGGGUCGUCUUAUAAUGCUAUGGCCGUACUAAGCAAAAUAAGAUGCAUAAAGAUAAAUAUCACAUGCAAUCAAAAAUAUGUGACAUUAUAUGGCCAUCAUCAUCUUGUGCUUUUGAUCUCCAGCACCAAAGCAAAGUCAUGAUCUCCAUUGUCACCGGCUUGACACCUUGACCUCCAUCAUAGCAUCGUGGUCCUCUCGCGAACUAUUCCUUCUACGACUAUCGCUACCGCUUAGUGAUAAAGUAAAGCAAUUACAUGGCGUUUGUAUUUCAUACAAUAAAGUGACAACCAUAAGGCUCCUGCCAGUUGCCGAUAACUUUUAACUUUCACAAAACAUGAUCAUCUCAUACAACAACGUAUAUCACAUCAUCUCUUGACCAUAUCACAUCACAACACGCCCUGCAAAAACAAGUUAGACGUCCUCUACUUUGUUGUUGCAAGUUUUACGUGGCUGCUACGGGCUUCUAGCAUGAACCGUGCUUACCUAUGGCACAAAAGCCACAACGGUGAUUUAUCAAGUUUGUUGUUUUAACCUUCACAAGGACCGGCUGCAGUCAAAUUCGAUUCAACUAAAGUUGGAGAAACAGACACCCGCCAGCCACCUUUAUGCAAAACUAGUCGCAUGUCUAUCGGUGGAACCGGUCUCAUGAACUUAGUCAUGUAAGGUUGGUUCGGGCCGCUUCAUCCAACAAUACCGCCGAAUCCAAAUAAGACAUUGCUGGUAAGAAGUUGACGAUCACUGCCCACAACUCUCUGUGUUCUACUCAUGCAUAUCAUCUACGCAUAGACCUGGCUCGGAUGCCACUGUUGGGAAACGUAGCAUGCAAUUUCAAAAAAAAUCCUACGCUCACGUAUGAUCUAUCUAGGAGAUGCAUAGCAACAAGAGGAGGAGAGAGUGUCCACGUACCCUCGUAGACCGAAAGCGGAAGCGUUAGCUUAACGAGGUCGAUGUAGUCGAAUGUCUUCUCGAUUUAACCGAUCAAGCACCGAACGUAUGGUACCUCCAAGUUCUGCACACGUUCAGCUCGAUGACGUCCCUCGAACUCUUGAUCCACCAAAGUGUCAAGGGAGAGUUACGCCAGCACGACGGCGUGGUGACGGUGAUGGUCAAGUGAUCCACGCAGGGCUUCGCCUAAGCACUACGACAAUAUGACCGGAGGAGUAAACGGUGGAGGGGCACUGCACACGGCUAAGAACAAUUGAUGUGCUUAGAGGUGCCCCCCGCCCCCAUAUGUAAAGGAGGGAGAGGGGAGGAGGCCGGCCUAGGCCGCGCCAAGUGGGGAGGACUCCCACUUGGACUCCUAGUCCUAUUCGGUCCCCUUUCCUUCUAUCGGGGGGGGAGGAGGGGGGAGGAGAGGGGGUUGGAGAAGGACAGGGGGUGGCGCCCCCUUCCCUACUCCAAUUCGGCCUCCUUCCUUGUGGGGGGCGCACCAGCCCCUUGUGGUCUGGUUAGCCUCCCUCCUAUGGCCCAUAUGGCCCAUAUCUUCCACCAGGGGGUUUCGGUAACCCCUCCGGUACACCGAUAUGUACCCGAUACACUCUGGAACCCUUCCAGUGUCUGAAUAGUACCUUCCAAUAUAUCAUUCUUUACCUAUGGACCAUUUUGAGACUCCUCGUCAUGUCCGUGAUCUCAUCCGGGACACCGAACAACCUUCGGUCAGCAAAACACAUAACUCAUAUAAUACAUAUCAUCAUCGAACGUUAAGCGUGCAGACCCUACGGGUUUCAGAACUAUGCAGACAUGACCGAGACACCUCUCUGGUCAAUAAAUAACAGCGGAACCUGGAUGCUCAUAUUGGUUCCCACAUAUUCUACGAAGAUCUUUAUCGUUCGAACCGCUAUGUCAACAUAUGUUAAUCCCUUUGUCAUCGGUAUGUUACUUGCCCAUGAUUCGAUCGUCGGUAUCUUCAUACCUAGUUCAAUCUCGUUACUGGCAAGUCUCUUUACUUGUUCCGUAAUACAUCAUCCCGCAACUAACUCAUUAGUCACAUUCCUUGCAAGGCUUCAUGUGAUGUGCAUUACCGAGAUGGCCCAAAGAUACCUCUCCGAUACUCAGAGUGACAAAUUCUAAUCUCAGUCUAUACCAACCCAACAAACACCUUCGUAGUUACCUGUGGAGCAUCUUUAUAACCACCCAGUUAUGUUGUGACGUUAGAUAGCACACAAGGCAUUCCUCCGGUGUUCGGGAAUUGCAUAAUCUCAUAGUCAGAGGAAUAUGUAUUUGACAUGAGGAAAGCAGUAGCAAUAAAACUGAACGAUCAUUAUGCUAUGCUAACGGAUGGGUCUUGUCCAUCACAUCAUUCUCCUAAUGAUGUGAUCCCGUUCAUCAAAUGACAGCACAUGUCCAUGACUAGGAAACUUAACCAUCUUUGAUCAACGAGCUAGUCAAGUAGAGGCGUACUAGGGACAUAGUGUUUUGUCUAUGUAUUCACACACAUGUGUAAAGUUUCCGGUUAAUACAAUUCUACCAUGAAUAAUAAACAUUUAUCAUGAAAAAGAAAAUAUAAAAUAACAACUUUUAUUAUUGCCUCUAGGGCAUAUUUCCUUCACAUAUGCCCAAUCAAGGCAGUCCUGGAUAAUUCUAGCUUUGAGGAACCCAUGUUGAUUGAUAUGUAGCAUCUAGAGAAUAACUCUUUGUAAUCUAUUGGCCAACAGUUUGGUAAUUAUCUUAAGUACUCCAUUGAGUAGUGAGAUUGGUCUGAAAUCAUUGGGUGAUACUGGCACUUGCUUUUUUGGAAUCAAUGUAAUGAAGGAUGUAUUGAUGCUUUCAAGAUUUAUAUUACCAUCACGAAAAGCCAUGAUAAGCUCAGUGAUAUCCACUUUAAUGAUGUACCAACAAGCUUUGAUGAACUCAUUAUUAAAUCCAUCAUGACCUGGAGAUUUAUUUGUAGGAAUGUUUUUUACCACUUCAUCACUUUCCUCCUGUGUAAAAGGCUUCUCAAGAUCUUGCAAGAUCUCAGGCUCAACUCUAUGUUCAUCUAGAUCAUUCAAAUCAAAGUGCAUUGUGUGACCAUUAGAUUGUCCCAAUCUUUUUUUAAAAGCCUCCCAAAGAAUAGUUGUUUUUUUCUUCAUGGUCAAUAAUUUUCACUUGAUCAUCAUUCAGUAGUAUAGCAAUUUUAUUAUGUCUAUGAUUAAUAGUGGCUUUGGUAUGAAAGAAUUUGGAGUUCUCAUCACCAAACUUAUGACCUUUUAUUUUCCCUCUUUGCUUCCAAUAAAUCUUCUGGCUAUUAAGUACUGGUAAUAGGAGUUCCUUCAGCAUAGUUCUAAAAUUCCCAUCAAAUACUGAGAGAUAUCUAUAUUCCUCAAUCAAGUCCCAAAGGAAAAUACAAGCAUUUAAAUCCUCAAACUGCUUUUUAAGACAUGACAAACUCUUAGCCCACAAUUUUAAAGAUCUUCUCAAAUUCUUAAACUUUGCGUUGAUUUUUUUGGCAGGAUCAGUGUAACAAACAUGAAUAUUCCAUGCUACUUGAACAAUGUCUUUGAAAGAGCUGUGUUUCAACCAAUAAUUUUCAAACCUGAAUACCUUGGACUUGGGAAUGCAAACCAAACCAAUAUUCCACAGUACACAAUUUUUAUUUGCAGACCGAUUUCAAAAUUGUCGCCUCUAUUCAUUUCCGUUGUCUAAUCUACUAGCCAAUUAAGUCUGAACCGAGAACCGAACCUAAAUCUCAGUCGACCGAAUCUUUGGUUAGGAAUUUUCCCAAAUGACCAAUCGGCCGUCUUUUUUUGAAAACUGAAUUUCUUCAAAAGCUGAAGAACCAAACAAAACGGUUCGGUUACACAGAAUGCCCAGCUCUCCAAACGCCUCCACUUUCUCCCAGUUGAACAUGUGAUAUUUCUUACACCGAGUCUUCUUGCCAAAGCAAUCUUCUCCCAAAACAAUCAAAUAUUUUCUUUACUCCUACUAGCACAUAUGCCCUUGCGUUGCAACGGGAAAAAUUGAUAUUUUAUGCAAACAUAAUGUCCCAUAAUAUCAGAUUCACUAUGAAGAACAUGCUGCAACGCAACAUCGUUCUACAAAAUGAACAUAAAAAAUACGUUGCAAUUUAGCCGUGUUCAUAUUUUCUAUGUCGGGCAUAAUCUCCCACUGAUUUCAUCUAAGUUUUAUCCCUUUUAAUGGCAUUUAAGUAUUAUCCUUUCGUUAGUUACCAUGACAUCCUGAUCUGUUUUAGUCGGGAAUCGGAUCCUUACUUUUCUAAUUUAGUAGCCCCAACACAUUGAAGCCUACAAUUUUUUUUAAUUAUCCUACCUUUUUACCUCAAAUCCUUCAUGUAAAAUUUAUUAAGAUCACAAUCUUUCUUUUAUUUAUUCCACCGGUUUACCCAUAGUCCUUUCUUUAAUUAGCCACAUCCAUUUAAAUAUUCUAUUCAAGCCCACAAUCCUUCCUUUAUUAGCUCAUUCACUUAGUUAGAUCGCUGUAAACAUGAUGAUUGUCACUCGUAUAUUUAGAGCGAGUUUGGAUUAGUAAAUGUGAAAGACGCAUAGGUCGUUGGUAGUUACAUCGAAGAGCCAGACAUGAGAUCACGUGUUUAAUUUCCACAAUGUUGAUUUAAUUUGUCCCAAUUAUUUUUCGUGGUUUCUAUAAAAGCCCAUAAAAGGUCCAUCAAUGUACAAGUACCUGGCCCAAAUCGCUUAGCGUGUAAACCAAACGAAAAAUACUAAAUCAAACCAAGAAUACCUAUUCCCUUUAAUUGUAGGUAUAGAUAUAGAUUGGCAAGCCAUAAAAGGAAAGCAUGCACAACAGUUUAUAUUUUCUAGACUACUUACUCUGGAGCAAAGCCCCGGUCCUUUAUUCAAAACCAAAUAGUAUGUACAGGGGUCAAGUAGUCAGCUACAUAUACAAAACAUACCUACUUACCUAGCAAAAAGGAAAACUAAGGGAGGCUGGCAAUCUAAGCCAGAAGAUUCGGCCUACCACAAGCCCUGACUCUACAAGAAAUAAGGGUUAUAUCAUGUACAAAUUUACAACACCAUGAGCCAAAAGUGGCAUAGCUCCAAAUGUCCUUCCAUUUAUGACAAUCCAGAUAUUUCAUUUCCAAGCAGAGUCAGCAUAACCUCGAAGAAGAAAGGAUGGGCAAACCUCAUGUUUGCCCCGACAAUGCAUGGUCUGAUCUCAGACCCAUGUGCCGGAUCUAUCUGCAUGUAAUUCCAGAUCCUAAGGCUGAACUAGCGGGAGAAGAAGAGAAGUCUGUAACACAUUACACAUGGGUUUAUUGCUCAAAGAAGCAGUGAGAAAAGAGAACAUGCCUCCAAUGGAUGCUAAUUUUCCUUGCCAAUAUUCUAAUCUUACAAAAAAACAUGCCAUCAUUAAAAUAAAUUUAUGGAUGGUUGAGCCUUUGAGGCUUUGAGGGAAGAAUCCAACAACAAAUAUGCCCAAUUUUCCCUUUGAGAUUUACUUUUGCCCCUGACAAAUACAGGCCAUGAAUCGUCAAUACUAAAUCAACAUCAGAAAACAGGCACAAGGCUUGACUUUAUAGAUAAAUCGACGAGCUCCACAAGAACACAAUUAUUGAAUACAAAGGUUCAGCAAAAAAGUGAAAUAGUUCACCAGCCAACAUAAAAAAACACGCAAAUGGCCUCAGUUUAUAUAGAUAAAUCGACGAGUUCCACAAGAACACGAUUAUUGAAUACAGAGGUUCAGCAAGCAAACAGGAAAUAGCUCGGGCUGGCGCAACAGCAUAGGUAAGCCCAAAAUAAAGAAAAAGAAAACAAACUACGGAGCCGGAAUCUGGUGAGCCACCCUCCGGAAGCCAAGAAGGAGCCCAUCCAGUCCUCCGUGAUCCCGACGCCAAGCGAGCACCUGCCAUUGCAGAAUCGAUCGAGGCUACUAGCUAAUUCAACAUCCCCGGCAGUGAGCUGAAACGGUCACAUCCCUUCAUUUUAUUGCGUCCAUCCGAUUAUUGAUUUCUUGAAAUAAACAGCAUGCCAUGCAUUCAGCAUUGUUUUAUUUAUUUGAACAUAGCACAACCAUCAUAUGGAAACGGAAGCAGGCACGGCUGGCGAGUUAUUGGUAGUCUUAACCAAGACUUCUGGGACGGAGUUGAACUUGGCAAACCACUUGGCUGACUUCUUGAGCUUGCGCUUGUUGCUGUCCGUCUUGUCGAUGUAGACGAGGCUGAAUCGUGUGCUGUAGCCAAGGGUCCAUUCGAAGUUGUCGAUCAGACCCCAGGUGAAGUGGCCCCGCACGUCCGCGCCCUGGCUGAAAACACACAUACAUGAAAGCGCGCUUAGCUAGACUUCAACCAUGUGUCUGUGUGUAUGUAUACAUGUGCAUGCAUGAUAACAUACGUAGUACUACCUCGGUCCUGGUUUAUUGGUCCCUAUUAUAUUUCGUGUCAAAUUUGACCUUAGAUUGAACUAAUAAAAUGUUCAUGCAUGUCAUAAAAAAUUAUGCCAUUGAAAACUAUGUUCAAAUACGAAUCCAAUGAUAUAAUUUUUGUUGACAUGCAUUAACAAUUUGUUAGUUAAAUCUUUGAUCAAAAUUUGACACACAUUACAAAGGGGUCCAAUAAACCAGCACCGAGGCAGUACCUUACAUUAAUCAAUGUGCUAUUAGAGUAAUGUAGGUAAGAGUGCAAAGUAAGUGAAACAAAAAAGAUAGGAUUUUAGGGUGGGUAGUUACUCUAUUGCGUCCUUGACGGCUGAGAUGUGGCGCUGGAGGUAGUCUAGCCUUUUCCAGUCAUCCAAUGGAUCCGGCAUGCUUUCGUCGCCUUCCACGUCAGCGAUUCCUAAGUGCAUCCAGGAAAUCCAUUUCUCUCCAAAUCCCUUUGCUCUGAGUAUAUCAAUAAUUGUCUGAUGUUCAAUAGUGUCAAAAGCUUUCUCAAAAUCCAGUUUAAUCACCAUCAUCUCUUCUUUUGAUUUAUGACAUUGAUGGAUAUAUUCAUAUGCCCCACCAAGGCAGUCCUGGAUCAUUCUAGCUUUGAGGAACCCAUGUUGAUUGAUAUGUACCAUCUAGAGAAUAAUUCUUUGUAAUCUAUUGGCCAGUAGUUUGGUAAUUAUCUUAAGUACUGCAUUGAGCAGUGAGAUUGAUCUGAAAUCAUUGGGUGAGACUGGCACUUCCUUUUUUGGAAUCGAUGUAAUGAAGGAUGUAUUGAUGCUUUCAAGAUUUAUAUUACCAGCAUGAAAAGCCAUGAUGAGCUCAGUGAUAUCCACUUUAAUGAUGUUCCAACAAGCUUUGAUGAACUCAUUAUUAAAUACAUCAGGACCUGGAGAUUUAUCUGUAGGAAGGUUUUUUACCACUUCAUCAAUUUCCUCCUGUGUAAAAGGCUUUUCAAGAUCUUGGAAGAUCUCAGACUCAACAAUAUGUCCAUAUAGAUCAUUCAAAUCAAAGUGCAUUGUGUGACCAUUAGAUUGUCCAAAUGUUUUUUUAAAGCCUCCCAAAGAAUAGUUGUUUUCCUUCAUGGUCAGUAAUUUCCACUUGAUCAUCAUUUAGAAGCAUAGCAAUUUUAUUAUGUCUAUGAUUAAUAGUGGAUUUGGUAUGAAAGAAUUUGGUGUUCUCAUCACCAAAGUUAACACGUUUUAUUUUCCCUCUUUGCUUCCAAUAAAUCUUGUGAUUCUUAAGUAAUGUCAAUAGGAAUUCCUUCAGCAUAGACCUACAAUUCCCUUCAAAUACUAAGAGAUAUUUAUAUUCCUCAAUCAAGUCCCAGAGGAAAAUACAAGCAUUUAAACCCUCAAACUGCUUUUUAAGAAAUGACAAACUCUUGGCCCACAAUUUUAAAGAUCUUCACAAAUUCUUAAACUUUGCAUUGAUUUUUUUGGCAGGAUCAGUGUAACCCACAGGAAUAUUCCAGGCUGCUUGAACAAUGUCUUUGAAAGAGUUCUGUUUCAACCAAUAAUUUUCAAAGCUGAAUACCUUGGACUUGGGAAUGCAGACCAAACCAAUAUUCCACAAUACACAAUGUUUAUUUGCAGACCAAUUUCAGAAGUGUCGCUUCUAUUCAUUUCCGUUCUCUAAUCUACUAGUAAAUUAAGUCUGAACCGAGAACUGAACCUAAAUUCCGGUCCACCGAAUCUUUGGUUAGGAAUUUUCCCAAUGACCAAUCGGCCAUCCUUUUUUGAAGACCGAAUUUCUUCAAAAGCUGAAGAACCGAACCGAACGGUUCAAUUACAUAGAAUGCCCAGCUCUCCAAACGCCUCCACUUUCUCCCAGUUGAACAUGUGAUAUUUCUUACACCGAGUCUUCUUGCCAAAGCAAUCUUCUCCCAAAACAAUCAAAUAUUUUCUUUACUCCUUUUGGCAAGCCAUAAAAGGAAAGCAUGCACAACGGUUUAUAUUUUCUAGACUACUUACUCUGGAGCAAAGCCCCGGUCCUUUAUUCAAAACCAAAUAGUAUGUACAGGGGUCAAGUAGUCAGCUACAUAUACAAAACUUACCUACUUAUUACCUAACAAAAAGGAAAACUAAAGGAGGCUGGCAAUCUAAGCCAGAAGAUUCGGUCUAUCACAAGCCCUCAUUCUACAAGAAAGAAGGGUUAUAUCAUGUACUCCCUCUGUUCCGAUUUACUCGUCGUGGUUUUAGUUCAAAUUUGAACUAAAACCAUGACGAGUAAAUCGGAAUGGAGGGAGUACAAAUUUACAACACCAUGAGCCAAAAGUGGGAUAGCUCUGAUUGUCCUUCCAUUUAUGACAAUCCAUAUAUUCCAUUUCCAAGCAGAGUCAGCAUAACUUCGAAGAAGAAAGGAUGAGCAAACCUCAUGUUUGCCCCGACAAUGCAUGGUCUGAUCUCAGACCCAUGUGCCGGAUCUAGCUAUCUCCAAGUAAUUGCUGAUCCUAAGGCUGAACUAGCGGGAGAAGAAGAGAUGAAGUCUGUAACACAUUACACAUGGGUUUAUUGCUCAAAGAAGCAGUGAGCAAAGAGAUCAUGCCUCCAAUACUAAUUUCCUUGCCAAUAUUCUGAUCUUAAAAACAUUAGAAAACAAGCACAAGGCCUCACUUUAUAUAGAUAAAUCGACGAGUUCCACAAGAACACGAUUAUUGAACACAAACGUUCAGCAAGCAAAAGGGAAAUAGUUCGGGCUGGGGCGGCAGCACAGAUAAGCCCGACAUAAAGAAAAAGAACACAACCUACAGAGCCCGCCGGAACCGGAAGCUGGCGAGCCACACCCUCCGGAGGCCAAGAAGGAGCCCAUCCAAUACGCCGUGAUCCCGACGCCAAGCGAGCAUCCGCCAUUACAGAAUCGAUCGAGGCUACUAAUUCAACAUCCCUGGCAGUGAACUGAAACGGCCACAUCCUCCCUUCAUUUUAUUGCACCCAUCCGAUUAUUAAUUUCUUCAAACUAACUGCAUGCCAUGCAUCCAGCCUUGGAUUAUUUGUUCGAACAUAGCACCACUUCGUUCUCCAUCAUACAGAAACGGAAGCAGCUGUCAUGGUUGCGUUGUUAUUGGUGGUCUUAAGCAAGGGUUUUGGGACGGAAUUGAACUUGGAGAACCACUUGGCCGACUUCUUGAGCUUGCGCUUGUUGCCGUCAUUCUUGUCGAUGUAGACAAGGCCGAACCGUGAGCUGUAGCCGAGGCUCCAUUCGAAGUUGUCGAUCAGACCCCACGUCAAGUGGCCCCGCACGUCCGCGCCCUGGCUGAAAGCACACAUACAUUUGAGUAAUCAGUGUGCUAUAUUAGGGUAUGUAUGUAUGUAGGUAGGUAAGAGUACAAAAUAAAUGAAAAAAAUAGGUAGGGUUUUAGCGUGGGUAGUUACUCUAUUGCGUCCUUGACGGCUGAGAUGUGGCGCUGGAGGUAGUCUAGCCUCUUCCAGUCAUCCAAUGGAUCCGGCAUGCUUUCGUCACCUUCCACGUCAGCGAUUCCUGCACACACACAAGUUAGAGGUAAUCCAUCACACUUCCUUUAAAAAAAACCUCCAAUGAACCAUUACAUCAUAUCUCCAUGGAUUAGGUUCUUGUCUGAUUUGAGGGAACUAGUGCCACUCGAACACAAAGAUUGUUUACAGAUUAGUGUGUGUCAAUCUUCAUGAGGAUUAGGGUAAUGAGGAUCAUGGAAAUUUGACUAGUUACUUUUGAUGUCAGAUUUUCAACCUUUUUAUUAACGGCAAGUCAACUAAAGUUUGAUAUGAACCGAUGACUGGUCAUUCGAUUACUACAAAAUCCAAUGCUAUAUACACACACACAUAUCACUACUUACCGUUCUCAGUGAUGAAGACAGGUGGGUUUCCGUAUUUCUCCUUCAUGAUCAGAAGGAGGUCCGUUAGGCCUUUUGGGUACAUGUAGAUCCAAUAAGUCCCGGU
This 154062-nucleotide long non-coding RNA is filed under the name Triticum aestivum (bread wheat). Its description in RNAcentral is "long non-coding RNA (TAES_LNC023361)". Lineage: Eukaryota; Viridiplantae; Streptophyta; Magnoliopsida; Poales; Poaceae. The record is from RNAcentral.